RNAcentral lists this long non-coding RNA (102551 nucleotides) under Musa acuminata (dwarf banana). RNAcentral's name for it is "long non-coding RNA (MACU_LNC007516)". Lineage: Eukaryota; Viridiplantae; Streptophyta; Magnoliopsida; Zingiberales; Musaceae. The record is from RNAcentral.
GGAAGGUGGUCUAAUUCAGUGCUUAGCACUCAGCUUGCUCAGGGCUUGGAAAGAGACCCUUCGAUAGUGAGGCAGCUCUUACAGAGGAAUCCAAAGGGGAUUCUAGACAAUAAAGCGGUUGCAAACUCCCUUCAGGAAGAGUAGGGAGGUACCGAAGAGACAAAGACAACUAUGUAAGGCUUAGACAAAGCUACUACCGAGACUCCUUUCUUUGGAAAGCUCUCUCUUCAACAAGCACUCUUGCAAAGAGAAUCAGGGCGGGCUAGCUCUCUCUCUUCAAGCACUCUUGCCUAAUCAGGGCUAGCUCUCUCUCUCUUUCAAUAAGAACUAUAAUCGAAUCACUCUUACCAUUCAAGCACGACUUAUAGCUAUCUAUCCCGACUACUUGUGCUAUGGACUAUCCCGACUACUUGUGCUAUGGAAAGUUCUAAAACUACUAAACGAAAGGAAGGCAAACAGCUUAUGACCAGGAAAAGUACUACAACAACUAUGCCAGCUAUGAAAGUGAGAUCUAUCAUGAACAAGACAAUUCCACUAGAAAAGCGAGAGACAGACCUGCUGUUAAAGUAAGACAAUCAAGAGCUAUAUAGCUAGAAAAUGAUAGACUUGUAAAGUGUGAGACAGAUGACCUGCUCUCUUUAUUGGCGAGAAGAUAAUAAGUCGAAAGGACAAAAAACGAAGCCCUAACCUAAUAAGAAGGAAGAACUACUUCUGGAAGGGUAAGAAACUCCACGGACCUAAAAAAGAGAAAAGAAAGCAAAGAAGAGACCAACUUCUGAGAUACCCGCUAGCUUAGGUCUCAGUGAGCAACGAGCUUCUUCAAUAGCUAGCCUAGCCUUCACCGCUACUUCUUUAUUAUAGUUGUUUAUUAUCAUAUAUUACAGAACGAUUCCUUUAGCCCUACCCUAGCUCCAAAAGACUAGCUACACUCUUUCCAUUCCUUUUCUAAGAGACACUUGAUUUGAUACUAUACUUGCAGAGACACUUUCUUUUAUACUAUACUUGCUAAAGGAAAGGAAAGGCGAAGUAUCAACUUAUCUAACACAAGCACAAGUGCCUAUGCCUCUCUGUCCUAAAGUAGUAUAGGGUUCCCGAUAUUCUAGAGUAACAUGCUUUUGACCCAAUGUUAGAAUAUUGCACACUUAUAUGAAAUUCUUUAGUGGAGUCGAGUCUCAGAUAUACAUACAUACAUUCUGAAUUCUUAAGUCGAGUCUCAGAUAUACAUACAUUCUUAAGUAUAGCCGAGUCUCAGAUAGACAUAUUUGUUAUACGCCGCUCUUCUCUAUCCGUAUUCUUAUCUAUCAUAUUCUACUUAUAUAUCUUUUAUUACUUUACAGAACAGAGCACAGGCCUAACUCAGCCUUGUGUUUCAUCCGUGCUCAAGCAGUCUCCUCGUUUCGUAUCAAGAAGGGAGUGGAGCUGAUCUAGCGUUAGCGAGCUACUUUCCCGGGGUUCAAUUGAUUGAUACCUUACUUUAGACUUUCUACUCAACUUGCAUUAAUAACUAAGCUAAGUCGGCGGAGUUGGGCCUAAGUGAAGUCAACCAUUCAUUUCAUAUUCCAUCUAUAUAGCAUAUGAGAUAUCUAUAUCAUAGUAAAGUCUAACCUCACUCUAAGAUCAUUGUCUUUACUUCAAUCUAUACCCCAUACAUCAUGUGCAAGAAAGAGAACAAGCAAGUCCAACAAGUAACUGAGCAAGCAAUCCAACAAGCUAAUCUAGAUUUGUAGGUUCAGAGCAAGUCCAACUAGCAAUGGAAGAAACAACGGGUAGAUCACCAUCCGCGGGAUCUUCUGCUGCUAUUGGGUAAUCUUCAAGCCUUUGUUUGUGCUUCUGUUAUUGGCUUUCCCUUAUUGAGUAGUGGUCCAACUGAACUAAUUAACACAGACCUAUGAGCUGGAACAACAACUUGCGGACUUUUUCCCUUGCUUAUUUUAGCACAACGGGGAACUAUACAAUAAUAAUGCUAGUUUGCUCGUAGAACUCAACAAUACACUUUGACUUCUCUUCUUGAACUCACAAACCUCAAGGACUAGAUUGAGAAUUAGUAUAUCAGUCUUAAGUAGCCAGAUAGAGAAUUAGUAUAUAAGACAGUAAGUAAGAAAGACAGUAAGUAGAUCUAAUAAAGUGACAACAUUGCGUACUUAUCAAGCAGCAACAACAGUGUUACCAGUGAACAAACAAUCUGAAUGACGAAAAUCUUUUCCUGAACGUGUUAACUCCAAUAACUUGAAGAACUGUUUCCCUUACUUCCGGACUCCUUAAGAACUGCUUCCUUCGUAACUCCCACCUUGAGCCUGGUAUGAGAGCUAGAAUUGAGUGCACCUAGGAACUGGUCACUGUAAUACGGCUUAAAUGCAUUUAAACACCCGAUAGGGUAGCUUGAUGAUGGAUGUUGUUUGUUUAUAUUCGAGUCGUUUCCCGUAGGUGAAAGACCAGAAAGAUGCCUUUUUCAAACGAUGAAGUCUAAAGUGAGAGAGAAAUAAGAUCCGUUUGAUAAGAAGCCGAAGAUCAUAUCCUUUCGAAUGCUUAGCUAAGCUUAGCCCACUGAGCCUGCGUUAAAGUGUUUCUUCGGGGUGUCUCUCUUGCUAUUGACAAGGUGCUUCAAGCCUUUCUAGCAAUAGAGUCCGGAAAGCUUCAAGUAAGGGCGGAGGUUGGCGCGUAAAGAAUAGAUGUUGUCUCAAGUAAGAGGUAAGGAGCUGAAUUGCCAGUUCCAGAAGAAAGAAGAAGGAGCGGGAAGGGAAGUCGACUCGAAUUGCAAGUUCGAAAGUCCGCAGAGGAAGCAUGUGCCUACGGAACAAGCAAAUCACUUCUGGUUUUUGGGUGCUAACAUUUAAUGAGUUCCAACAAGCUAUGUUCCUAAGCGCGUUGUUGAGUUGAGUUCAAUGUUUAAGACGGAUAUUAUUCUUUUCUUAAAGCAAGAGCGAUUCGGUGCCUUAGCCGACAUCAAUCUUCUAUUCUAUUCUAUGGGUGAGUUAAGUAUUGAGUAAGGAGUCAGGGAGCAGUAAGCAAUGCGGAGUUACUCUCUUAUGGGAGCAGUAAGCAAUGCGGAGUUAUUCUCUUAUAUAAUAUGCGGAUCAUGUGAAACAAGCUAGGGCGCUAAGUCAAGUGAAAAAGGUAUUUUGUAAAGCCCACUAAGGAAGGGUAGUAAACGUCGUCCAGCUGCCUAUGUACUGCAAGAAAGCGUGCCUUUUCUUUGUUGACCGGCGGAAGCGGUAAGUCAAGAAGUGUCCGGGUGCUAGGAAAUUCGAUAUUCUUUUCUUUUGAGGCUAAAGGGAAAGAAGACUGUGCUGGUUUCCUAGGCGCAAGUGAAAUAAAUGCAUUCUUUUUCUUUGUUUUACUCGGUGCAAGAGAGAUUAGCAAGAGAUGAUGACUUCUUUUCUUUGUCAGUUCAAUUUCCAUUAAUUUGUUUGUCGGCGCUACAAGUAAGGUGGAGUUUUCGUCUUAAAGUAGAGCAAGGAGUCAGCUGUAAGGUAGAGCCAGAGAAAAAGUAAGCUCUUUGUUUGAGAAUCUUUCUACCCUUACGAGUCAUCAAUAGAGUCAGCUGUAAGCCGUAAGCUGUGAGGGGUUCAAACUAGCAGUGAGGUUUUUUAGGUUGUUGCCUUCAUUGUAUACUAUGUCCGUGAAAUGAUGAAAUAUGUCCGUGAAAUGAUUAAAGCAACAGCGAAAGCUGCAAGGGAAUAAAGAUCGUCAGUAGUAGAAGAUAAGAUGAUGCUGUAUCUUGACUCCCAUCUAGCUGUAUCUUGACUCCCAUCUAUACAAAGUACUAGCAAGUCUGGUUUUGUUUUUAGUAGGACAGGAACCUGAUCUUCAGCUGUGCGAAAGGAAUCCAAUAUGGAGUUUUCAAUGAAAGGUAUUGGUUGGUGUCGAGAGUUUGAUUACCGAGUGCUGUCUUCAACUCGAAGGCGGGGCACCCAUACAAUAUCACAGCUUCGUAUUAAUGGAGUAGGAGGUCACUGAGUUACCUAGAAAAGUCAUAAACAGCCUAACACUGAAUUGGCAGUCCACUUAGGUCAAGUCAAGCAAAGGUUCUCGGGGGUGAAUGAAUUUACUAGAUGGUUUCUCUACAUUGGGGGCAGUAAUUCAGAAAUGCUCUAAUGGAUGCCCAUAGUCACCAACAUAUAAAACAUUCUAGACUUACCCUUUCACUAGACUUGUAUACAGUAAAGGCAGUAAUAAGUUUGAUUAAUUAGUUCAGCACCAUAUAGUGUGAAGCUCGGGAAAACAUCUUGGGACGGACUAACUGCUUUGAAGGGAAAGGCUGUCUCAUGAACUGGAUUGCGGGUGGUAAGGGGAGAGCGGGGACUACGUGAAGCAUUUCAUAUAAAUCUCAUUCGAUUCUUGCAUUAGUGGGCCAUACACAACUCUAAGAUUCCCCUAUUCUAUUCCAAUUUGUAGUUAGGAGAAAAGAGACAACCUGCCCCCACUCAUGGGACUUCGAAAGAAGGAAUAAGCCAAAGCAAGAAAGAGACGGGUAGGUAGGGGCUAGCUCCGCCUUACUGCCAGGCUUCCCAUUGAGAAAGUGGCCGACGCCCUUAUUAAUGAAACCCAUAUGAUCCCACCCAUACAUAUAAGUAAGAGAAAGAGAGAAGUUAUUCCCAUACAUAUAAGUAAGAGAAAGAGAUAAGUUAUUGAUUUUGUACAUUUCAUAUUUGUACUGGUACUAAAAUAUAGUGAAUAAUGUGGGCAAGGCAUCCACACUCAUUUUCUAAGAUAAUAGAAGUGUUUACAAUAGAUAUCAUGAAAUUCAAUAAAGUCACAACACUCAAUAAUACGACUACACUUAUACUAGACUAGACUCAACUCAACUUACUUCUGGAGCGGAACCCUAUACUGGAUUCAUUCCCACUUAGACUAGACUCAUUAGUAUUAUAGGACGUUCAUUUCAUAGAAAAUAUGAGAAUAUACUUAUUAGAUAGAAAGAGAAUAGACUUAUUUGUAUUAUGGGACGUUCAUUUCAUAGAAAACAAGAGAACUACGGAUACCCUAAUCCAAUACUGAAUAUAGGCACCGCAACCCCCUAAUCUAUACUACACUCAUUUCCUUCCCGCUUACAAAUAGCAAUAGGUAGUCGAGUACGGUUUCAUUUUGGCUGUAGUGAAUAAGAUAGUAGAUCUAAGCUCUUCCAGUCUAUUAGUGGUAUUUGUCCUAUUAAGCAAUAAGAUGUGUUGUUACUAUAUUCUAUAAUACAAUAAGAUGUGUUGUUACUAUAUUCUAUAAGAAUCCUCUAUUAACCUUUAGCCUCUAAGAACCUUUACCAUUCUGAAUUUCACACAUGGUGGCCGUCAACCUUUGACUUUCCAUUUCUUUUACGAGAGGAGACUUUGUAGCAAGUUGGCUUCCUCUUCCUUAAGUUACGUAUAGGGUGCGGGUGCCGAUAUAUGAAGUCGGAGUUCGGAAUUAAUAAGUAAUACAUCUUCCUAUAAUUCAUGAAAUUGUAACCUAAACACACUUCUUUUCAUAUAAGUUCAUGGGACCACAAAAGAGCAGUGGAAAUCAACCCAUCAUAAAGCAAUGGCUUCUUCAAUAUCUUUCUCAAUCUGUUCAUGAGAGAAAAAGGCCAAGAGAAAUCCGGGCCCGAUAACCUUUGCUUGUACCUUUUCUGUGGAGCACAUUCACAUUUCCUGUGCUCGUCUCGUGGGAUUCCUGCUGUUCCACCGAUUAGACACAUGUCUUAAGCCAUAAAGCAAACACAACAGAAGAAAUAGUCUCUAUAUAUCUUAUUCAUACCAUUUAUCUAGUAAAGGUAAAAGGAUAGGCGGUCAGGAGCGGACUGAUCUAAUACAUCUCUUAUUUGCUCCUCUAGUUAUAACAUUCAUUUGCUUGUUUCCUAUAUUCUAUUUCACAUAGGACAACCAUAUUCUCAUAAAUGCUAGUAGGGUCAAGUUCUCCUGAACAUAUUAAUGUUCUAUUGGGUACCCAUAUGCUAAUAGUGUGAAUAGGGUAAAGUGAUUCCUACCCUAUAUGGAUUUUCUCUCGGGGUUCUCUAUGCCACCAACAGCUUGCUAUGACUUAUUCUAUUUCAAGACGGAAUAACUUGAACUAGGUUUGGUGUGGCUGGCUAUGACCUUCUUGGCCUGAUACUUAAUGGGGAAGAGUUUGCUCUUUCCUUGGGUCAGACUAUCCUAUGCUUUUCUGGAGGGUCUCGCGAAUGGUUCUCGCUCCGAAUACAGAAAAAAUGAGCGAUUGUCUCUCGGUCCAUUAGUUCACUUUUUGAAUAAAGGCAAGAUUCUUUCCCUAAUUGAAGUACUUACUAAGGACUCUGUUCUUUCUUUCCCAUGCAAGCAUUCAUCAUAAUUAGCUUCCAAGUCUGGUACUGAAAUAUCUCCCCAUGGAUGUUGUUGAUGAUGGGCUUUGAUGCGAGGUAUGGUCCAAGUCGAGUUCGGGAAUAAUCUAUUUGGAAUGCCUACUCAGCGGUUAAUGCUUGACCGAGAUACUAAGCAGAUAUAGACAUAGACUAACUGUUUGAACAAGGAAGGCCUAAACCCAACAAGAGCACAGGUGUUUUAGUUGAAGGUUCGGGGAAGUCAAGAGCAUAGCAAGAGGAGUUCGAAAGCAAAACACGAGCAAAGGCGAAGUCAAGAGUGGAGCAAGAGCAAUAGUAGAGUAGAGCUCGGCUGAAAAGGAGGCUAUUGGCGCACUGGCCUAUUAUAUGAAUGCUAUUAUUAUUUGAUCCUUCUAGAUAAGCACUGAGGCGAGCACUUCCGCGUUUUCUUUUGUAUUAUCCAUCUCAUAUAAAGCCUUAUUAGAUCCACGGUGUAGACACCGCGUCUUUCAUUUCAUUUCCUACUUCACUUUUUCCUUCCUUCUUAUGUUUCACUUAUAAUGGAUCUCAUAGGGCGGGUAGACGUUCUCUAAAAGAAAAGGCCCGUGUUCACAUUAGAAGCAGUAUCCCGAAUAAAGGCAUAAGACAUAAGAGUUGUUUCAGCUAUCAACUUCCGAGUUGCAAUGGGCGCAGAUGACCUUAUUUCUCUUUUCUUUUGAGAAUUCAUUAUACGCGAGAUAGGCAGGACUGCGACACCGGCUAUACUUACUCUCACACUUGCCAAGUCUUUACGUCGAGUUUGGAGUAUAAUGGAUUAUUUGUACACUCAGCAUAGAGCACUAAUUGAGAUCGAAGCUAGCAAAUAUUUAGAUCGAAGGAAGCUAGCGAAUAAAGUCAGUGUGUGUUCUCUUAUGUCUAAAAUAAUAUUGAGUAGCGCACCUCAUUUUCUCUUACCAGAUGUAGAGAUAGAUCUCGAAGCCCUUCUUCUUUCUCCCCUUCCAUUGAUCCUUUAUGCGCGAAGAAGGUAGAUUUGACUGACUUUUGCCCACUGUAACCUAGGUAAUUGAGGCUAGCUCUAGUACUUCCCUAUUUCAUUACCGGGCGGGCAAUCUGAAUUGAGUCAAGCAACUAGGGGACAAAAAGCCGUAUCGCAUCAAAAAUCCACUCACUCUAGAAGCAGAGAGACCUUUGAUCACGCAAGAAAGCAAUCAAUUUCGUUCUUUCACCUACCUUUGUUUGUCGACCUUAGAAUGGAGCAAGAGAAGCUACAAUAGGAACCUUUACCGCGGCUUCUGCCCGGGCAACUGUAGCCCAUAAAAUGAUCUAAUCAGGAGAGAAAAGAAGCUCAUAUUGUAUAUUUUGAGUCAUGUUACCGAACAAGCAAGGGAGGAAAUAAACAUAAUUCUGAUUACAGAGGCAGAGUUUAGUUCAGGGAGGCAGGCACAGAGUUCAGGGGGAGAAAAUAUGAUAGAUAGUAUAGAGUACUCUGGCUUUGAAGCGCAAAGUUAAUGAGUUUCAUCGUAAAGUUCCAAAAAGAGAAUAGCUGCGCAGGUCGCUGAACAAGAGUCUGCUCGAAAGCAAGUAUAAAGUGGAGUUCCUGUUUUGAAUUCGAGAGAGGUAUUUUACUAUAAGUCAGGAGAUAGAGGUGAUAGUUUUGCAGUAACUUAAUUAGCUGUUUCAAGGUUGGUUGAGUUCUUGUGUUGAAGGAGAAGUAGGUCAUUGUGAUUGACUUGCUUUCCCUUUGCUUUGCCUGGGUUUCAUUCCAUUCUGACUUGAGAGUUGACGUAUGGGAUAGAAUUAUAAGUCAUAUUCCCCAUUUCUAUACGAUAUAACCACUUUGCAUUCCACUUCUUAUUCGUCCUGUGUUCAUGGCGUCAGCAGCAAUAGUUCUAGUUGCCUGAGUUAGAUUAGCCUGAGUUCAAAUAGCCAUAGUUAGAUGAGCCUCAUUCCGUUAGUCAAGAUAUCUGAUAUUUAGAGUACCUUAUGAUUAGUAGCAGUUGCUUGUCUAGUCGUUACUUGGCUUAGGCGUUCACUAAUGAAGAAACACCUCUUAACAAACCUCUUGAACUUCUUAAGAAACUCUAUCUCUUGACACUAUAUCUCUUGCCUUGCCUUGAAAACGGAAUUCUGCAUUUAGGAACUGCAUGUGCCAUAUAAGAGAGGAAUGUAACCAACUCUCCCUGAUGCCACUGAUGCUGAUACACUUGUUCGUUCUUGCGCCAAAGACAUCUUUUGCUUUUCUACCCUUAACGUAAAGAAGGAAGGAACAACUUAUUUAUAGGCGGGCUCAACACAAUCAUUUACUGAAACGGAAACUCUCACUUAAGAUUCUCUCUCGCUCUCGUCGCCACAAAGAUGGAUUCCGAAAAUAUGGACUUGUUAUUAACAUCGGUGAACAAAGGACUUGACUUUCAAACUAGACUGGAUUUCCCGCUUUCUUUAUACUGGGCCUGGCAAUACUUACUUUACUGGCAUGACUUAACGCUUUCUGUCCCGAACUCAACUAGUCAAGCUCUUCUCUCCCCAUAUAGAAAUAUGUAACUAAGCAUCUUACUAAGUUGCAGGAUAUGUUUUUCACUGGAACUGGAACUAGCCGAGCUACAGCCUAUUUCACUUACAUUUCUCAAAGGGGUUUUCACCGAACAAGACUUGAAGGUUAAUCAAAUUCAUCUUGAUGCUGUAGGAUUGCCCACUUAUAUAUAUAUACUAAAUAUACGAGCUUCUACUAAAUCCACUCUUGAUACUGUUCCUGUUCCUUGAUACCGCACUGCGGAUUCUAUUGUUGAUUAGACAGCGGAUUCUCUCGUAGCUUAUAGACUGCUUGUUUUCUUCUUCUAUCGUAGACUCGUACCGCCUGCAAUUCUUUGAUGCCUCCAUUUGCUAGCUCGACGCUGGUUGCUCUGAUUUGAGAGUUUGCUCCUCUACUCCCUCCCUAUCUUUCUCCGUGUGCAAAUAAUCUAUAUGAGAUAGGAAUUGGCCACCUCUACCGUUAGCCAGCUGAUAUGUAUUUCUAACAAGAACGGAAAUAAAAGAAGCGAAAGAGCCAACCGAAUAUGCAAAGAACAACCGAAAGCCUUGAUCGGGCCUGUCCUCUUCUUGCUCUGGAAUAGGAGGAUGUUUCACUGGAUUCCCUCAUUAAGAUUCAACAACUGCUUUAUACCCGCCCCAGAAAGAGGAAAAACGACUACUUCGUCUCCAAAAACAGGAUGAGUUAGUGCCUCUAUUUCCCUGAUUGUGCCAGCUACGUCCUUCCUUUACUAUAUUUCUCCUUGACUAUCAAUCUACUUUACUACUUUACUAUCAAUCUAUAUUUCUAUAUCUUCUGCAGGCUACGAAUCAUAUCAUUUUGGAAUGCAUCUGAAAGCAGCACUCGUACAAACACCCAUGUUAAAUAAAAGCGAUUGAUUGACGACUACCGAAUGCUUUAAUCAUAAUGUUAUACUGCUGUGAAAUUUCACUAAAUCAAUUUCUUUAAACGAGUCUGAUGGAUUCGCCAACGAACGGCCGGGGCAUACUGCUUCCCUUAACUAGAUUUACAUGAGAAAAGUCAGAAAGAGGAUUGGUUAGAAGAUCAGAGGCUGGCUCUCUCUCCUCAAGGUUUGGCUGCCGCUUUACCUCUCUUCCCCUAAAAAGUAUGAAUAAGAAAGAGAUCGAGAGUCCUCAUUAUUUUCAAUAAAGUAGAUAUUAGAAUAGUUGCCGACUUUUCCCUUUAGCUGUAAACUGUACCACACAGCGAAGCCAUCUGCGCCUCCAGGAAAUGCAUAGGGGUGAUAUAGAAGCCAAACGCUUGUUUUAGUUAGAGAAUUCCAAGAAAGAUGGCUACAGACUGUAUCAACCGCUUACCGAAUCACGCUACCAACUCAAAUGACCGUGUCGUUCUGCUCAAAGAAGAAUUAUUGACAUAAUUGCCCGGUUAGAAGACCCUGAAAUAGACUGGAGCGAGAGGGUUCCUGACAGAGCCCGAGGAAGAUAAGAUGAGAGUAGUAACUGCAAAUAAGGUUUCCAUCGAAGAAGAUAGACAAGAAAUAAUGACUUGGGAAGAUAACCCCUCGGAAGAACCCAAUCCCCCCACAGAUGAUUAAGUUCGACGCGCGGAACAGAAGGCGCCCCUCUGAGAAUCUUCCUAAGUGCCAGCCUAUCAUCAGAGGAAGCUGAACAAUACGCUCCUUAAGUAAAGGAAGACAUUUCCUUCCAUAUUUGUGCGGCUGAGCUGCCUGGGCUAGACCCUUCAAUCGCCGUCCACAGGCUUAAUAUCAAACAGAUGCGUUGCCCAUCAAGCAAGCUUUCAUCUACUCCAAGAUCGGAGAAGAGUCUUGGAGAUAGAGACUUCGAAAGCACUACAUGAGGAUUAAUCCCCUUAAAUGCUUUCUGGGGGUAGUAACUGGAAAGUCAUUGGGUUUGUGAAAGAUGGAAUCACUCUUGUACAUCCAAAGCUUCUUCAAGUCCCAAAGCACGUACAUCCAAAGCUUCUUCAAGUCCCAAAGCACUCAUCUACGGCUCUUAGCACCUUUCUUUCUCUUCAAUGGCCGCGCCCUAUGCCGAUUCCCACUUUCACUCUUUUGCCUCGAGACUUCCUAGGGAAAAAGGUAUACGAUGGAAUUCUUAGACUUACUAGAGUUGUCAGCUGUUCUCAAUGGGCGCCAUUCCGCAGUGGAAUAUGAUAUUUCUAUAGUAGCUCAGUCAUUUGUUAAUUCCUUUCUGGAGUCCAAAAGUAUAGGAAAGACACUCUAGAAAGAGUUGCCGAAACCGGUGCUACACCAAAGCAUGGGCUUUUUCUUUCGAAAUUGAUUUGGAAUUACAUGACUGCUUUUCAUCCUGGGAAUCCGCCUUUCAUCCGUGGCAAAAAGCCAAGAGUAUUCACUGAAAACUCGGAGUAUUCUCACUUACCACCUAAUCUAAUGGAGAGUUGAAACCGCCACCUGUUUUCCAAGCUCUUGCUUUUAGGGCAGAUAGAUGAUAUAGCGACAUAACUGGGUCCCUCCGGAGAGUACGAUGUUUGGCUUGCAGCUCUCCCAUCUCAUUAGGGAAAAAACCCACCACACACGAAUGCUUUCUUUUUCAAAGCAAUUCCCUCCCUUAUCCAUCUUACUCUUUUCACAGGUGGUGCUACUAAAAGCUGGGGAAAUACUAUGUUCUUGCACAAAGGUCAAAGGUGAGUUUCUCAGACGACUUGCCUGUGAGAAAUCGCUAUUCAUUCCAAUAUGGGACACCAACUCUGAAGGAGGGUUGGUUCCUCGGAUGAUUGCUUCUAUCGACUGUCCUUCUCUAUGUUGACUGGGGCAAUGUUCAACCUGACUUUGCUCCGCUAGUGCUACUCCUUCUUUUGGCCUGAUCUCGUUAAUAAAGGAAGGCUCAUGAAUUACCAAUCCCUAGAAAGACAGAAAAAGCAGACUAUUUGAUUAUGCUUCUAUCUGGUCGUACUCGGCCAUUAAGGUCUAACUACUGAACUAUUUGAAUCUUUCUAUCCCCCAUGCAUUGAGAUAGCUGGUUUUCUCCUUUUCUAAGACAGGAAUGGGUGCUCAAUCAAUGGAAUGUUUGCUUUUAUAUCUCUUCCAGUGCUUUUCCAAUCCAAAUAGAAGGUUUAGGUCGAAAUAAGGGAUCAACCUGUAGACAUGCAGAACCUCUCUUCCUACCGCUAGGAUGCUUGGCAGCCCGAUCAUGAUGUAGUCCGAGAUAGAAUAUUUCCAAAAGCAGGGAUAUGUUCUACGAGCUACUUGUUAUCAGUCUUUUUCCAUAUCUUUGUAAGAGAAAGACAAGAGAAACGGAAAAAGCAUGGGUGUUUUAUCGAUGCGAUGGAAUGCUUGCUAGGUAAGAGAAAGACAGGAGAAACUUCAAAAGCAUGGGUGUUUUAUCGAUGGAAUGCGAGCAUAUCUUACUGGACAUCUUGCUUGAAGCUCUUUUCCCAUGUCGAUGUGAGCUCUUUCUUUGCUUUGACUAUGUUCUUUGCCUAUUAAGAAGAUGUAUUGGUGUUGAUUACUUACCAAAUGAUUAGAGGCUUUGUUUGUUCGCUUGCUUGCUGGCACUCCAUACCGACCUUGCUUGGCUCUUUUAGGCAAUUUCGAAUUGAGUCUCGCUAGCUAUGCUCGCUUCUUUCUUUGGUAUGGAUAGCGGCCCUUCACACCAUAUUUCUCUUUUCCCGCCUGCCGCCUUUCAUCGACUCUUCCUUGGUCUAUUCACAUAGAUAUUCAAUCUCAGAAAGCAACUACAAACAACUGACUGUUUGAUAGAUCUUGGUCAAAAGGAUAGGAGAUAGGUGGCUUUAAAGAUCAAAGUCCUCCGUGGGUCUUGCGCCAGAGAAAGUACCUGGAGGCUUUCAGCACCCUUGUUGAGUGUUAGCUUACAUUCUAUACUAUGUCUCGAUAAGAAAUUGAUGUUUGAAUCGAGUUGAGAUCUGAAGCCUUAUAAGUGCAUUUGGAAUCGAGUUGAGAUCUGAAGCCUUAUAAGUAUCUGAAGCGGAAGGAUUAGAAGCUGGGAAGGCAGGGUUUCGUUCUGGUUUUGUCAAUGAGAUCAAUAGCGGGAUCUUAAACUAUAUGAGUAUUUGACUCAGUUUAGUAAGGGGUGAGAGUUUACAUUCUUGCCAGAGGGAGCAGCUUUAUAACAUUAAUAACUUCCACUUAAAGGAAAGAGGUCGGCAAAAGAACCAUCAAUGGAACAAGCAAGGAAACAAGUGAAAAAACAAGCAAGUAAAUAAAUCCGUAAAGAAGCUAGUUCAAAGGCAAGGGAAUCUUCAAGAUCAUAAUUAGUAGGGCGAGCUAGUGUUGUUGACUUGGCUAAAGAGAAGGGGACAGCGCCAGUUCAAUCUCAUUCUAUACUAAUAUAAUAAACAGUGGAUUCUCUUUCCGUUCUACUUUCAUCAUAUCUACUCGAAUAGCCUGAUCGAAAGUGUCAAGUAAUCUGUCUUUCUUUGUUGGCGAUGAAGCGGGAAGGCGGACAAAGGAUUUAGCCCUGUCCUAGCUUUCCAGUACUUAUUUAUUUCCUCUGGUUCCCUUUCUUCUUGUUUCAAAGACGGGUCUGUUCUGAAGUAAACAAAUCAUUCCACUCGAACAAGAACUGGAACUGGAGAAGGAUCGACUCCUAUACUUAUGGCUACAAAGGCAACGGCCAAGCCACCACUUAGGAGUGAUACCCUAAACAACCAGAAAAAGGGGUUUCUUUACCUUUCUACUACUCAGAUAGUAAUUAGUAAUAGAAUUAGUCACUAGCCGCUACUCCAAUACAAAUUAAUAAGAAUAGAGGCCAAGCCAGAGUUCAAAGAACUGAGUUAGAUUAGAUCCAGUCCUGUGUGAACCUUUCUUCGUCACCAGUGUUCGGGUUUUGAAGUGCUAACACUCAUUGGAGUUCCUGAGUUUUGUUUGACUAUCUUCUUUGGAGUUCCAGAGCUAGGUUCAUUUCUUCUUGCGGACUUGUUCCCUUCCACUUCUCUUCCUUGCUUUAAGAAUGGAGUGCACAAAGGAAUAUUGGCAAAGAAAAGAAUAUGCACCUGACUCUCGGUGUUGCGCAUUAGCGAGUGGUGCGAAAGAAGGGAAAGAAGGGUGUUUAGCCAGCUGUAGAAAGGAGAGUUCGAAAGGAAGCUUAAGAUACUGGUGGAUCACCAUCAGCAACAGCAAGGGGGCACGCAAAUACUACAAGUCCUGUGUUCGGGAACUCAAAAGCGGGAAUGUCACUCAUAAGUUUAAGACAAAACACUCCCUCCGCCUAAAAACACUCGAACACUGUUUCACGGGGCUAUAGCUCUCAACCAGGAAAUCCACUAUAGUAACGAUAAGAACGAGAACUACCUAUGAGAAUGGAACUGCUAACUUCGCCUUUAUCUCUUUACUAGAAAGCUGUAUUUCACCAGCUUGCUAACAACCCUUUGCUUUCUUCUUAUUCUUUGGCUAGUGUCAUUUACUUAUAUAUGGAAUAUGAUCUAGCCUAUUUGCUUAUAUUAAGAAUAAGAUCUAGCCCAUAAAAGCAAUAUCGUCGAACUACUGAAAAACUUUGUACUAGCAAACGGAAUAAGCUAACCGAUAUAACAAGGAUGAGGACAGGAAUAAAGAAUACAAGUCAAACUAAUAAGAACGAAACCCAGAUCUUUGCUUUACUGUACCUUGCCUCUCACUAGUGCUUUACAGGCUUUAUCUAAUUCUCAGUGCCUUGCACUUUCGUCUAGCUACCCUGCCCUCUACUCUUCAACAGAUGGUUAUCAUUCCGAAACUCAGGCCUAUAAGCCUGUAUUGACUAUUGAACUCCCUCAUUGAUAUUACUGGAAUUCUUUUAACACCAACUUAGCUCCUUACUUGCAGUCUGGAACCCUCAUCUGUAUUUCACUUAUGAGCCUGCCUUGCCUACCCCAUAAAACAUUAUAACCAUUGCAGCUCUUAGAAAGAAAAAGCUCUUUCUUCUUUGGUUAAUCCGGACAAAUGCUAUCGAAUCAGCUGCUUGAGAAUACCCUCCGGGUGGUUAAGUCUGUUAAGAAGAAUCUAAUCGGUUGCUAGAGGAAGCCAGAAGCAUGGGAAGGAUCUUUAUAGUGAUUUAAGUAAGUAAGCUAGUUUCACCAAUCCUGUUAGUCUCUUUGGAAAAGCCAGUGCAUUUGCUGUGCCAGUGGAAAUUGGAAUGGAUUUUCUUGCUAUAGAGCCAAUAGGUUCCAGGCCCGUCCAUUCUGUCUGUCGUAUAUUGAUUCUACAAGCUACGUCCAGAGUUCACCUGCAGCAAUUCCUUAAACUGACCGGUCCAAAGCUUCUAUUCGAGCUGGAUCUGAUGUCUUUCAAUGACACAGUUCGUUGGAUUCUCGCUAGUUAGUAAAGGCUGUCUUGGAUUUCUCCAAGAGUGCAAAAUGCUUUGACUUCCGCCAGUGCCUAAUCACCGCUGAAACCCUCGUAUCAACAGGCCGCCUGCCACAUUCUAUUUGAUGAGUUACUAUACUAAGUCGAAUCCAAGUCACGUCGCAUCCGAAUAGUGAGAUUGAGCAGGCUCCAGUCGCUAAAGAAAUAGAUUAUUAUCUGGCUCUGUAAGCAAGACCCUUCUGGAAUUCCAUCUUGAUACCCGAUUGAGACGAGUACAUGAUAGUAGGAUCUCUCUUGCUUACAUCAGAACCAUCAUAGCUUAUCCAGGUCUAAAAAAACACCUGAGAAUCCCUCUCCUCUCGUCCUUAAACGCAUCGCUACCUUACUGUGUGAAUGAAUAUUCGAAAAUGUUGAUAUAUUCCUCAACCCCAGGAAAGCUUAGCAUACGAGUAGAACACCCUCUUUCUUGGUGAUGUCGAAGGAUCCGUUGGCGAAUCCGACUUCUGGUUUGCAGCUACCGACACUGACUAAUAGCUUCGCACCUUGCUUAAAUCUAUCUAUUGCUUGAAUCUCUAUUGGUUCCAUCUCUAUUGUUUGAAUCUAUCUAUUGCUUGAAUCUAUCUAUACUUACUCCGUAACAAUGCCGUUAAGCUUCCGGGCCGUAACAAUGCCGUUAAGCUUCUUGGAGUCCCUUCCGGCUCUGCUUUAUGCUGAUAGUAGUCUUUCUUUUUUCUCUUAUUUUGGAUUGAUUUGGAGUUUGUAAUAAAUAAGCCCUCCAUAGAAGUCCCUCACUCGACAUCACUUAGGUAAAUAGCUGACCUUCCUGUCAAGUAAAUAGCUGACCUUCCUGUAAAGUAAGUAUCAUCCCGGGCGAUUGCUAACCACGUCAAAGUUUGAAAAAGCUCCUAUUGAACAAAGUAAAGCUCACCAGACUUAAUACCCACGGGCAUCAAUAUCAAUGCACUUAUCGUACUUUGGAUCCCUUUCAUUCAAAUCGCUGUCAUUCACCACCCUUAGGAACUUGAUGUUUAUACCAUGCCCUCGAAAGUGAUUUCAAUAGCAAGCAUGGAGUGAUUUCAAUAGUCAGCAGUUAUUCUUUCUUAUGUUCUUUCUUUCAUUCCCUGGCGGAGCUAGACUUAUCUGUCUGUUUUGCCAAAGGUGGAACUUACGGCUGCCCUAUGGUAGAACUAUUCAUCUUCAUUUCUCUAACUUAAAUCAAUUAGGACCUGAGGAGAAUCGAUUCAAUGGCUACGCAGCUCCCUCGAGGAUAAGAUCCCAACUAAAGUGGCCAUUAUCGGUACACAAAUUAGGGUUUGCCCCUUUUUCAUGCUCAGGCUUUUUCCACAUCUUCUUCCUCUAUCUUCAUUGCACUAACAGAAUCCAAAGAAGAUGAAACCUUAUCUGAUCCCAUCGAAGAAGGAAAUGAGAUUCAAAUUACCAAGGCUACAUCUAUACUAAGCUAUUCUUCAGAUUUCAUGCUUUUUGACUUCCGAGUCCUUCUGCCUUUGCUACUGAUGCCAUACCGAGCUAGCGGAUAGUUCUCUAUUCCUUAUGAUCUUAGUAGUCGAUUUCCUAUUGCUUCAACAGAAGUGGCUUUCGUUCUUUCAGCGUGGGGAAGAGAAAUGGCUCACGCUUCGAUAAGCCUGCCCCAAAACGGAAAGGGAAUGUCAGAAAAGGUAAAAGCUGGCGGGAUCAACUACUUAUAAAUUGGAUUCUAUAGGAUCCCUGCGUUCCUCCUCACUCUUCUCGGCGGGACUUCUCUAAUUGAUUAAUGUCGUCCGUCCGUCCUGGCGAGACUCAAACAUGUGAGAAAGAAGAAAGGUUUAGCUCACUCACGCCCUCGGCAAUGCUUUCAUUCAUCUCGAAACUUUAUAAGGAAUGCUAAUCAAUCGAUCUCCCCUACUUAAGGAUGUCUGCUUUGCUGCUCAUCUAGCUUUCGACUGCAUAAAGAUAAGCACUUUUAUGAGACAGACUCUUUCUUUGUUCACAGCUUAUCAACGGGUAACCAUAGAAAAAGGAGAGGACGAAAGGAAUACAAGUAAAGUAGACUCGAGUGCUUUCACGAGAAAAUGGUUAGAUCCGGGAAUGGACCUUUUCCUGUUUGAAAAGAUGCUUGCAAUAGCCUAGCUGCCUCUGUCCUGAACUAAUGAACACACACCUCUGGGUAGUUCAUUAACGUAUUUUCUUGCCCUACGGCUAUCAAUUAUGUCCUUAUUACUAGAUAAUAGCUGGACAGGUAUGAUGUAUCCACGCCACACGGGUGAAUGAGUUUUUCAUUGGGGGAGCGAAGCCCCUUUAAGUGGAGUGAGUAAACUAUCCCCGAUCCCCUACACACGCAAGGAGCUAUCAUUUCUCUAGUUCGCAGAGCAAACUUCCUUAUGAGUGAGAAAGGCUUCUAACCAAAGAGAGCGGAAGGCAUUCAAAGACAAAGUAGAAUUAGUAUAGCACAAGAGAAAAAAGUACCUUGUUGCGAAAAUGGGAGUUCUCACGCAUCACUCCACUUACUACUUUAGCAUUAUUAUAUUGCCAUUAUGCUUGUUAAAAGAAAUGAUUAUGUGCACAGGAGUUCGGUUCGCUCUGAGGAGUAAGAGGAUCCUCGGAGAGAUAGAGAGGAUGGAGGGGCUAACAAAGGAUCCCCUAAUGAAAAUCAUAGCUAUGAAUUCCCAGGUCCGGUACUAUUUCAUAUUUCUCAAGGAAAAGCUCCAAUAUUAUGUUGAAUGAAGAAAGGCAUUAGAGAUUCUCUUUCUCUUUAUAGUGGUAUUCAUAUUCAUUGAAGAAUAAGGAACUAGAUAUACUUCAGAAUAAGGAACUAGAUAUACUUCUUUGUAGGGAAAAGGAACUAGCUAGAAUUCUUUGUAGGGAAGGAAGUGACCCCACGGAGCAAUGCCUUAGUACAAGCGCUAAGCAAGCUCUAUUACUGCUAUCUCAUCCUUUAAGCAAUUGCAUCGACCACGGACUCAUUCUUUAAGGAGCACCACAUAGCUUUAAAGGAGAACCUAUCCGCCUGCGAGCGACCAUGGACUCAUUCUGAAAGUAGAACCAUUACCAUGGACUAAUUCUGUUGGUAAGAACCAAUCAUUCUGUGAGCGUUUAUUCGAUCAGUCUGUGAGCGGUCAUUAACUCAUUCAUUGGUCGGAAACUACUACGAGGGUAAUCGCACCGGAACAAACACACCAUACUACAUACCCACGGAAUAAACUCACACAGAGAGAUCACACAGAGAGAGCGGGCAUGCACCUCAUUCUGAAACUAAAGAGUCGCUCAGCCGGAAAGUAACAUCAAUAAACCAGUGGAUGGUGGUGGUUCUAUUGUCAUCGCUUAUGCAUUGGGUGAAACAACAUGAAUUGUUCGGUCGGUCGUGCAUCGAUGGUCCCCGGGCAAACUAUUGAUUUGAGCAGCAUCGCUAUGAAUAAGGAAAGGAUGCGACUUAACGAGCACUAAGAUAAGAAUCAACAUUGGACAUUGCACCGGCACAAACAGCCUCAACAACAGAAAAACGAACGACUUUGUUGUGCUUCAAAAUCGAAAUAGAAACAACCCCUUUUUGAGACCAAAACAGCUAUUGCUAUUCUGCUUUUAUGGAUGUGUCGGUGGCGUACCAGUCUCUAUUCUAAGUACUCUCCGUAAAGUUCAUUGACACCUAUGUGCUCAAGUCCUUAUUUAUUUAGAGUAUGUUAGUUCCGUGCCAGUAGCGAGUCCAGUCUUUAUGUCGGUAGCUCUCCAGUGUAGCGUCCGUCAGUUCUGAAACCAUAAAGUGAGAGUUUACCUCCUUAUUGCCCAACCAACCCUAGCUUGCCCUACCAUAGUUCUCUUUUUCUCAUUUCAACCUCGACCUAUCGCCAAGGAAUGGACACCGGCACCAACCAACAUAGAGAAAAUCCACUACCUUUUUUGCUCCUAAGAUAUAAGCACAAAUACUGUCAAAAUCACCUAGUUACUAUAGGCAAAUACUAAUACACUAAUCAAUAUUCUAUAAGUUCCAAAGAAGAACAAAUAAGAAAACAAAGAAUGCAAUACAAAAUACAGAUUGGGGCUGCUGGGUUCGAUCCUAACAGCACUAGUUUAAGCCAGAGUUAUGAGCUAUAGCCUUGUUGUUCAGUGUCCAAUGCCUAGUUCCGAGUUGUUCUCUUACUUCUUUGUUUGAUUCCAGGAAUCGAAUAAAGAAAAGAAGCUUUAUUAAGACAAGGGCGAGGAAAGUAAACGAGAGAAGAAGUAGUGGAAUCAGUAUAAGGAGCAGGUGAGAGGAAGCCUAAAUAAGGAUUGUCCGCCCCAUAAUAGAAAAGUAAGCCUUAUAGCACUCCGGAACUAAACAUGAAAUUGGGGUUCUCUAUUAUAAGUGGUUAGGGCCUACUACAGCUCCAAAGUAUCCAGUAUAGUAGAUCUCUUCAAAAGAAGAGUAGAUCUCACAAGAGUCUGAACCUAUCGAUUAUAGGCCGCCUAGGCUACAAGCAAGAGCGUGGUUCGCUUUCCUUGCGCUAACGUAGAUUUCUAGUCAUAACACCUUUGUGAAGCAGAGCUCAUGGCUAAUCGUCGGUUAGGUUAAGUGGUUCAAUUGUCUUUCUUUCUAUUCGAAUGAAAUCGUAUAAAGAAGAUCAUACGGAAUGAGAAACUGCUGAGGUUUAGUCUCAUGGAACAGUAUCAAGGUCAGCUUCAUGGUAUAAAGGUGAUGUUAGGAGUUUCGAGUGAAAGAGUUUGUCGUUGCUUGUCUAUCCGUGCCUUGGCCCGUUCCUUGGCGAUUCUUUUAACAAGCUAGGAGAAGUGAACACGAGAAGUUCGAGGAAGUGGGUAAGCAAGCGCCCGACUUAUAAUAUCAAACAUCAAUCUACUAAUCCGUCUUCCAUCAUAUCAAACAUAUACUAAUCCGUCUUUCUCUUCUUAUCUAUAAGCCAGCAAAUUACUAAUAAGUCUUCUCCUCUUAUCUAUAAGCCAGCAAAUUACUAACAAGCUACGCACGCACCUUCUUGUACUCAAUAAGGCAAGGCAGUCGCUCUUCUGGAGUUAAGGUAGUAAGAUAAUGGAUAGGCAGAUGGUAGGGUUUGGACCAAUUAUAAAGCAUAAUAAGGAAAGCGGACAUUCUUAUGAAUUACUUUCUGUCUUAAGAGAGCUAGUACUUAGGAGUUGCUAGUAGCUCUGACUUACUCUAUACUAGUAGCUAGACUAGGAAUGUAGCAGUGAACGGACGGAGAAAGGAGUGAGCUUAGCCCGUUGCCUUUUAGGGAACUUUUGUUGCUGUAGUAGCUUAGGCCGGGACUAUACUUAGGCUUAGGAAAGGCAGUUGACUUGUUGUAGUUGCGGGCUAUACUUAGGCAGUUGACUUGCUUACUAGUUUGUAUAGAAAGACAGCUUAGCAGUAGUUAACUUGCUUGCGGCUAGCUAAGUCUGGUUUGCUCUUGCUAAAGGUAGGACUAGCUCUGGGCGCUAAUGGUAGGGCUAGCUCUGGGCGCUAAGGUCAACUUGAGCCGAGCUACGGACUUAGGAAUAGGAAAGAAGGCAGCGAGUCGCUUAGCGGAGCUCGUUCUAUGGACAUGACUUAGGCAUCGAGUGAAGAGCAAAGAAGAAGUCAAGCCAAUCCACUCUACUCCCAACAUUCCUUUUUUUAGGAGACUGAAUCUUGCUGUAAAUAUGGACAGAAAGCCUAAGAAGACCAAAUCCUUCUUUUGAAACUAACCUAUAAGUAGUAGUGAUAGCAGCCCCUCAAGGCAGGCAGGACGGCUUGUUCUCAAUCGGCGAAGUUAGCAUCAAUCCGCUUAUGCCCGCCCUUUCACCCGACCAAGAAAGACUCAUAGGAAUCAACUGUCAGAAAUCCCUCGUUAAUAUAGAGAAGAGAAAUUCAUAAAUGAAUCCAAAAAGAAAGAAAAAGGAAUAGAACUCAGCUACUGAUAUUCCAUUAUCUCAUUUUAGAACGCGUAGUUCCUUGUAUCUUAUAUAUAGGAUUUGAGACCUACCUAGAAGUCUGGGUUUAGAAAGAGUUGAAAGGUAAAUUGACCUGGUAAAAGCUUAGUUAUUUAAGUAUUUGAGUAUCAAUAUCUAUAGGAAAAGAGUCUGAUUUUGAAAGCUGUCCAAAAGGAAGGGAAUGAUUGCUGAUAGAACCGUAUGUAUACAAUUGGUGUGGAGGACCAUUUCUGCGAGCCCUCCUUCUUUGGAAUUGAAUAAAAAGUCACAGAAGGGGACAAGUAACUGAUUAAGGAAAGGCAUAAGUUUCCAUUUGCCAAGGAGAGCAGUUCUAGAAAGAAAGUGAUUCGCUGCUUUAACCCUUUCGGAGCUUCCAAAGGAGUCGCAGAGAUUUGAAUUGGAAAAGAGGAUCCCACUUAAGAUUUGUAGACGGUCCUCUCACUGUAAAGAAAGAAGUAAAGGAGCGGAAGUCGAUUCGCCAACGGAGAGCGAAGUAGGACAUUCAUACGAUUUGCCAACGGAGAGGGAGGUAGGACAUUCAUACGCAGACACUCCAUUUAGGAAGAUGCCCAGAAGAAGGUUACAAGCAUAUAAUGGAUUGAAUAGGGUACCUAAGGAAAGGACUAGAAUAGAUUGUUAGCCAAGAGAAUAGGGUACUUUAGGACAGACUAUAAAGGCUUGUUAGCCAAGAGAGAAUAGGGUACUUUAGGACUAGAAUAGAUUGUUAGCAAGAGAUUGAAUGAAUAAGCGAAAAUGCCCAACACAGCCUAUACUAAGAAAGCGAAUAAGCUCUUGUCAGGUCUAGAAGCAAUCACUACACUGGGAAUUACACAGCGACCAACAGUACUCAUAGAAAUAGGAAUAAGGCUUCCAAAGAAGAGAAUCAAACCUAAGAGAAUGAAGCUGCUACCUGAACUCGAAAACAAAAAACUAUGGCUUUGACUCCUGCUUUUAAUGGUUGAACUCGGAUAGCGUACUACACCGAUAGGAGCUAGUAGAAACCAAUGGAGCUAGUAUAAACACUAGGGAACUAAGAAAUCCAUAGAGCUAGUAGAAGACCGAGAAGCGAUGCCGGGAAUCCAAACACUGCUUUUGAACUUGAAACAUAGGGGGAUCUAACUGGACUGUAUCUACUACUUCCAAGACUGUUGCUACUUACUUCAAUACUCUAUCUUAAAGUGGAGUUUGGGCAAGGCAAGUUCAAUAUCAAGUUUUCAUAGGGUAGCCUACAACUUCUAGUUUACAGUUUCGUCUUGUUUUCCUGUGACAGAUUCUCAAAUAAGGAACCACUCUGAACUCAAUGACCACCAAGCCCUAUAUCAAGUAUUUCUCUAAUGCCUAUUAGUCUGUUACUGCUGCUUCUUGUAAUGAAAUAGGAAACGCGUAAUCCCUUUAUCAUACUGAUACAAUAACACAGCAGGGAAUCCCCAACUACCGAUAAAAAGAAUGUGGUUGCUGCCUAUAAGGCUGGAAUCACUGCAGGAAAGAAUCAAUCGCGCAAUAGGGAAUCGAAGACAGAGGAGCAGUGCCCGGACCGACUGUAACCAAUACUUAUAUAAGACUCAUCAGAAUGCCCACUCGGGGAUCAAACUCAAGAUUGAAAUCACUUGCCAACGAGACUUACCCCACUAACGGGGAACUCGGCUACUGCCUAAUAGCACUGAAACAAGUGACUCAACUACUCUUAUCUAAGUAAGCCUUAGAGUCUGGCUUGUCUGCUUCAAAAUGGUACUACUGCGUCUAGGAAUAAGGAAGAAAGGUAUGACUUCUGAGAAUGGGAGCACUGUUGAUAAGAACCAACCUUAUGGGUAAGGUACAUCGGAGUAGGAAGUAAGAAGAAAACCACGCCGAUAAGGCUUUCACUCAAAACGGAUAAUCAACAUGCCUUUCCGACAACAAGGACUGAACCAAGGAAAUAAGGCUUAAGGAGUGAAUCGUAGAACAUAGGAUCGAGCAAGAGAGAACUCGAAUUGAUUUGAGUAGAAGCUUGCCCGACCCUCUAUAGAAGCUUUGCCUAAUACCUCCUCACCUUCUUUAAAGAGCACUACACAGCCUGAGGGUAACAUCCGUAAGUCUGCGUCUGAUGUGGUUCUAUUGGUGAUGUCCCCUGCAUUGGUCGGACCAACAUUUAUUCCUAAAGUAACAGCAACAAGUAUGUCGAGCAGCAUCCCCGAUUAGAGCCGCACAGGCAAGAGUUCUGUGUCCGGUCCGAAGAAGAGGUGACUCCUCAUUUCUUGUCGUAACAGCAUGAAGUCUUAGGUAAGCAUCGCACAGUCUAUGAGCUACAUUAAUAUACUCAUUGAUUUUUAUACGAAACCAUAUUCCCUUGCACACCUAUCCUCCAAACUGAGUCUUGCCUUACUGACUUAUUAGUCUACAUUGUCACUCGAACGACUAUAUAGAUAGGAUGCAACUAAGGGGUAGAGGCGCGGAAGUGAAUUAGUAAGGCUUUUGUUCUUUGUACGAGGUGUCAGGGCUUGGUCCGCCAGGGCGUAGAAUUAGGCUUUGACUGUCGGGUUCAAUUCCGUAUUUGUAUUUAAGGAAAUAGGCAUAUAGGUAGAUUUCCUACUUUAUGGAAAUAGGCUAAUGUGGUAAAGAAAUAGCACUAGGUCGGUUGGUAAUAAGGAGAACUAGGGUUUCGGGCAAGAAGGAGUGGAAGAGCAGACUUUUUAGUGAAGGGGGGAAGGAACGAAAACAGGACUUGGUCAUAAUUAUUUAUAACAAUUCCUUUCUAUAGAAUACCGUAGCUUUUCCUUAGUUUGUAUACAGAAGGGUGCGCUCUAACUAGAUUUUGGAUGCCCCAAAGAGCUACCCCCAACCCGAGUCUAAGAGAUAAAGGCUAAGACAAUGCAUUUAAAGUACUAGGGUAAGCAAACGGGAUAUAAGCAUUGGCUGUUAUAAUAGGAGAGCUAACUAGUUGGUUUUCAAUAAAUUCCAUUAUUUCUGUCUUUUCUCCUCCCAGUGUCCGCCUAGAAAAAACCUGAUUGGAGUGGAAGGGAUCCUAUGAGCCAGGUGCCAACUAGGUUCCUGCGGUUAGGAUUAUACCUCGGAUCCAGAUCGGGAAGUGUUGUUUUGGGGGAUGCCAGCAAGGGCUAGUUGUCCAUCUUGCUUGUUAAGAUGUAAGACCUAAGGUCUGUGUCGGGAUCCAGGUCCAGUUGAUGCCCCCAUCGAGGCAUGCACCAACCAUCUUGAUUCCUUCGGUUAGGGUUCUGGUUACAAUUCCUAUGGUUUCUAGGGGCUCCCUAUUUGUAUGACAUUUCGUUUUCCCCUAACUGGCGAUCCAUGGGCAUCUCCGUACACUUUUGAAGGUACUGUGGAGGAGAUCUUAUUCUCAUUUCUUUCUAUAGGACUAUACACCCACCCACCGUGUAAGGAUCCUAGGUAAACCUUCCUACCAGUUGUAAGGUAUAUUUCUUCUCUUCUGCUACUUUGCCUUUAGACUGGGAUUACCUUGUCAGUUAGUUCUAGGAUAUCCUAUGCGUAGAUUCCAGGGGGUUAGAGAUCGGCUCCGUUUUACAAUAGGAAAUUGACCCCGUACAACUAGGCAUUCUCAAAUAGACAGCCAGUACAUGAAAGUCAGACAGAUAGGAAAGGGUAUACCUAACCCCUGAUAACUUCUAUGUGGUUCUACAGUUGCUCAUACUCUCUGACAAAACUUGAUGAGCCGUAGCGGUUUCACUCUAAGACUAACCCUACCAACGAGGUAUCUUUAUACCCUUUAGACUACUUAAUAGUCAGGUGCGCCCCAUUGAAAGGUUUCGAAUUUCUAUCCAUUUAUAUCAUGAGUUUUCAAGGAUUGGUCUCUUGUGGUUGGGGAUGUCAAAUAAUUCCUACCUUCCUGUGAUGCAUGUCAACGAACUGGCAAAGAAAGAAAGAAAGGAUAUCGAAGGCUGAAAGGAGUGGCGCUGGGAAAUGAACUAUCACUUAUGCCCUAGAAGCCAUCUGCAAUGUUAACGGAAUAUGGUAUAGGUCAAUUGGGUCUAAAAGGAAUAAUCCUAAAGGUCCGCUACGCUUCUUUUUGGAAGUAAACUCUCCCAUCUUUAGUGCGCUCUUAGGUUCUGUUCUCUCUUGAAGUGUGUUUUGCUUUCGCUAAUGAGAGUUGGUAGUUGGCUUACUUUCUUGUUAGAGGACAGGUAGUUGACUACUUGCUGUUGUUAGGCGGUGAACCAACCGGGUGAUUGUUGGGGAGAGAAUGAGCCCCAACACCAACCACCCACGGGGGAGGAACUUCAGAAGCAGAUGUUAGACUUCGCCGCCUACUUCCGCUCAAACAGAACCAAGCCCCCGCGACACAUGGUAGAGAGCCUUAUCGAGGAGCUUCAAGUAGAUUCAGCUUCGGACGAAACCAAAGGAACGAGAUUUCCCUACUUAUCUCGGGUAUCUUGAACGAUCCGCACGCAGUGACAGAUGGUCAACGGGCGAAUGGCAUUUCUAUAGUAAACAGACUCAGUGUUCAAGGGCUCCGUAGGGAAUCUUAGUCGGUUUGUGAGCGCCUUCCGGUAUAGCUAGUCUUCUGUCCGUCCCGAUUGCCGCUAGUCAGUAGCUCGCUUCCGGAUAAACUACUAAAAACAGUGCGCAAGCAAACACAUAAUCGAAAAUAGAAGGAUCAGUGCCCGUAGCUGAGUUAGGUUUAGAUGGUCGUGAUAAGCUCUACUAUAAAGAAAGCCAAUGAGUUUUAUGAAUAGAGGGAGUGCUGCUCUCUAAGGGGCUUUUCCGGCCAGCCGUUGAAUUCCAUUCCUCGAUGCAAUCCUUAAUUAUCUCUUCUCUGGGGCGAGAGACAUGAACAAAGCUUGGCGCGGAAUAAAUACAGGUAUAGAAAGGAUCGAACAUAAAUAAAGAUAAGAAAGGAUCUUUCAUAAGAGAUGAAAGGAUCGAACAUAAAUAAAGAUAAGAAAGGAUCGAACAUAAAUAAAGAUAAGAAAGGAUCGAACAUAAGAGAUGAAAGGUGCUAAGAGCCUACUAGAAUGGAAAAAGAAAAGUAGACCAUAGGAGUCAAAGAGAAGAAAUAGCUGCUGCACGUUCGUUCAUACUCAUGCUCGGCAAGAACGACCCUCAUCAAAAAGCGGUAUAUGUCCUAUGCAGCAGAUUAUAUCUUAUACUAUAGCUAGAACUCUUUGUAAUUACACUCAUCCAGCUUUUCCAUAAGAGAUGAAGCUUUGUUCUGCCGACUCCUUUCCAACUCAAUGAUCUGUUCCUGGAAAGAUUAGUGGGCGGUCUUCAGAUCCUUGCGUACAGCGUGGCAUGCAUCAAGGAAGUGCAUCUUUUCCUUAAGGGCUUAUAAAGUUAUUUCGCUUUAGCUACUACCUCAGCCACGAUUACGUUCUUCUUCUCCAAGAUCAUAUAGGGAUAGAACUUAUUCCGCUUUCCCCAAAACUAAAGACUUCCAAUGCAAUGAAAAAAGCACGACUCCGCUUAGAGAAUGGCGACAAAGCCCUGUGACUCAAAAAAGCCCUCUAUCGGCAACUGUAGACAUAUCCGAAAGUUCUACUAGAGCACACUCUCGGAGGCGGCGAAUCAAAGAAUGACCCAUCUAAUUCGAAAAUAUAGAAAGACUGGAAACAAGCAUAUAACCCAGCACUCACGAUUUGCUAGCCACGGCAUCACCAGUAAAAGAACCCUGAUUGCCUUAUUCCAGUAUUAAGGGAAAAGAAAACCAAACAUAAAGUAUAGAGUAACUACGAAGACCAAAAGCCCGGCAUUUCCGUCUUAGAUGCCCCCCGUCGAAGGCAAGGCAGAUCUUUUGAAUUCAAAGAAGAGCCUUAAGAUCAGACAAGAAAGAAGCCAAAAUAAUUCCUAGUAAGUUGCGGAAAAGAGAGAGCAGAGGAUUUGCGACCUGUUAAUGUACGAGGUAGGCUUGAACAGCGUAGGCUCUUUGCAAGAAGGGUAAGGCAAGCGCAAGGAUUGGCUGACAGAGUUCAGGCGAAUGAAGAAAAGCUAUACUAUAACGGACUUGUAGCUUCUAGUGCUCGAGUGGCUUGCAGCUUCGGGUGCGAAUACGGAUACCGCUUACUUUAGAGCUCGUGCUGUUGCGAGUAAGUAGUCUCUCUGCUCAUAGUCGUCCCGUUCAUAGACGCUAGAGCUACUACGAUAAGGCUAGCUCCUCGUAGAGUGGCAUUAGCUCCUCUUCAACCAGUCGAGUUCGAGUGCGCUGGUAUACGAUGGUAUAGGGUGCUUCUCUGAUCUUCUUCUUCCCACGAUAAACGAAAGAAUUCCUUGUAGGGCAAAUACAGGACUUGUAAUAACUUCUACAUAACUGGGAACUAUAGCAGCCCCUGAGGAAUGGACUCGUUUCUCUAGUCUUUACCUUUGAUCUCCAUCCUUGUAAUGCCGACUCUGAUCCUUCCUGGCCGGACUAUAUCAUAUAUCGCCUUCACUCUACGGUCUUUCUUCAAGAGAAUGCCCUUUGUCCUAAUAUACUAAUUACCUGACUCAAACAAAACCACCAACAGGUCCUUCUUUCAAACUCGGUCAAUCUGUUUGCGAGAAAGAGAAAAGAGAACUUCCAAACUAUAGCAUUUUCCAAGAAUAGCCCUUAUUCCUUCAACGGCAGCAGCAGGGUGGUCUACGAUCAGUUCUAUAAUAUAAUAUAAUAUCGGAGUGGAAGGGCAAAAGAUUCCAUUCUUCCGAACCCCAGAAAAUGGAAAAAAGAUUGGAAUUUUGCUUACGUCCUAUGGCCCUGCUACUCUGAUGCUUUGCCGAGCUCCCGACCGAUGUCUCGAUCCUAAUGGAAGCGCUUUCUUUUUUAUUGAAUCUAGUUUUUGAAUACAUUAGUUUAGACUACUGAACUAGCUCGACCACGCUUUAAUUCGAGACAAGGCGAAAACCUACCAUACUGGAAAAGCGGGACAGAGGAGGAAGCACAAGAAGACCUACCAAAAGCAUAACCGAAUCUAUCAACAAAACAAAGCGUGGAGGAUCACUUAGUGGAAACUCGAUGGAAAAUAGAAUCUUAUGGCGGUGAAACAAGAAUAUCCCCUAAUAUAAUGAGAAUUCUCCAAAUCUCACUCUAACGAGGAAGCGCAUACUUAUUUCAUAGACUCAUAAAAUAGACUUCCUUCCUUUACCUUUAGUGGGAAAAUUCCAUUGGGUUAAGUGGAACAAUUAGCAUUAGCCAUUACAAAAAACACCUACUGUACUGGAACUUGAAGGAGGAGGGGCGGAAACUCUAUGCCCUUGGAAAACAGAACGGAAGAAGGGAAAGCUGCCGCGCAACACGAAAACUGUACUUUGAUUCUUCAUUGCUAACAGAGCUUACUUACUUGACUUUGAUUCUUCACUGCUAACAGAGCUUACUUACUUGACUUCGAUUCUUUCUCUUUGUGGGCUAACUCUUGCUUUCCUGACCUAUGUGCCUACUACCACUAUCUAUAUGAGUCUGUCUCUCCUUGCUUUCGUUCUGUAACAUAACACUCCAUUCUCUUACUAUCCCUUGGAGAAUAAAGAAAGAAACUAGUGCUUCUAAGCCUAAUCCCUAUAACAGAGUAAUUGAACCAUUACUUCUACUACUUGCUUGGCCCGGGCUUUCACUACAAUAAAACUAAUAGAGAAUGCAACGACUACUGGAAGGAAUGAUAUAACUACUCAUAAGAAUCGGACAACUGCUAAUAGGUCUCGAACCGGUAAGGGCCUAACUCGCUAACGCGCAACUGACGUAGUUGCUUGUUGGAUCGAACUGGCGCUUAUGAGACCUUAGCUACUGACUUCAAAGCUGCCCUGAACCCUGUUACUACUGAUCUGGAUCCUUACUUGCUAGCUUCCAACUUCCACUGCUUAAUUGUAUCCUUGAUGUCCACUAGUUAGCCUGCCCUUACAGACUUUCAAACUCUCACUACCAUCGGGUACUCUUCCCUUCCUUACAAGCAUUCUAUAGUUCCCCUAUGAUUCUGACUUGUUUGAUUCUGUUACUAGAUUCAUUAGUAUAGGAGUUGUGUUCGGGAGCAAUCCAAUCCAUAGUUCUUAAAGAAAUCAAGGAGGAGCAAUCCAAUCCAUAGUUUCAUCUGUAUUAGUAGCCCGAGAAAGGCACUAGUGCGCAUCUCCUUUUUGACCAAAACCAGAGUAUGAUGAGACUGCCCUUUACUAGGAAUUGGAAAGUCAACUAUACUUACUCAGCUUUAGUAGAAUUCUUAUUAGCUGUUAGAGCAGAGCCAGUAGUAGGAAAUUGAGUUGCUUGAUCGCUAGCUAUAAGGUAGAGCACUUUCACUACUUAGUUUCAUUCUGACUUGAUAGUGACCCCCAUAUAUACCGGAGUCGUGGUCAGUAAACUAGUUCAAUUAGUUCAAUACCUUAACCUUAGUUCAAUAGAGGAGUUACAGAGUGAAGUGAGUAUCGAUGUAUUCUUCUGCUCUAAUUGGAAUUCUUUUAGGCUUUCUUCCGUUUCCUACUCCCCUGAGUCGAGUCUGUCUGGUUCAUAAUCUUGUUCGGAUAGCCUACGUAGCAGUUCUUCAAGUCGAGUGAGGGUGCGAGGAAAGGAGACAAGAUGCUUGUUCGAGGAAAGUAUGCAAGAGAAGGAGCUGUCAGUCUAUUUCAAUAUUUCUUUACCGAGUGCUCGAAUACAUGACUAAUGAGUUUCACCCGGAUACGGAGAUAGAGAAGAUGCGGGGGCGGGUCUGUCUUCAAGUUCCCUGUCUCCAAGAGAGGAAAAAAAGGACUUGCUCUUGAUACAGCUACUGCUUCGGCGUCCAGUUUACAGGGGCUUGGUGACGUGACUUGACUUCAUACAGGAAAGACCUAGACUUAAUGACUUGACUUCAUGCAGGAAAGACCUAGACAAAAGUGCGAGUGUUGUAGGUGCCUCUUCAUCACUUAUAUAAUAAAGAAAAGAAUUUCAGUGGGCAUGCUCUUAUACGUAGUUGCUUAUCGUCGGCGUACUUCUUAGCCUCUGUCUCUGGCUCCUAAAGUAGUUCAAAUGCAUGCGCUAGCUGAAUAAAGGUGAACUCCGUACUGGUUAUAAUGGUAUUUAUUGUUGCUAUCGAUAAGAGAAGAGAGCCUCAUUCUGUUUUGUUGCUAUCAAUAAGAGAAGAGAGCCUCAUUCUGUUAGAUUAGAUGAAAUGGUAUCUCCUUAUAAGAGGGAUAGAUCUAGUGGAUAAGCCUUAGGGAAGCUGUUAAGGAGGCCCUUAUUGUAAGUUGGGAAGCAGUUCAAUUAUCAGCAACAAGUGUUCGGGAGCCAGCAGCAACUGGAAACCAUAGAGCAGGAGCAGGCAAUUCACUUACCGCAGCACAAGCACCCGACCCGACCUACACAUGAAGGGAACUUUAAGACAAGACUCAUUUCAUCUCCAGCCGAUGAUUCUCGAUUGAGUUAUACUCAAGGUGUAAAUGAUCUCUGCAAAAAGGGGGUGAUAAUGCCUAUAAGCAGGCAAAGCUCCUAUCUGAGUUCUGACUUCAAUAUGGGGAAGCAAUGCUGUAUUCUGUUGCCAUAGCUUUUUAUGCUUCUCUUCACUAUAAUGCUUCCUUUAAGAACAAAUAGGCGCCUGAAGUAAAGGAUCGGAUCGGAAUAGGAUCCAAAAGUCAAUCACCGGGUUGCGAGUUAAGUGGUGGAGAAUAGAAAGGGCACAUGGGGAGCAGGGGAGCGCAUAGAAUGAAUUUGAUUGCCUAUAAAACAGGGCUAUGUAUAGAGUCCGCUUGUUAGCUCCUUUUCCAAAGUCUGAUUAGAUGUCUAUUUGAAUUUCCUAUUUGUUCUUAUCCUUGUCUGGAACAGAUCUCUUGGCCCCUAAGGGACUGGUCUUAAAGGGAAGUUUAGGUCGAGGUUAACACUUAUCGGGGUUAACACUUAUUAGAGGCAGAGGCAGAGGGGCCGGCCUACUAAAUGAAUUCUUCUCUUAUAUUAGGAUAACGUUUACUCCUAGACGAAACUCGAUAUUCGAAUUCUCUACAAGGGACAGGUCUUCCGCUCAGGUACUUCCACUCAGGGAACAGAUAUCAUAGAGAGCACUGGGUAGGCAAGAAGGAGGUCAAUAAAGAAUCCGCAGUUGGUAGGAAAGGGCAGUAUCUUUUCCCUCUGUUAGUACUUCAUCAGCAGGAAGUUUAGUUGAGUGCGCCAACCAAUACUGUAAGGGUCAAUUCCUUCUGUACCCAUCAAUUAUCUUACAGAGUUGGUUACUUCUUUAAAGAGACUAUCUUCAUUCCACUCAAAGCAAAGAAUUCCACCAUUUCGCGCCUACCGGGUUGGUGAGUUCCCUUGCUCCAGCUUACCUAGGCUAGGCGGGGUACGAGACAGCUAGCAAUUAGCAAUCCAUCUAAUACAGUGAGAAAACCAUUGAAAAGCCCAGCUUAUAAAUGAAUCUGACGAGCAUAUUUCACAAAUUUGUAGACCAUUUGCCUUCGAUGUUGGUGCAUAGUAGGUUGUUGGAUAUUAGGUAAUGAUUGCAUCUAUAGGUGGAAUGGAUAUUAGGGUCUUGGGGAGCUAGUUCUUUUUCUCGUUGGAAUACUAAGCUAAUCUAAUUACAGUGCUACGAGAAACCCCCACUUUGAUAGUACUAAGGCAAGCAACUGGGCAAGCAGACUACCGGCUAAUCGGAAUAUGCCUAUCAGAUCAGAACCCGACAUAACCCCCUGACCAACGUCGUCGACUCCCAUCCCAGGUAUCUUCCCUUGAGGAAAGGCUGUCUCAGUCCUAUUAAGAAGUUAACGGUCUAUAGUAGGGCCUAGUUCCCGUUGUAUUGGAUUGGAUCUAUCCUUAUCGGCCAACACGUCUUUAAAUCUAAGUAUUUGUAACAAAGUCGCUUUAGUCCUAAUAGUGUUAUUCCUUGUGAUCACAUAUUCCCUUACUCUAUUUGCUUGACAGAAAUCAAUCUGAUCAUAAACAAAGGGAUCGGCACCCUUAAGCUGCUUUAAAAACGGGUUUGCUUCAACUCACUUGAUUUAGUAGUUUCAAGAUUCCUAGCUUCCUUCAAAGAUAAGAGAAAAGACUGCUGAUUUAGUGGUUUCAAGAUUCCUAGCUUCCUUCAAAGAUAAGAGAAAAAGACUGCUUGUCCCACACAAAAGAAAGACUACUGCUUGUCUCACACAAAGGAAAGACUACUGCUUGUGCUACACUUUGUUAUACAGCCCGUACAAACGAGGAGGGGCACAUGUUUGAUAGGUAUACUGACUUACACACGGUAUCACAAUCGAUCAAAUAAGCCUUUCUUUCUCACAGGCCUGCUCAAGCAACUCCAAUAAAAAGUACUCUUGAGCUUUCAGGCCACGGAGGCUCGCCCCACCAUGUAAAAAGCAUACGAGUCAAUUAGCUCAAACCCCAGGAGCAAUAAAGGGUCAAGUCCGGUUGAUCGUCUGUGCAAGUUAGGACAUGAGUUCCGGUUCGCCCAAGGAGUCUUUCCUAUUCCCCCAAGAGAUUCUAAACUAGCAGACUCCGGAGCACCCCAACUCCACUUGUUGACUAAGAUACAAGGGCACCUGAACCUCUAUCCUCUCUAAAUUCUAUCUUAUUAUUGAUAAAGAGAAAAGGAUAGUGAGCUUAUCAUCGGGAUCGGAGGCUGGUCCUGUGCGAGUGUAAUCUACUUAUUGCUAUUCGAGGUCUGUUAUGAAAGUGGAGUGAAAUUGUAAUAGAAAGUAGCGAGGGUUGGUGCUCUAGCUCAGCGAGGGUUGGAGAAGGUACCUGGCUCGGCUCAUCUAACUUCAUUCUGACUUGCUUCAUUAAGACCUCUGGGUACAACUAUGACUUGGUUCCAUUCUUACCUCGGAUCGGAGAAUUAAUAUCUUUUCCAAUAGGCUAAACUCUUUACUUAUAGCUUCAAAGCCUCUCCUCUGGCAAUAAAUACUGAUUCAAAAGCACCACCAGGGGAAGGCAACCACUGAGGAAUAGAAGUUUUCUCAUCAGCGGGAAGUUCAGAGUUCAGAUAGGUAGUUGCGAGGGCUGGAGAAGCUACCCGGACUGCCGCUAGAGUUCCCCCGUUAUUACAAUAUAUGUCUUCGUAGCUUUAUGCUAGUGAGGGCAGGCUUUAUUUGCGGGGUGGGUCUUAUCGGUAGUAGUUUGACUCUGAUCAUCAUGGUCCUAAUGAGUUUCAUCCCCAACCAGUAUUGUAGUCCAGAGUCCAGAGCAAUAACUGUAUGAGUUGACAGAGCCCAUAGGUAUAGAAUCACUUGUUACUAAUGUGACUGAUAGAGCCACUCAUAGGCAAGGGAAGCAGUUCAGUCAGAAGGAGAGAAGGGAAGCAGUCUGAGUAUAAGAAUGCAACUAGAAACUGCCAAGUCCUUUCUUCACCUCCCUAGUUGUUAUUACCGAGUCCUGCUUUUUGGGAGCUCUGGCAAAAAGAUCAUCAAAAACGAGUCCUCUAGUAGGGAAGUUGGAUCUAUAAGAGCAAGAGCAUCUGUUUCUGUUCGCCUAGCCCUUAAGUAAAUGGUAGAAAGGAAAUCCGCUGCUACCGGGCUAAUCAUUCCGUUUCUUCCCAGAGUUUUGCCUUACUUAUAUUAGGGAGGUCUGUUAUGAAAGUUAUGUUAUUGUGAGCAACAGUAGGAAUGAGUUCAAAAGUAUUCAAAAGUUCACUAUACUAGUCUCAGAAAACGGUAGGGCUGCUCUUUUAUCCUUAUUGAAUGGAAAGGACAUUCUAAUUCCGCAGCUGACUUGCGAACUGAUCCUUCUCAAGCUUCUGUAGCAAAGCAAAGCCAGUACUAUCUUUCUCUUCUGCUGAUGCUCCUGACUCUAUACUUGUGGAAUCAAUAGGUCCAUUCUGAUAAUACAUACCCAGAUCUUAAAGCAAGGGAACCCCGAAACUUACUAGAAGGGCCCAACCUCUCCUAUCAGAGGGCAAUUGCAAAUAGGUAGUACUUACUCGACCCUCCCUUAGCUCGAUAAGCUCGACUCUCCCUUAGCUCGAUAAGCUCGACUCUCCCUUAGCUCGAUAAGAAAGUGUAGUUUCAGAAGACCACAUUUCAGAAUGAAACCCGUAAGUAGCAGCCUUAAAGCACCCAGUAGUAGCUUGAGAAGCCUUAAAGCACCCAGUAGUAGCUUGGCAGUCGCCUAGGAGCCUCAUUCCGGUAGAAGAGAUGCUCUAGUCCAUAGUCGAGGUCGUCAAUUCCAUUCUUUUCCGUAGUAACAGUAGGAUAAGAGGUAUACCGAAUGCAGUUCAUAGUAGCAAGAGAGGAGCAUUAAUUAAGGGCACAGGACAAAGAAAGCAGGUAGGGAGUCAUUCGUUGAGAUCGAUUCUGAAUACCGAGUGGAGUCUGAAGUUGACUAGUAGUGGUAAGUGGCUGGCCCUGACUCAUUUAAUUCAUAACUAAAUAAUUGUUUGGUGCUUUAGCUCCUAGUAGUGGAGUAGUUGAAUAAGUAUGAGUUUACAGUUUCAUCAGUAUGAGUUUACAGUUUCAUCAGUAUAGGAGUGAGUUAAGUCAACGAUAUCAUAAGCCUUAUCAUAAGCCGUAGCAGUAUCCAAUCAGUCAGCAGCAAAUAGUUCUUCAAGUUACAUAGAGUUUGGGGCAGAAGAUAAAGAUCAAGAUAGCACUGGCAAGGAAGCGCUAAGUUCAUCAAUUUCAUCUGUGUUUGUUGUCGACUCUCAAUCAGAUGUGAAAGCCUUAACCGAGUGGUGAGUUGGUCCAGGGCAGAAGAAACGACUAAUUAAUAGGCUUACCGCUACUACUAUAGUAACUAGUAAAAGAAUAAAGAAUAUCGUUUUUCCUUCCCGAAUUAGAUAUUAGGCCUGAGUUAAGGUAUGCAAUUUAGGAUUCCACUCGUACUAGGCGAACUGACAGAUAAGCGGAUAGACAAGUCCAGUAGUGGUAAAGUUCUGGUUCUUGACAAAGUACUGUUUUCCACUACCUAGCUCAAUCCCCGGUUUCUUACCAAAGAGUGAAAAGAAAGAGCAUAAGUGGAAGUCUAGUUUGUAGUAUACGCUUGGCAGUUGCCCUUAUAGUAAGUUGCUAGAGUAGAGGUGUAGUUGCCUUGCCAGCAGCCAGUUUCAUACCGAGUGCAAUCUCUUAUUGGAAUGAUUUGUUUACUUCAGAUCCACUGGUGCUUUACUUCAUAGCCACUGGUGCCUAGCUGCGUAGGGGUCCUGUUUUGCCAGUGGAGUAGUCCAGAGCCAUAACUUGAUUAGCAGACUGAGGAGAGAGAUUGGCUGUUUCAUCCCUUGAGUACAGCUCCAGUGAGAGUGGGAUUCCCCAGUUGCAUUCUUUGCCAGUAGUUGAGAGUAGCUAAUGGAAUUCUGAUUUCUAGAAGUAGAGAGGUCGGGAAGUAUGGACUAGUUUCCAGUUGCCAGAGGAGAGGAAAGGUAAAGUAUCCAGUGUAGUUUCGAGUGGAUAGUGGAAUUCUUUAGAAUGUAAUUAGUUGACAGAGGGGAGAGAGGCAUAGGCCUAGGUGAAAUGCUGUAGACAAGAAUGAAGCCUGGGAACAAGCUGCGUAGCCCAGAGCAAUAACAGUAGUUGACUUACCGGUCCUAUACUCAAGAAUGGAGUUUUCGAAUUGACUUGACUAGGAUAAGAAUGAAGCAAGUCAGAGUUCAACUUCGUAGGGAAAGUCAGAAUGAUAGAGCUAUGCCCAAUUCUCUUAUAGUGGAAUCAGUAGUAGUUACAUGUAGACUUGCCUAGCCUAAACUCCUUGUAAGAGAAGAGAAAUAUUCCAUUCCUUGUAAGGUAAGAGAGAUAUUCCAUUCCAGUAGUAGUAGAGAGGGGAGCCAGAGUUUUAUAAGAUUGAUUUCAUGGUAUAUGCCCUACCGCCCGAACAAAGCACUUUAUGAACAACACUUCGCACCAACCUCUUCUCGCCCUUAUCCAUACUUCGCUCCUUCCUUGAAGAAUGGAGUUUCCUCGGCAUGAGAACUCUUCUGUUAUCAAUAGGAAUUGACCCUGACCUUUACUUGCUGAUGAUCUUGUUCCUUACGUUUGAUACCUUCCCUUCCUUUGUAGCGGCGGUUAACUUGCCUUGUAGCAACCCUGUCCCCUGCCCUAUUUGUAGUUGCUUGCCGGGCUUUCACGCUAGAUUGAGAAUCGAAAGGAACGGGCUUUCACGCUAGAUUGAGAAUCGAAAGGAACCAGGUAUGGGAGUACUGCUCCUGUUCUUGUUCCAGCUCAUGACUCUGGUCUAGUGGUUACUUGGCUAAUAGUGUCUUGUCUAGUAUACGCUUGGCUGAGAAAGAGGAAAGGUUGUUAGUAUCAGAGUUGAGGUCAAGAGGAUUGAAAAGAGGUAAGUAAACUAUAGUAAAGGAGUGAAAGAAGAAAGAAUGGUUAAAUAGGGAUGCCCCACCCCUAGUUAAAGAGUUUGUAGAGUUAAGAAAGGAGUUAGUGUAUUUGUAGAGGUAAUAGAACAGUAGGAGUGAGUUCAAUAAGAAUCGUGGUUCUGCAAGGGGAGGUCCUGCGCUAACAGGAAGCUAGGCUAUUGUAGAAAGAUCAGAUGCUGGGGCACGAGUUCCAUUUCUUCUUUUGUUUGUGCUAACACUGGCUUUCCAGGCUUUGGAGUGCCCUGUGACAUCUCUUUCUAUACAAGGGCUCGAUGGAUUCCAUUACAGAAGCAACUACAGAAGGAAAGCUAGAAACAGAGUAGAAGAAUUAAGGUAUAUGAGCAAGAGGAUGGUUAUUGUAGCCAUGGGAGAGUUCAAAGAACCAGAGGGGAGGUAUAAUUAAUAGAGUUUAGUUACGACAACUCCGGAUGCUGUUAGAAAUACAAAUUAAUAGACUUACCACUAUACAAGCAUAGAAGACUCAAACAGUUAGAAUUGCACUCCGUAUUUACGGUCUAAGUAGACAAAAGCAUUCGACUCAUAUAAGAUGUUAGUUAGUACGUUGCCAUGAAAAAGUCCUGUGUGUUUGUUUUCGGCCCUCCCUAUCGCCAACCGUUAACUCCUUCCUUUAAGAAUAGAGUGGACUUUACUACUUACAGCAAAGCGCAUUCAAGCAGGAAUGAAGAAACCAUCCAGUAAGAAUGAAAGUAAGCCAGAUAAUCCUUCAUUUUGGUGUUCGUUCGUCUUCCAAUUCCAUUCCAUUCUGAUUUCUUGCUCUAGUGGUGGCUUGGUCAACAGUAUAUGAUUCUUUGUUCACAGAAGACAGUCAAGUUCCAACAAGACUAAGUGCGCUAACGGGAGCAGCAAGUGUUUUUUCAAGUUAAGUGUAGGUCGGGGCUUAAGUGGAAUCUGUUUGUAGGUAAAGUGUAAUCUCUUUGUGUGCGAGUUUAAGAUGAAUCCCUUAUACCUCCUAUAACAUGAGCUAGCUGCAGAUUUAAGGCAACGAGAAAUAUACACCCCUAAGAAGGAACUAAGAAAAAGGGGAUUUUCGCAGAUAGGUCGGACUGAGCUCCACAUGGAUGAGCUACUGACUCGUUGUUGCUACGACUAAUGAACUGCAAUAAGGGGCUCCUAACCUGCAGAAGGAUAAGUAGGACUCGUUUCAAUUCCAGUUUUCGGCUAAUGUGAGUUGGGGCAAUCUUCUAGUGUUGUGGUAAUUUGAUACAUUUCUAUGCGAUCUCGGUGAUGCUUAUGAUAGCUCGACGAAAGAAAGAUGACUGUUUGAUUCGGCGCAAGUGCAAUUACUGUUUAGAGAAAGAUUCCAUUGGGUACUUUUGCAGCGCUAAGUGUGUGGUCCAACUGUCGUAAAUGUAAGUGAGGAUGCUAGUGUUGUUGGUUCUGAGUGAGCUGUCCGACUUAAUCAUUCGACUCCACAAGAAGAAUCUGCCGUGAAAAAGGAAGCUGCAAGUUCCGCCUUAGCUACUUUCAUCCUUGUUGGCAGUUAACCACAGUAGGCUUACUUGGACAAUCAUUCGACUUCAACUUGAAUCCGUGUUAGCGAAGAAAAUCCAAGAGUUUUGAUCUUAACCAGCAAGCGCAUCUGCCCUGAAUGCGAGUAGAGUUCUUUAUGCUCCUUUUUUCAUGAAAGAAUGAAUCCGUGGGUUGGCAGACCGAAGAUACGACUACUACUAUUCUAGAUGUAUGUCAAUUUCAGGCCUUCCGGAAAGCUAUCAUUACCUUUGACUCGACUUCCUCUCCCAUUGCACCAUAGUGAAACCGAAGAAUGGAAGAGAGAGAGAUAGGAAUAUCAAUGAGACCUUGGAUUCGAUAAUUAGCAUUUCUCUCCAAUUUAGAUAGAGUAGGAAAGAAAAAGUCAUCAUCUAUGAAAGGACAGGCAGAAACUAUAGAUGCAUGAUAAGCCGGACCUAUGAAGCUGUCUGGCCUCGCCCGGUCUUGACUUGAUCGAGCAAAGAGGGAAUAUACUAGCAGUGGAGAAUAAAUCAAAGCCAGAAGGUCAAAAAGAAAGAUCAAAUACUAAUUCAGGAAUACACACAUCAAAAAGAGAUUAGUAAGGUUAGACAUUGGAAGGCCUCCUUUCUCCCUACCCCGAACUGCUGUAAAUAUUUGGCCUGGUCCAUUAAGAUGUUGGGCGGGGCUUUAUCGAUAUGCUGACACUGCCAUAACUCCAUUUCUCCAAGAAAACAACAUCGACCUUAGCUCCCGGUAUCCGGCUCGGUACAAGGUUGAUUUCUCAGAGUAGGAACAAAACAGGGUCUAAUCCAAACUCCAGAUUUGCCAGUUAUUAGAGUGAACCUUUUCUGUAGGCCCUAAAUUCAUAGGGGCCCGUGGCCUUUCGGGGAAAAAGAGAAAGCGGGGGGGAUAGUGAAAUUAGAACAGUCGAAUAUUGACUUAUGGGAGCUUCUAUUCCCGUGGAGAGGUAAGCAAGUAGUAUAUUCCACCUUGCUAUACCUGUUGUAUCUUCCACCUUUCUAUAUAUAUCUAUUCUUUAUCCCGGCACCUUUCCUAUAUAUAUAUAUCUAUUCUUUAUCCCGGCACCUUUCUAUAUAUAUCUAUUCUUUAUCCCGUAUUAAGACUGAAUAACCUAUUUCAAAGACUCCCGGGUACUGAAAUUAGAGAAUGCCCAGGAUUAACGCCUUUAAGUAGCAGUGUCAGAGCCUUUUUUGAAUGAUGUACGAAAGCAGUGAAUCCAAACCUAUGAGAAGAGGAUCCACUAGACGGAACCAACAUCUAAAUAAAGGAAUCUAAAAGAAAGGUAUUCCAAAGGAUAAAGGAAUAUAAAAGAAAGGUAUUCCAAAGGGCAGAAAAAAGUAUGACUAAGUAAGAAGAAAGAAUUUCCAUUUCCAUCGUGGCAAGUGGAGUUUCCUCAGCCAGCAAACUUCCUAAUCCUUUCGUAGUGGUGGGGGGAAACCAGAAUAGGAGUCGCGAAAACCUCACACGCUGUGUCAUCUGCUAAGGGAAGAGUGAGGCGUAUAUAGUCAGAAAGAACACGCCUGCUUUUUUGUUGGUUCAUAGGGUCACUCUUGCCGCUGGUGGAACUGGCCGAAUCCAAUCAAAAACCUAGGAGAAUACAAACCAAGUCACCCAUUAAUUACCGGUGUCAAUCUCUUGUUUGCUAUAAUUCCGUUCUCAUUCGAAAAUGAAAGGGGGCAAAAUCGAAAAGAGAAGAAUUCCAUAUCAAAGCCUUUAAGAACCCUAGAAACUUGUUACUUUAUCCAAAAAAGAAGCCUUAUUGAUCAUAUCCAUUAAGGGCGUAAACCCUUCGCAAACUAAGUAGGAAGUGGAAUGAAUGGUAAGGAGGCAUCUAUGUCACGAAAUAGCCCCAUGGGAAUUCCUUGUCGCUGCCAUUUCCAUAUAGUAAAGCGCCAUAGAAGAGAUUAUCUAAAACCCGGCCAGAAAGACUCCAUCUUGAGUAUAGCAUUGCAUUCAAACAAGAUCAGUCGAAAUACAAACUCCCUCCUUUCCCCCAAAAUAGUGGAGAGCUGCAAAGGUGGGUAGGGUGGUAUCAAAGCCAUUUGCAAAAGGAACUAUAACUUAUGUCGGUGAUCAUAGGUACUAAAGAAAAAUUCCAUAGUAUAAUAGAGUACGACGACCUAUAGAUAGACUCGUAAAAGGGCCGCAAGUUCCUGCAGUUAUAACAAGUUAUGACCAAGUCCCUGGGGGUGGCUUGAGAAGGAAAGGAUGGUCUCUUAGGUUGUUAACAAAGCAGCAUACAAGGAAGCAAAGAAAGAUGCACCGGUUUUUGGGGGGGUAAUAAGGAAUAUUCAUUGAAGCAGGGGAUAGUCACUUCUUAGAAAAGCAAGGUGCUUCACAAGCCUAGUUGGAAAGCUUAAUUCGAAGAUGCGUCUUUCUCGCCUUUCUGCUACCUCAGAAGAGGAAAUUCCAUGUUCCAAAUCAAGAUGAAGCAGAUCAAAGAGGGAUGCCCCAACGGAACGGAACUGGCCUUAAUCCAAUUCAUCCAUUUUGUUGCUGAAUUUGAGUCUUGCAUCUCACCACUGCCGAGCGAAGGCAAACCAUGAGCGAAGAUCCAAUUCCACUCCACUAUACCGGUGCAGCUUUAAGUUCAUUCUUCCAUACCAGAAUAACCCAGAGCCGAGAUAAUAACUUCCCGCGAGACGACGGAAAUCUUCCUUCACCCAGGGACAGGACACUACGCAAUAGUAGCAUAUCCUCUGGAAUCAGCAAGGCAUAUCCUCUGGAAUCAGCAAGGCAUCUCCUCUCUCUUUCCCACUGGCUCUUAUUGAAGGAAGCUCAGCUUACUGGGGUAUCGGUACGCUUUCCCCAGGACGGACGGGUUUCGCCCUAUGACCACCUUUGCUCACUUCCUACAAUUCAUAUGAGACUUUCCUAAUCUGAUGUCUACUUCAGUAUAAAAGACAAUAGGCCCGAUUCCUUGUUCGAUAUUCUGUUUGACUCACUAAACCGUACACCACUCUGGGAGAUGAAAUCCUCGCCGGAUUGAGAAGUACUCGCUAGCUUGCUUGUUACGACUGAACGCCAGCUUACUAUUUGGAAUUGAAACGAGCAUUUUGCUCUUUGUGUCAAUAAUGUCUUUAUAUAUGAAUUGUCAUAGAAUACGAAUAUAUCUAAUACCGUCUACAAUAUCUUGACAAGCCAAUGCUUGACUCUUAUCCGAUUUUGCCUUUUGCCCUACUCUCUUGGGGCUCCCAUAAGACUGCUAUGAUGGGGCGUAGAUACCGUAUAGCUCGCGCUUCUUUGAUUCGAUAGUUCGAUAUAGUCGGAACUCUUUGCCUCUGAGUCCAUCUUAGGUGCGGUCUAACUCCUUAAAUGGUGUAAGUGAAGUGAAGGCGGAUCGAGCUUAUACAGCAUAUACUCUUUCUUAUCUUGUCUCCACUCCUUUGGGCCAGCAGGAUAGAAUGUAAUCAAUAAGCCAGCAUAUAUCAGAGAUCCCGUCCUAACUCAUGAAUGGACUAUUUCUGUCCGACAGAUGGAACCCUCGAAAAAACCGAAAUGAGGAGUAAUUCACUGCGCGGUAGGAUACAGUUACACGAGGAUGAAUCCGACUUCAUUUUCACCGAUCAAAUGCUUUCAAACCCAUCGUUACCAAUGGGACACUUCACGCCUUCCACUAAGAAAGUCAAUCAUGUCAAUAGACCCUCAUUUCUCUUAUUGCCUCUUUCUACACUUGCUUGCAGCGGUAGGAUAUUCUAAAGAAAAGAAAAAGGCAUUUACGUAGCGUGUAAGUAAGCGGCAAUAGUGCUAGACCCUUGAAUUACAAACAAACAAGAAGGAAAAUAGUAAUGCUACGAAUAAGCGGAUAGGCCAACGGACAUACAAUGAACAGCGACUCCCUAUACGAAAACAAUUGAUUGUAACACAUCGAAGACUUAUACCACUUCGACUGCUUCCACAAAUAGAAAGCUUUAGACCAGAUAAAGGAAAGGUAUUAUGGAAAUCCGGUGCUAGUGAAUCAGAUGUUUUAAGGCCAAAGAAGGGAUAUAAAUAGCUGUUUGCAAGGGAAGUGACAUAGUUAGUGGAAAUGGAACCUCGAAUGCAAGCUCCGAGGGAGAAGACAUCAGGGAGACAGGAAGGAAGUUUCAUUGUUCUUUGUGGUAUAUAAUAUAAUAAGAUAAGAGAAAUAAUCAAUCAAGAAAUAAUCAAUCAAUAAAGAAAAGAGAAAUGGGGUUAGUGGAGAAGAACUAUAGUAAGGACGGACGGACCUGAUUAUACGAUUAUGCGCCUUCCUUCUUUGAACGGGAAGUAUUGCCCUAAGCAAACAAGGAGGCUGCCUCAUACAUCGAAGGCCCCUACCAUGUUUUAUUGAAACCUAUCUCUUGUGGUACCCGAUCUCUGCAGGUGUGUAAUGCCAGUCAAGGUUCUGGACUACCUAAGGAUUUUCUUGCCUUCAAUCAGUUUGAUAACAAUGCUCUAAAUACAGAAAUAGUAUUGGAAAUACAGAAAUAGGAUUGGGCACCCUCCUCGUUUCUAUUCUAGCGGCCUUCCUUCUCAAUGCCCAGACAGAAACCUCUGCCUCAAUCCCGGUAUCAAUGUCCUGUGCCCCAGUUGUACUAUAAAUCCAUUGCCUCCUGUCCCUUGGUUUCGGGAAAGAUGCUACUCCCUCUACCAAUAAGGAAAACAGAUUAGGUUGCUAGCUUAGAAGGGACUCGUCGGGCAGUCAGAGCGUCCUUCAUACCAGCUUUGAAUAGCGUAGUAAAGUCUCAUUUACUGUCCAAAUCAAAUCCCCUACAACUUCCUGGGGUACAUUGGAAUUCAUUGCCUUCCUUCGAUGAGGAGAAGAGAAGGGGUGAGUGAUCCGAGAGAGAAGUAAGAAGAGAUGAUGACACAGACAGAUAUCAAUAGUCUCAAUGCCAAGUUAUAUGGACCAGCGGAAAAAGCAUCUAUAGGAUAGGUCAAAGCUAAUGAGAUAGACUAAUUCGGACUUUCAAAAGGAGGAGAAGACCCUUGUAAGAUUUGUGUUCGCUUCACCUAGCGCCUAUCUCUGCUACUCUAGAAGUUCUCAUUAGGACUUGGACCACUACUUUCAGGGGAAGUCCCAGCCGUGGUAAACUCUUCACUACCUGAUCAAAGAGGCUGCAGCAUCUCUGCCAUUUCGGCCUUGGGUUCUCUAUGCUAUUCUCUCGUUUAUGGGCCUCGAGGUCUUCUUUCCGUUUUUUCUCCAUCAAACCCUUUACCUGCUAACUAAUGCAUCAAAGAAAAAGAGCCAGGCUUUCAGCACCUUACUUUUCCAAAAGACAUUCUCGCCCACUUCAAUUCCAAUUCUCAUCUUCUUCUCCGAUCGGCAUAACUCUUUUGUCGACUCUGGCCUUCCUUACUGUAGAAAGCAAAAAAGAGAGAUUAUCAAAAAGAGAGAGUUUGUAGUGAAUGCGCUUUUCUCUUACUUAACUAUCAGUGCACUAUAAUCAAUAAAGAGCAAGCUCCACCCUAAUCUGAACGAUACCGUCUAUAGGAAACUCCGGAAUAGGUCUAGUUUGCUAGCAGGGUAUGCUCUUUCUUUGUAGUAUAGUCUACCUUUUAUAGCAGGGUAUGCUCUUAGUUGUAUCAUCUCAUUGUAGUUUGCUAGCAGGGUAUGCUCUUAGUUUUCUAGUAUAAUUCACCUUAGUUAGCUGGGUCUUUUUGAGUAUCAUUGUAGUUAGUUAGCCGGGUAUGUAUGCUUUUUUGAGUAUCAUUGUGUUAGCAGGGCUUAGUUCGUUUUCGUUUCUAGUAUAAUUCACCUUAGUUAGCUGGGCGCACUAUAGUCAAGAUGCUUUAGUUUGUGCUUGGGUAAGAAUGAUUUCCUCUUAACUAGCUUCUUUAGAGCCUGGGGAGCUACGAUAUAGUGUUAUUUCUCCUAUCCUGCUUGCCCUGCUUAGUCUCCUUGCCUUUCCCUCUUAACUAGCUUCUUUAGAGCUUGGGGAGCGAUAUAGUGUCAUUUCUCCAUUGCUUAGUCUCCGGGUUUGACUUUAUCUCCUCAGUAGGCUCUGAUUCCGCUUCCGCCAGCAAAGUUUCUGCCUGCCUCACUUACCUCCAGAGGCUCAGACAAUUCGCAAGUGGGUUGGUUUGCCUUAAUCUUUCCCUUUUUUCUUAAUCAAAGCAGAGAAAGUUUCCGCAGCAGUGCGCGGGCUUACUGAAGACAUUGCAGACUUAGGGUAGGGGGUUGAGCACUCUUGCCUACAAAAUCGAAAAACAACAACUCAUUAGUUGGCCGCGGAAUAAGUGAGUUAAACAAAACAACGAAAGACCGAAAAAAGAUAUGCCCCAAGGACUGAAGUCUGGGAGGAGAAAGUGGACUCGACGAGGGCUCUGGGACGGAUUCCUUUGUCUUGCUCUUUCCUUUCUUGUAUUGGAAGGUGGGGAUUCUCUUUUUUAUUACAUCUCCUGGUGAGUUCGAUUGGCCUGAAAGCAUGGUUUGUCUUCUUCCUCUGACCACCAUGUUCGAAAUUCCGUAUCAUUCCUUGCGUAUUGGACAAGUUGUUUAAGUAUAAGCCGCUCUUUCGCUCUGGUCAAAGCAGAAUACUUUAGUAGCGCCUUUCAGUCUAUGCUUUUUCUCUAUAGGUUAUGACUGCUUCUCACUGCUUCCCCUCUCCUUUUCCUUUCCAAACAAAAGAAUAAGCAAUCCCCUCAUUGCAUACAUAGAUGCUUCCCUAUGAACUUACCUUCCUCCCACAGAACUUAAACAAAGAGAGAGUGUAGUAAGUGAAUUCGCUUGGACUAUGCUAUAAUAGUCAUAGAAUCAAUUAGCCACUAAAGACACUUUUCAUGAUGGUCAGUCUAUUUCAGGAGGGGUCUUUUAUAGAUGAUGGUCAAAGCCGUUUCUGUUUACUAUACUUGGGCAUAGAAUGGGUUUCCUACUCCUUAUUUCAGCUAUCAGGAAGGAAAGGUAUGGUUAUGUCCUAAUCAAGCAAGAAAAGAGCACAGCGCGACAUGCACAGCGCAUGAUAGCAAGAGAGAUAUGGUGCGGAGUGGAGAUGUGGAUUCUCCGAGAAGCUUCACUUGUGGAGUGAGACCGAUCUUCUCUGAGCAGAAGCCUACCCUACCCAACGGAAGAGCUCCCACCACCCUUGAUCGAGAGUGAGCCUGUUUCAGUAAGGCCUGUUGUCCUGUACCUGGGCGAAGGAAGUCAAAAACCAUUCUUACUGCAAUCGAUACCGAAUCCACAUUUGAUUAGUUGCCCGCUUCUCUCUCUCGUUGUUUCGCGCCUUUCUUUACUCUACAGAACUUCCAGCGCCUUUCCAUUUCUCUUUUGUUAGGCAGACAGACCAGACCGAUUGCGGUCAAGAUGGGUAAUGGCCCCGCGAAGUAUUAUGAGACGAAGCUAAGGGGCGGGAAUCCAUUUCUGAUAAUUACACUUGGCCGAUCCAUUGGCGGGGAAAUCGCUGGUUAUAGUAAGUUGGAGCAGUAGAAAAAGUAGAGCUCGGUUGCUUGUCGGGCUGGAAACAAUAUAAGAUAUAAGACUCGCUGAUGCUAAGGAAAGGAACGAAAACAGGUGGACGAACACAGUUGAAGCUCCUUUCUUCGCAUUACCAAGUCCUGUUUUGGGGAGUUCUUCCAUUGGCUAUCCAAAAUCCCGGACUUUCAAAAGAGAUCAUACUAAAGGACGGCAGCGUUAAGAAAGAGACCGAUUGAACAGGCGUAUCUAUUUGAACUAGUUGAAGCGGUAGUCCCCGAUGUGUAAGGUCUCGCCUCAAUCUUUUUGUUGGGAAGGCAGGAGCGAGUAAAGUCCAUUCAAGACGGAAUUGAUCUAUUAGGGAGAAUUUGUCUAUUAGGGAGGUUUCCUUUCGUAUCAAGAGUUUUGGAGGCCAGGGAAGACAGACAGAUUGGAUCGAGAGGCGAUGCCUAUGCCUCUUCUUUCUUUAUCGAGAGGAUUCCCAUCACAUCAUUUGAAGUCUCUGGCGAAGGAGACAAGGGCGAGGCACCGAACAUGUUCUAUCCUAAACCUGCAUCCGUCAUUUGUAAGAGAAAUCCGCUUUUCCUAUUCACUAGUACACUGCGCGCUAAAACAAGCAGCCCCUUGUCUCGUAAGGGAAAACGCUAGGCUGUUUUUCAGAAGGCUUCUUCAAAUAUCCUAUUUAUAAUCAAAUUAGUGAAACUGUUUCCAAUAAAAUGAGUGAAACUGCCCUUAUUGAUGCUAUUCUGAAUUUGGCCCAUUUGUGUUUGGUCCUUACUUAAGGCUCAUGUGGAACCCGGCAGCUAUAGGUCGCAUUAUGAUUGGAAGUAAAGGGCUCCGAGACUUCGACUUCGCAUAGUGAGGAAACGGGAGCGUGCAGACAGAAAGCAAGAUAUAGUAAGCACUCAAGGGGGCAGGAAUAGGAUAGGUUAGUUUAGAAAUCCUAUGAAAUCCUAUAAGGCAGGGGAAGAAGAAAGGGUUAUCGCUCAAUCCGAUCUUUAGUCAGUGCCAAGACCCUUCUUUAUUAUAGAAGUAAGAUAUAAGUAAGAUAGAAGGAAGUAAGAUAGAAGGAAGAGCAAUUAGUUCAAUUCGAUACAUUCCAUUUCCUUCAGAAAGCUGCAGAACGAAGAUGGUGAAUAUAGUAGGCUUGGGCUCCUCUCUUGCUCUUUGAACUCUGGCUCCUUUGCUUGUCUCUGACUUAACGGAAAGAUACUCCAGUACGGAUGUGUUUGCUGUACGACGAAAACGGAAGAGGUCACAAUGCGCUUAUAUCAUAUGUGGUUCCUUAACCGCAGCACCUAUUUCUGAUUCUAGAUGUGUAACGCUCCAUCGUCCAGGGCCACUCUCCUUGCUUUCUCUCAUGAAUGGAAUCUAUCUAGCUUAUGAUACAACUAGGUUAAAGAAUAUCUAUUGCUCUAUCUUGCACAAGGUAUAGAGUGGAAAGUCAAGUGGAACAGGGCGAACAGAAAUAUACCCCACUUCAGCAGAAAUAUACCCCACUUCAGUGAGUGCGCUUGCUGCUGACUUAUCACUUACUGCUGACUUGGCUUUCAACCUAACUGCUUAGCUUACUCCUUACCCCAAAGCUUACUAAUGCUAGACGGCGCUGCAUUCAAAUAAUGAGAAAUUCGAACUGAACGUCUUGCACCUGCUCUGCUCCUGCUGAAGCUUUAGCAUAUUCUUCUAUAUAGACAUGAAAGUGAAAGUUCUCAUACCCACUACGCGAGGAUAGUUUGUUUGUCCGGAAGGGAUGCUUUGUAUUUAAACUCAUCUAUACCCAAAGCUCACUAACGCUAGAUAAUUAGGACUUUAUCUCGGGUUGCAUUAUAACUCGUACUAACGCACUUAGUGUUGCUUCUAGCUCCUGCCGCGUCAGUGAGUUCUUCCUUUGCUUCUAGCUCCUGCCGCGUCAGUGAGUUCUUCCUUACCUCUCUACUUUCUUCAAUUGAUUGAUUACUUGUAUCUUAAAGCUACUUAUCCCUUCCCUUUGGUGACUUUUCAUCUAUUAACCCUAGCCCUUGUGUUAUUAUGAUUAUUCCUACUCAGUAACUCCCUAUAUAUCUAUGUAUUAGAAUCAAUAUCCGGAUCAAAAGCGGGGCGAGGAAAGCUGUCUGCAGUGCCAAAGUUAGCAGAAGAAUUACCUGUUUCGUGUUCUUGUUUUGUCAAUGAGAGAAGAAAGUUGAGGAUAUGAAGCAAAAGAUUCAGCAAUAUCUUGACUUUUGUAAGGCUUUCGCCGGCUUUAUCUAACAUAGCCUAAACUCAGCCUCUGUGCUUCCUCAUCAUAGCACUCCUAUUUCUGACGAGCAAAUAGCACUCCGUAACUCCAAUGUGGUAUGCUCUAUUCCCUUGCGCAACAUCUUGGUUCAUUGAAAUUGCACUCUCGGAUCGAGCUCAAUCCUAUGAUUCUUUACCUGCUUAAUGAAACACCGGAUUUAGAGUCGUUUAAGCCACUGGAAACUCAAAUGAUAGCUAAUCAUAUCUGUAACCAACCCUUACUUUCGCACUCUUCUUUCAGUGCAUCAUUGAAUCCAUCUCUUGUGCCUGGCAUAGAAAAAGUCAAUACCGGCCUAGCCCUGCCCCUUCUUGCAACUUCUUCUUUUCUUGUCGAUGAAACUAUCACUCCAGCUCUCCCACUGUUAGCCUUUUUCCUUCCCAAAUAGGGUAUACGCUAGUGUUUUAAGAUAUCCUUUUAAAGGGUAGGAGGCUGGGUAAGCUGCCUGGAAAUGAAUGUAUCCCAACGACUGGAAGGGAAAAGUUGGCCAAGACGAAUUCAUUGGAUUAGCAAUAAUAAAGAGGAUCAAUAAAUCCAAUUCCUGACUCCAAGGCGGAAAUCAAGAUAAAGAAUAGAACGAUUGGCCCCAACAUUGCUAUAGUUUACUCUUUGACACCGAAAAGGCUUUCACGUGAGCAAUUGUUAUAAGUAAGAUAGUAUAAGUAAGAGAGAGAUGGGCAUUCCUACCUUUGGAUUCUUUGCAUUCUGUUUAGUCAUUCUGUAUGUCAUAAGUGUUUUUCUCUCUAUGGGAAUGGGGUUCCAAGCCUUCCAUGUAGGCUAUUACCUAUGUUCGUGAAUCCCUAAUCUGUCUAGCACGUAAUCCGAAUUUGACGUCUAGGAUAACAAGUGUAUGAGCUUAGAGGUCUCUCGCAAUUUCUUUCUAAGUGGAGUAUUCGGCUAAGGGUUAAUGCUAAAGUGCUUGUGUAAUGAUUUCAGUAUCGGUUAAGCCUUUCUAUUAUCUGUUUCAAGCUUUGGAUUUCGGUUCGCAUCGAGGAAAUGGGGAUGCUGGUUAAUCACUCCCCUGUGGCUUAGUCGACUAAGGUUCCAUCCUAUCUUUCUGUUGGUGCAGUUGCUCACGGGCCUCUUUCAGUAAGGUAGGUUAUUAGGUCUGUCCUUAAGUCUUGUAUUGGUUCUAAGUCUGCUAGUGGUGCUGCCAGCCUAGGCGAGUCCUUCUUUUGGUACUGUGUUCAUAGUCCAACCCCCAAAAUCUACUUAAGGCCUAUUAAGACUGAUGAGUAAAAGCCGAUCUACUCGCCCUUACUUCCAGCUCCAGAGUAAAAGCACAGAUGCUUUGCCUUGCCAUUCAAGUAAGCCAGUGAGUCGGUCCAUUCGCUAUGCCAUCCUAAGUCUAUAAGUCGUCUCAGGCUUGUGGUUACUCUCUUCAUUUCCAUUGCUUUUAUUAGCCAUCAGCCUUUAAUUAGAAUCGGUCUUUGAUGGUCGCGGUGUAAUACAAACGUAUAUUUGCUCUUGCAUUUAUUGUCUUAUUAUUAGUAGACGGUGGUGCAAAAUGUCGGGACUCUUGCAGAUGGUAAUGUUCUUCCUUUUUGACCCAUGCUUUGGUUGAGUUUAGGAGCAAAACCUUGUGCAUAAACAAAACCCCUAGUAAAUACUGAUCAUUGGCUUUAACGGAAUUAGACUAGAAAGUAAUUGGCUUUAACGGAAUUAUACUAGAAAGGGCAAAGGAAAACCGCAUUUGAGGAAUCAGACGGAUCCCUACUAUACUGGCUUGUUACUAUAGCGAGAAACUGGGAUUACUGCAACAGCAAAAAAGCACACUCUCACCAGCGAGUCCAUUUUAUCCAACAAAAAAAAGUGUGGAAAUAGGUGCCUGGGCAAAUAACCUUCUUUCAGCGAGCAACUUGUUCCGCAAAUAACCUUCUUUCAGCGAGCAACUUGUUCCAUUUAGAAGUUUCUCCUUAUGUUUGAAAGCGUGACAGAAGAAAGUUAUCAACAAGGGGAACCCCACUUCGACUCACCAAGUAGAAGGCUUUUGAUAUUGAUUGUUUGAUAUUGUUUCUUCUUAAGUUAUAUAGAUCAAUGUUUGGACUGUGUUUGCCUAGGGAAAACAUUUGCCGAUGUUUUGUAUUACCUACACUAGUGACUUUCUCGCCUUAGGCUUAGCCACUCGGAGCUCAUAGGGAGAUAACUUAUAGAAAUGAGAUUUACAAGAACCACUAAGUCCUCACUGUUCAAUACAAAGCUCUUGAGUCUUGGAUUUGAUUAUACCAUUCUAUUCCAUUUUGUUUGGCCAUUCUAUUCCAUUUUGGUAGUUCAAUCGCUAUAUUUCUUUAUUUAUUGAUUUAUUGAAUAUGAGUGUGCGGCUUGUUAUAAUGGAUCCUAUUGAUAGUACAGAGAAUGGGUCUGGCAUCUUUAUAGAGAUGGGUUUUUUCUUCGUAUGAUAUUGAUUCUAGUAUCUGGAGGCGUGGAAAUGAAAUGGAUUAAUAGUAAGGUGUGGCCAGACCACUGUGCAAAUAUAACGCUCGCGUCCGCGUGGAGAUGGAUCUCGCCUAGGCCAAAUAAGAUCUGGUUAGGAAUGGGUUAAGGAGUCAAAUGGCAUCCAAUAAUCGUAGAGAACAAACUAGUUCCUCAGUUCCCACUGCAUGCUUCGAGGCCACGACAAUUCCGGAGCACCCAGAGGAAGAAGAAAGAACAUUACAUGCUGCGAGGCAUCGCUGAUAACAUCGCGUACUGUUGCCUAGGAGAAACCCUUUAUAAGGCUAGCCAAGCUAAUAGACAAGUCAAUACUAAUCUAAUAGAAAGUCAGCAGCAAGCGGGCUAGUUCCAGAAGUGGAUUCUUAUGUGAGUGAUUUCGGUCAUAUCGGUAAUAACCAUACUUUCUCACUGGAACUGGAAAAAGCCAUCGACAUUCUUUUGGUCAACCCAUUUCUUCCCAAUGAUCUUCCCUUUCAGUUAGGCGCUUACAUCAAUAAGCCGAAACUAAGCCCAGAGCUUUUCCAGAAUUCUUGGAAGAAAGUUGCUUCAGUCGGUGACUCUAUGCCCUACGCUUCGACUUCCAAUGUUCGGUUGUGAAACCACAUGGCUUUGCAGAUUGAGCAGCAUUGAGAGAUUCCGUUUCUAGAGUCUAUCUCUAACUUCACCUUGCAGUAGGAUUUCCUUCGAAUACUUGUCAGCCACAAUGAUAAGAAGAAAAUAAAGCAGAGAGAAAUUAGGUGAUCUAGAAGAAAAUGAAGCUAUUAGAUUUGGUUGUCUUUGGUAAGUUUCGAAAUACUCAAUACAUUUUUGGUAAUGUAAGGUAAAUGCAGGAUUUGAUUAAGUAAGUUAGCGUAUGAGUAUUACUAAGAAAGUCUCCUAUGUGCUUAAUAUGCAAAUGAGCACCAUUGUUAAAUGUUACGGAUUUGUUACCUCGAUAAUAAGAAGCAAUGGAGAGAUUGGACAGGUCUGAGUCACAUGAUUUGUGGCUCCACUGUCCACAUACCAGGCAGGAUCUUGCACUACUUCUGGAGUGGCGAUGUGAGCGGAUGUUGCUUGACCAAUCAAAUGGGUAUUAAAGGAAGUCUCACUCAAACCACUAAAGGUUCAUGUGCGUUCCUGCUUGAUUCAAAUGCUCUUUUUAGGUGUGGAAGAACGAACCACUUCUGGACUGAUUGAACUAGUGACAAAAAUGGCUUUAUCCUUGACCUGCAUUGUGAUUUGGUACAUUGUGAUUCCCAGCUGCUCCUGUGUAAGUCUCAUCAAAACGAUACCAACACUAGUUAACAGUGUGUGUGUGACCGGCCACAAUGACUUGGUGUUCCAAUUAUGACUCCUUCCUCUUCCCUUUUCCAUGAGAAUUGACUCCUCCGAAGUUCUAGUUCUCAUUUCCACAGUGGUUUUUGUUAAGCAAAUUGUGCCAAUGGAGCAUUAGCUAAUUGAACUUUGGGUAUAUUAAGUUAGGAAUUAUCACUAAGUUGCUCAAUUCUCUGUUCAUGAACCAUUAACAUGUAUUGAGCUUCUUCAACUGAGACCUCCUGAGUGCUAUGUUGAAUUAACACGAAAACUGGGGCAUACUCAUGACCCACACCUAUAAAAGGGAAUGAAUAUUGUUGAUCUAAUUUAUACACUUACAAGCGGAGGGAACCCAACCCCGGAUCCAGUUUAGGCGGAGGAAGAGGACUCCGGCGAGCUUCCUCGAUAAAGAAAGUCAAGCUGGUAGUCGCCGAAAGUCAAGCUGGUAGUAUAACCCAUGGCAGUAUUGUUUGCGGGUGUACGAUCUAAUCCUAAUCCUAUACCAGCAGGAGGUUCGACUUCCUUCUCCUCAUCGCUGUGGGCCUCACCUUUUGAAAGGCAACAUUCGAUUCUUACAACGGAUAAAGCAACUCUUACCUUUAUGCAGGAAUCGACCAAAGAGAGAAAAAGAAUAUACUAAAGCAUGAUCUCUAGACUUCCCCCAGACCCUCUGUCCGGCCUAGCGACCGUAUCUAAGCUUGGAGCUCCUGUCUCCUCAUUUAGAGAGCUUACUUAUGGACCUCAUCCAAUUGGUUUGAUUUCCAUUCGGUCAGCUGCCCCUCAUCUAUUAGUGCAUCGCCAAACUAUAGUAAUGGGCCUUAUUAGGUGGUCCGUCGGUGCGUUCAUUCCGAAUUUCUUUGUACCGCCCAGAAGAGCACGAGAGAAAAGCAGAUCCAAUACCAAGACGACUUCUUUUCUCCGGAAGUGCAGGAGCUGUGUACGGGUUUCAAAGAGCCGAAGCCCCUUUAGCUUUCCCUUAGACUAGUUCCUAUUCCCAUGAGAAGGAGGACACACAAGAGAAGUGGUUUUUCUACGAUCCGCUUGCUUGAUUGAGUACCUGACUUUCAAACAAAUCGUCUUGAACUGAGUACCGAAACUCGCCUACCGUCCCAACACAAGGCAAACCUUUCAUUCAUCGGGCUUUGAUUCAUGAAGGCAAGCUAGUGCGAUAUAUAGAUGGAUUUACUCAGGUAAGCUUAUAUGGAAUAGCAACAUUCAUUGGUCGAUAGAUAUGGAUUGAGUGCCACCUCACUACGUGGUAUAUCAUCUUUUUGAUUUUAGAUCACCUAUUACAUGACAAGGAAAGCUAUCUGAGAGUGAAAGCCCAAACGGAUCUCUUUUCACGGUUCAGGCGAACUUCUUUCAAGGUAGCUUCCCCCAGGGAAUGAAUUGACAAAUAAAGCUUCUGAUUCAAAAACGGAGAAAUGCAAGUUCAAUGUUCUUCUGGUACAAAUAAUUGGAGCCUGGGUUUGGUUCAAGAAGUGGUAGCGCUGGGGUUUUGGGUGUAAUGAAAGAAGUCGCUUGGGCAAAUUCGAUAAUGAAUUCCUCGCCUCGGGCUAACCUAACUCAUUGUAGCGUAGGUGUAGUGGAGACUAGUAGUAAUGACCAAAGUGACGGGAGGAGGCUAAGAGUGGAGUCGGGAGCUAAGAGUAAUGACGCAAGUGAAAGGAAGAGCCUAUGCAUACUUUUGACUAUUCCGCGAAGGCAAUAAACUGCUACUGGCAUCGAUCGACCGGCAUGAAGACACUUAACUUGGGGCAACUCCAGCCAAUGCCCCGCCUCAUAAGGUUACAGCCAGGGAAAAGGUUGCAAAGGAAGAACUCUUGCCAACCCUUUGACUUUUGGAUCGAAUGUCUGCUAAAAGUUAUUAUAUCACUUUUUCCCACUGGGGUCUCACGUGUGGCAGCUGUUGGAAGAAACUCCGAAUCCUCUAUCGAAGCUCCAAGGUAUUCCCUAUAUUUAGUAUUCCCCUGCCUAAAAGAAAUAGUAAGUAGGGUUACAAUAAAGAAAAAGCAUAUAUCAAAUAUCAAGUACGAGACUGGUCCGUCUGGAGGACGAGCUCCUAGGACUCGAGCAAGAGAAGAUCAAGCAGAGGGCCUUAUAGUGUGCCUAUCUAUAAGUAGUUUCCAGGUUCCUAGACCCCGGCCGAUUGUGUUACUGCUUUUGUUCCCCCCAAAAGAAGAAUGGAUUUCCACAAAGAGGUUGACAUUUGUAGCAGUACAAUAAGGGAUCUAUGCCCUCGGUAACCAUCAAGAGCACGACCCGCGGCCCCUCUUCUGACUUGACUUGAACUAGUUGUGUCGUGUGCUGUUCCCCUCUGAGCCAAGAUGAGCUACGGCUUGACAGUUUAUCGAGCGCCUGUACUGUACCAGGCCUUUCCUUAUGGUAGUGUGCCUCUAUAUUUGUUUUGAGUUUCCCGCUUUCCAUAAGAAGUCGCUAUUGUUCCUAAAGGCAAGAGUCGGGUCCAGCUCUGUUCCCUACAAAUAGCUUAGUCAGAAAAGCUGCAUCCCUUCUCACUCGUAGGGUAGCUCUUUUCCCUCGGUGAGUCGCUUCCCGUCCUUGCUUGUCUGGUACUUUCAUAAUGGGUCUUUCGCUCUCUCUUUCGUUUAGUGUGAAAUCCGGAUCCCAGCUUACCCCAGAAGAAAAACCUUCCUUCGAGUCUGUUCUUGUUCUAAGGGCAUGGCUCUCCCACAUCUUAUUAAAAAACGUAUUUAGUAUAGGAAGUAAGUCGUGAAUCUCGGUCGAACUUCGGUACCUUAGCCCGGUCAACAGCCUAGUUUCCUAGACCUCCUUCUAUCCCGAUAUUGAGGCAAGCCCGGUACCCCUUAUUGUGUUACUGAUUCCGUUGCCCAAGAACAAUCAAACAGUUCGUAGCUCUAAGUGAUCGGCAGUUAGGACGAUAGAGAGUGCUCUAGCCCGGUCCCGUCCUUGCGUCCUUGUAUUCCGAUUGUUCUUACCGAGUGGGGGCGAAUAUCAAGUCUUUCGUUCCGGGGUUAGGCGCAGCAUUCCCUUCCUCCGUUGCCUCUGAGUUUAAUAAGGAUAGAAGCUUUCCCGGCCCUUCUAUUAGGCAUUAUUUGAGCUAUAUGCUAUUAUUCCUCUGAUAGUAGCUAGAGAUUCUGAUAGUAGCUAGAGAUCUAGUAUCAUACCAUUUUCCAAAGAAAGAUAGAUAGUAUGCUAAUAUGGUAUGCUCUUCAAAGAUAGAUAGUAUGCUAAUAUGGUAUGCUCUUCUAGGGAUGGAGCACUCUGUAAGAAGGUCUAAGCUUGAGUCUGCCUUUUCUAUAGCAAUAGUAGCUAGAUGGGAAUGUCGCCUAGCAGCUAGUAGCUCUCUCUUCUUAUAGCUCGGUAGUUUGAUGUUUCCAAAAUCCUUUAUGGUUAGAGCAAGCUAGGCCAGGCCAAGUAACGUAUACAAACACAUAGCAAGUAGGCGCCAAGUCCUAAAACCUUUGAGUUCACCCCUGCCCCUGGUUCUAGUUUCAUCCAACAAGCUACUACUCAUGAUGCGCGUUAGUCCGGCCGAGUGGAAUCGUAAAGAUCAGCUCUUUCUGGUCGCCUAGUUGCUUGUCUGGUAAUAACUCUUGUCUUAGUUGGCUACUCUCAAUCUGGCGCAGGAGAAUAAGAAGGAUGAGAAGCAUGGUUGGUGUCAAAGUGGUCAGCAGCAAGUAAUAAGUCAUCAGCAAGACGUUAUGCUCUGUUCUUGUCGAGUGAGGGGCAGACUCCGGUUGUGCGCCAGUGAGUUUAUUGAGUUUUGUAUAUCUAUCUAAUUGGGUAGUAAUUCUUUAAUCAGAGUCUUAAGUGUUAACGGUUCAAUUCAAAAGGGUAUCUCGCUUACCGGAGCCCUUAUUGGGUGACUCGAUCCAUUGUUUGUUGCUUUCGCUUACUCUUUCUUUGCUUGUUCUGUUGUUUGACCCUUCUCCGCGUUUCAAUUGAAUCGUGAAGAUCAGCUCUUUCAGUUCUUGUUAAAUCGAUGAGAUCAGUAACUUAAUCUGGAUCCUAAGCGGGAUUCGAAGCUUCAUCUCCUCUUUCUCAUGCCCACUGAGCAGUAAAGACCUGGAACUCGUAUUUUCCAGAAAGGAAAGGAUGCUUUUGGGCGAGAUCCACUAUACCCUUAGAACUUUAUACUUAAGCGAUGCAGAGCUUCUCAAUCAAUCUUCUUUUAAAGACACUGUAUUGCUUUAAUCAAAGAUGCAAAUGCUAUAAUAAGGUAUAAAACAAGGUAAUAAGAGUAAGAGAAAGAUUCAAUAAAAGGUUGACUCGAAGCAAGAAAGAUGGCCUAAGGGUUCCGCGGAAGCAACAGUUUAUUGCUUUCAUUUUAGUGUACCCUGGCUUAUUAAACAAAAGAAAGACUUGGGUCUCCAUUUAUGUCCUAAAGAAAGGCUCCGGUCUAUGUUUCUGUCCUAUACUCAAAAGAGAAAGGGCUAAGGUAGGUCUACGUUAAGGGAGUUCAGGUGCUUUACUUUUUCCACCUCUCUUGCAUUAACCAUAAGUAUAACUGUGUUUAGUAGCCUCAUAAAAGAAUUUCCAUAUUACUGAUGCACCACCCUCUAGAAAAGAAUGUUGAAUCGAACCUCUUCUCUAUUGCCCAGCCCACGUUGCGGUUAAGUAGAAAGUCAGUAAAGUAGCGAAAGGAAGCAGCAAUCUAGGGUACUGUUUCUUUAGUUGCCAGCUGCCAGUGGAAUACCUUGUGGAAUCUGCUUUCUAGUUAGGAGUUAAGGUAUUAAAUGAAAUACAUGAGUUAGGAGUUCAAUAUGAGUUAUCGGAGUUAUAAUACCAAUAAAGCAAUCCGGAGUUAUGAGUUAGGAGUUAUUAGUUAUAUAUCCAAUCUGGUAUGGUACCUGAGUUAGGAGUGAAAUGAAAUACCGGAUCCUGAGACUUAUGGCCUUGUUGGUUGUUUAGUCUGGCCUUUGGAGUUAUGAGUUUAACAAGUAACAACUACUAACUGGCAAGGAAGCACUAACAGAGCUGAGUUGAGUCAAAAGAGCAUAAGUGGAAAGUGAGAAUGUGCCCCAGGAGUGAAAGAAUGCAACCACUAUAACUCAGACUGGAGUAAUUGUGGAGGGAAUCAGAGUGAAACCAGUAAGUGGAAGCCUUAAAGCCAGGGCAGUGAGAAAGUAUGGUUAUGAGAUGUAGGCUUGGUAAGCUAUGUUGGUAAGCUAUGAAAUUGUAGUUGAUAGUUUCUAGUGGAAUGAUUUGCCUGUAGGUGAGAGUAGCUAUAUUCAUUCUUUGCCAGUAGUCUCGAGUAGAUAUUGGAAUUCUGACAAUUGAGCACCCGGCUUGUUCUCUUGUUCCUUACGUUUGAUACCUUCCCUGCCUUAGUAGUAGCUUGGCUGUAGCCAGAGUCAUAACAGUCUUAGUUUACAGAGCCCAUAGCCAUAACAGUAGUAGUUAACAGAGGUGGAUGAGCAAGAGGGUAAAUCUUAUAGGAUAAAAGGAACUAGAACAGCCGAUAGCUAUCUGAAUGUGGAAUUUCCCAUAAAACGGGCACAGAUGAGCGGCCCUGCCGCGACACCGAACACAGGACUUAUUCUUAACUGGCUAUAACUACUUAUUUGUCCUACUGCCGCACAACGGCGUAGCCGUUGCUUGCCUAUCCGUGUCUUGGCUGUUAUAGUGCAUUUGAGCCUAACAUCUUUAGGGUUCCCUUGGGGCAGUUACCUCCUAUGUUCCAGUUCAUAAGUCAAGAGUGAGAGUUAGCUCGGGUCGGGGUGUCAUGUAAUAGAUGUGGGUGCCUCGACUAGUAGGCACGUUUCUCCAUAACUAAGACUUCAAUUUGUUAGUUUACUUAGGUAGAUUAGAGCCCAGUUCCUGUUCGAGUCAGCGGUAAGAAAGGUCAGAAUGCAACUAAGAGGUAAGCUAGUAGUGUCGUAAGGAAGUCAAGAAUUGCUAUUCCAAAUCCCGGUACACGAUGGUGAUGGUGAAUUAUCCCCGUUAUUACAAUAGAUGUCUUCGUACCAAUCUCAUACUUACUAUUCAUAUCCUGCAAUCCCAGCUUCAUGUUUAGAGUGACGAGUUUCAUUACUGGUUGUGAGCUUGGUUCUCAUUAGUUCAGUACCGAGUUCGAUCCCUUGUCUCGAGUUAUCAUCCGCGGGGCACUUGUUCACUCUUUCCUGUAGUCAUUCCGGCCUUGGCGGCAACUGUUCUAUUCGCAUCAGCAAAGGAAUCAGAUUGAGCUCCCACUGUAUAAGACCAAGGAGCGGGCGGAGCAAAGUAAGGCUUAUACACAUUAGUCAAAGAACAAAGGGCGUUGGCUCAAGAAUGCACCCCGGGAGCAGGUAUUAAGGCUGGCAGGCAGUGGUUCUAUUCUAAUAGUGAAAAGACAGGGUCUUGUUACCGGUAGCUCAAUUCCCUUUUCCAGUUCUCGUAUUAGAAGCUGUGGUUCGAGCCUUUGAGUUGCUAGUUUAGUCCAUUAGAUAGUAGUCCAAAUCCUAUUAGUUUAGGCGCGGUUCUCUUCUUUACUACUGUAUGGAAUUCUCUAGUAAUGUUUUCAUUAACCUCCUCCCCACAAUGCGAGUCUUAUAGAGUUCAUAGCAUCUACGAAUGAAAGAAGGUAGUUGGAGGGGAAAAGCUCAUAAGAUAAGCAAGAAAGCAAGUAAGGAGCAAGAGACGGCGAGGCGAACUACAGAAUUUCGUUCUUUAGUUUUCGAACUAAGCUAAGGAGUGGUAGAGACUAAUUGGAUUUCCUAGUUCCCUGUUCGAUUCUUGUCCUCACUAGCUCAAUUCCUAGUUCUGAUCUUAUAUAGUUAGUCAGGGUUCGCUCCUAAGGUUUUAUACCUGAGUUGUCGAUCCUAAGGUCUUAUACCUAUAUGUAGGGGUUUCAGUCUGAGAAGAGGCAGUUCUACUCUCGGAAGCAGUAAUUUCCAUUAGUAUGAGUUUACUUCGAAGGGAUCUUGACUUUCCCAUUUCAUCCUUACUUCUUUGUUUAAUGCCGGGUGUGCUACAUUAUACCUAUUAGUUUCUUUCUUCUUUUCUUGAUUCUUGUAUUUGGCAUCUUGGUUCUAUCUCCAUAGGCGCCAGGGAUCAUACCUAUGAAUUACAUUCCCUAUUAUAAGAUAAAGUAUUAGUAGGCACUGGUUGAACCUCAAAGCAAUAUGAAAAUAAGGGUAGGCGAGGUCCGUUUUGAACCCCGACCGAUCAGUAGAAAAAGAAUGAGUUUAAGCUGAGGGUUGGCUAAUGACAAGUCGGUACUAGUAGAAUUCAUGUGUUAGAGCUAUAGCCUUGUCAGUUGCUGUUCGAGUAGCGGUAUAGUGGUAGUUCAAUGCAUUGGGGCAGCGUUCCAUUAUCACUUUCUAGUUGAGUUUUGUACGAUGUACUUCACAUUCUAAUAUAAGUCAACUGAAUGCUUAAUUGAAUAAUGAAAUAAGUAAGGCAAAAUGAGAGGUAUGCUAAGAGAGGGAAGUUGGGAGUGCCAGGGCGAGUGAGGCUCCGGAUCAUUGGUUAAAGAAAGAAAAGCACCAGUGGAGUUCCCAUCAGUGGUAGGCUCUCAGCACCUUGUGAAUUCCUAGUUGGCAGCUCGAUUCCUGUUAUCACUAGGGUCGUUCGAAGUUUUUCAUUGCAUUCCCGAGCUCAAUUCGGAUUUCUAUAGUAGUGAAAGCCCCGUGUUAGCUAGGUAAUAGGUAAAGCCCUGCUAGCAGUGAUUCAAUUGCUUCUGUAGGUCUUCUCGGUGCUAGUUGGAAUCCCCCUUUCGAGUUAUCGUAUGAGAAGCACCGGUUGCUAUCUUGCUUGUAGUAAUGAAAGGCUAAGCCCCCAGUUAGAUUCUUGUAGUUAAUAGCUAAAGCACUAGUUGUUAAUUCCAUUCUAUUAGCCGUAGGUGUUUUGGUUCCCGGUUAGUGAGAAGGUAGUCCUGUUUGGUUUACAUUAGUGAGAGUGUCAAAGCGAGUGCAGUAAGCCCAAUAGCAGGUCAGUCAAGUCAGAAUGAAAGUGAGUCGCGGCAUACUUCUAUAGAGUAGAUAUGGAAAUGAAAGCAAGGAAAGCAAGGGUCUAUGUAAUUGAGGUAAUUGACGGGUGCCCCAGCAGUUACAGGAUUCCAAUUAGUAAAGGUGAGGCUCGUAGGUAAAGGCAAAGAUAAAGAUCCAAUGUCAGUAGGGAAAGAAUUAGUUCGAUCCUAGAGUCUUGUUGUCUGUCGGGUAUUCUUUUCUUUGUGUUAGGGUUUGAUUGUUGGGAGCCUUAGUUUGAUUCCUUGUAUUGGUAUGAAAUCUAUAAGCAUAGUAGUCGAUUCCCGUAUCCGGGGGGAGUCAUUUCUUUAUUCUAAUUAAAGGUGUAUUAGAAGCGCUCAUUACAGAAUUCAAGCAAGGUAGUAAGUCUGAUGGACCAGAGGGCUAGAUGUGAAAGGAUCCGAAUAAGUAGUACAAGAAUACGGAAGAUGUGUGGGCAUCGUUAGGCUAAUAGUCAGCUGCUCCAGUCUUUUUGCCUAUAGUUGGAUCCCCGCUAGUGAGAUAAGUCUUGGCGUCGAGUAGUUACUCGUCCGGAACUAACACUUGACAUCCACCAAUAGAAUUCAAUUCAUAACACGGACAUAGAAACCUUGCUUUAGCUCUUCCGCUACAUUCAACAUUACUUGUAUUUACUUCUAAUAACCAAUUACUUUGCUGCUAUUUCGUUCACUUAUAUUAGAAUGUGCUAUUUCGCUCACUUAUAUUAGAAGAUGUUUUCAUACUUGCGGGUCAAUAGCUACAGGCCUAAACUCAAAAUGAAGGCUUCGACUACUGCUAGCAAGGCCCCAACUCGACAUAAGGAAUAACCCCAAGAACACAGGCUAAACCUAGUGCUUUAAGGCUUAACUACCAACUAUCAGAAUUGGGUGGGCCUAGUGCCUCUCAUGCUAAAACAAGGUACCAGGGAAUCCAAACACUGGACUCGUUCUUACCCGGCUUCUUAUCCCCAAAGCGGGACUCGUUCUUACCAGGCAGGUUCUCUCUCGCUCGUAGACUUUCCUCUCCCUUUGUCGGCUUAACCGAGUAGUUAAUGGCUUAGCGUAGUUAAUGGCUUAACCGAGUUGUGGUUUCAAUCCGAUCCGGGUUGGUGCUUGCUUGAUGUUAAGGGUCGUGGUUAGGAUGCAGGCGAAAGACAUCGUGUGUCAGCAUCAGUUCAAUCUCAUUCAGUACUAACGGGGGAGUUGCCACAUUCCAUUCUUAACAUGGAGGAGAGUUCGUCAAAAUCCAAUCAAGUUGUGUCUUUACUUUGAUCUAUGCCAGGUGCUCGAUAACAAGCUUUAGAAUAAUAAGACAAUAAGGAUUUCCCGAGUUGGGGCAAGAAGAGAGUCUCCUAUAUCAAUAGAAGAUCCAGAAUGAGACAAGCAACGAAAAGUACUGUUUUUCCAGUUAUAACCGCAAACUUGUUAUAGUAUACCGAACCCAUCUCUACCAAUGAAUAAGCACCCGACACAAUAACCUCUCUUGUAGACAAUGAGCCAAUAACGGGAACUCGUAUGGAAUUGGAAGACCCGAUUGCAGCACUUGCAGCUGACGACAACACCUCUGAUUCCGGGCCUUAUCCUUCUUCCUCACCUGUUCUUGCUCUAUCUUCUGCUUUGACUCCUAAUUAUGCGGGAACUGUCACUUUAAGUGCAUAUUGAUUAUUGGCAUCCUCAGCCUAUGCGUAUGGUACUGCUGCUUUAAGAGCUAAUAUCUGCACUCACCCGGGCAAGAACUAGACUUGAUUUCCUCACUCACACUGAACAAGCACCAACCUUGACUUCUUUCUCUUCUCUUAUGCCCGGAACUAAAACGAAAUAAGCUAAUGCGCCAUUAUCGGUAAAGGAAGCCAAAUAGGUUGCUGACGCCAAUGACUUAAGGGCACCAAAAUGAGGAAGUUCAUCAUGUUAUUUAAGAUUACCUAAGUAUAUACAAUACACCCUUACCAGUUUGCACAACAGGACUUGCUUUAGGAGUUCAUUAAGCUCACACCCCAAAAUACAAGUAAUCAGUACACCGCAGCACACUUAUUGAUUGAGUUGGGCUUCUUUCUCGUCUCCAGACCUAUACUCAGAUGAUGUGUACUAAUCGCUUAAGAAGAGAUCCACUUGUAAUCUUGGCAAAGCGCAUUAAGUAAGUAGGUCCUGGAGACAACACCUCUGAUUCUCUCGUCGAUUCCACUCUGACUCUCUUUCAGGAUACCCUGAGCUCGAACAGAACGAACCACUUGCAGUUGACCUUCCCUUUCUUGCAUUCCCUAGCUACUGAUCCGGAUCUUUACUACCCUACCUAUGGUCUUACCUUCCUUACUGACUUUCUUGCUUAUGAGCGGGGAUCUAUUAGAAUUUGUUAGUCGUCAAAGAACUAGACAACGGUAUCAGCAGCCCGAGCCCAAACUCUUCUCUAAAGGACGGCCGACAUAAAUAACAGCAAACAUCACACUUAACAUAAUGUAUUUCUUAUUUGAUUAGUUAUGCCUGCUGGUGUCCUCGCCCACUCUAAACAGUAGUCAGGAUGCUAAGAGGCAGAAUCAGAAUUAGAUCACCACCCAUAAGACUUUGGCUCAUAGCUCUAAACCCCUCUUAAAGCAUUUAUUUCCCCUUUUUGCCUUCUACUGAUAACUACCAAACUAUCACUACGCUCUCUCACCUCCUGUCUCUUCGGGCUAUAACCCUAAUCUAUUCUUUCGGGCGUGAUACUGCAUCUGAUCUUGUCGACUCAACUCGAACACCACUGUAAGUUCCUCAUUGAAUUUAUUUCAUCAUAUAUCUUCUUAUAUAAUUACCUUAACCUAUUUCUAUACAAGGGCUUUUCACCUAUUCUAUCAAGCGUCGACACCGAGAUACAAUACAUGAACUGCUUACGCUUCAGAAGGAACUAGAACUCCACUUGACAACUUUGAGCUACGAGCUACAUCGGUCACAAUCAGUAAAUUCUCGCAUUCAAUCUACCAGUAUAGAUCUCUUUGUAAAGACGUAGCUUGUUAACCUUCACCCUCUCGAACGAACAGGCAAUUCUCAUCAUUAUAAGCAACCUCCACUCUCACAACAUCUUCUCUUUCUUACGUCUGAUCCAACUUAGGCUUCUUCUCUUGUAGACAACUUGAGAACUGGAAACAAACACUCUAUUACUUGUUUAUGAAGUCCCAUAGUUCGAUUGUUAGGCUGACUUUCCCUUCUUCGAUCCACCAAACAACUGUACAAGUGAGCGGUCCGAGAACUCAACACAAAACAAAGGCUUUAAAAACAAGGGUCGAUGUAACUGAGCUGGUACUUCUCAUUCCUUAGCUAUCUACCUGUACUCUUACUUGUUCGGGCAGGGUUUCAUGGGCGAAUUCUGACUUUAGCGCUAGAUGUGUUAGAUCGUACCCAUGAGUUGUUGUCUAAGACUCUAAAUACCUGAUUAGAUGCGCAACUAUACUUCUUAGCCUGCUUUACGCUGUAUUAUUUCAUUAUUGAAUUGUAGCUCCGCUCUUCUAAUACUAAUUUCUAGUUUAAGGGCUAUGGAGAGUAGUCCAACCUGCUCUACCUUUUCCUUCCAUUCCAAUUCUCUUGUUGCACAAAUUGACAUUACUUAUGGAAAUUCCUGUUUAUGAGUUAGGGCCUGGCACUGCUUUCUUUCAUUCACGAUCAAUAGGAACUUGAGAAGUCUGCUACUGCUUUAUCUCAGCCUUAGCCGCUUCUCCUUGUUUGAAACCUUAGCUGCAUCCUUGCUUUCUGUAUCUGCAUAUUGAUCCUCGGGUGUGUGUGUUGGCUGCAUGUAGGGUUUUGUUGCGUGCCAUACUCUAGGGUUUGGUUUCAACCCAUAGGGCAAUAGAAUAGGUGUGUUCUUGUGUAGCAAUGAGAAAUAGGGGAAUGAUCAAUAGGGGUGUGCCGGGCCGGUUAAUUACCGCUCACAGAAUGAUGGAUGUGACUUUCGUAAUGAACCCUAUUCGUAGCGUGCUGGCUCAAAUCAAUAGUUUGCCCGGGAACCAUCGAUACACGACCUAACGUGAUGCGCGAGAACCUCCCGUGCGCUAUUUAAGAAUGAGUUGAUGACCCUACCUUGCUACUAUCUGAAGACUUAUUGUGAUAUGACUUGCAGAAUGAAUGACCCGAUAUAACACGAUACUACCUUCUACGCCUGUGGACCAUCGUUGCAUGUAGGGAUGUAGUCCGAAGAACGAGUGAAUGGUCGCUCAUAGAAUAGUCAAAUACUCACAAAUAGAAUAUGAGAAAACACCAUGCUAAUAUAAGUUAACAUCAUAAUCAAUUUCAGGGUUGGUAGGCUCUAACUCAUAGGCAAGAGAGCAAGUAAGUAGUGGUGGUUUCGAUCUACAACUAAAGAAGUAAAGGCAGGAUAGCAAGCCUAAUAGCGAGCAAGAGCUGCUUUUGGGUCAGUAGCACAAGGUUCGAGUUCAGGCUCGGUUCCGAGUGUCUUUCUUUUACUUAUUAGUUUGGAUUCACUGUGGGAAGGAGUAAGUCCGAUAAGUAAGUCAAAGAGUAAGAGAAAGUGGCCAAGCAACGACUAGACAAGUAACUACUAAUGACCAAGCAACUAAGCAAGACGUUGGGCGGUAGCCAAUAAACAGUUCUUACGAAGUUAUUACAAUAUAUGCCUUCGGCGGCAGGAGCCCCGGUAAUAUUAGUGGAAUUCUGGGACGAGUGAGAAGAAGACCGCUACUUAGCUACCCGGCUGCAUUCUGGUUAGCACUAGUUUCAGUAUGUGGCUAGUUAGUGUCAUUCUUAUCUACUACCCUGGAUGCUCUGAUCCACUACCCUAGUUGCUUGGCCCUUGGUGGAAUUGUAAUGACUUGGCUGAUAGCUAAUAGUAUAGGACCGAUGAAUCAAUUUUCUCAAAUCAUAAAAAACGAAGUUAUGAGCAAGUCCUUUCCUGGCAGUCGUUUAUCACUUUUUUUCAUAAAUUGGAUUUCAUUUCACCACCUAGCCCGAGUAACUGAGAUACCCGCGUUCGGAAGAUUUGUCAUAUAUCUCUUAUAAACCCCCGGCAUCUAUCUGAUCUUGAAACUAAAGAUUCUCCUGCGCCACCUUAACCUUACUUGAAAUCAAAAACACCUGGCCGCAAGCAACUGGUAACAUCUCUUCUUUAACGAGGUCGGCAAGCAAGGUCUAAUCUUUAACCAGAGUUGAGGUCGCCAUCCCUUGUUGCAUCCGUUAUCCUAGCUGCGGGGGACUUUAUUACUUAGUGCAGGGCCGCUAGUCAAUCAAUGUGAUGCCACAUAUCCAUAUAUUAUUAGUAAUGCACCUUAACCCUUACUUCCUGAACAAGCAGGCAUACCAGAGUUCACCUUUCCUUUAUGCCCGGUAAGUCAAGUAAGUCAACUAGUUCAAUUGCUCUUAACCAACCCUGUGUACAAGAAGUAACCAAUACCCCUCAGUAGCUUGAUCGGGAUCAUCUGCUUUCUCAAAGUAAGUGAUAAGCGGGUCUUCAAGUUUCUCAUUCCAUUUCAUCUCUGGAGCACCCGCCUGCCUGGAAUGGAAUAUCUCUCUUAUCUAUAUUACCGGGUAUUUAAUUGUAUCCCGAGACUCAUUAUAGAGGAACUUACAAUAAGGGCCUCGAACACCUGAUUUAGACUGCUUCUCUGACCUAUGGCUCAUAUAACUGCAUUUCUUUGAUACAUGAAUUCUUAUCCAAAGUGUUUUAGUUAUGAACCACUAACUAAUAUGGAUUCUUCACCGCCUAAAUAAGAAGUUGUAAACUCUCACAGGACAGGACAUUCCGCAGCUUACUUUAGAACAGCUUCUUUAAAUAAGUAAGUUGGAUUAGUAUUAGAAUGGAUCUACUCUUUUGACUACUACUUAAAGGGGAUUCCACUAGAACAAGAACUGGAUCGGUAUUCCACUGGGGAUAUGAAACAAGGGAUGAAACUCAAACAAGAGCAACUAUACCUUCAGCAGAAGCAACUGGUUAUUCUCUUUUAACUACAUAUUCUGUUGGGCCUGUACCGGCAACUGGAUGCAUUCCUCGACCUGUUGUGGAACUGGCAAUUCUCCAAGUGACAAAAAGAAAGGGAAAAAGGAUUAGUUAAGUCUCCAGGAAAGCACUCUCUUACUUGUUGAUGCCGCGUAACGGGUUUACUGACGCUAGAACUUCAGAAUGCUAACGCCUAUCUCUCUACCAUUAGUAUCAUAAAUAGAAGCAGAAGAAGUUGUUAGGCCAAACAACUAACUACUAGUGAGUUUUACCUAGACAAUUAGUUCAUUUGAAACAGGACAUUCCACUUCAUCCGCGUCCUGAGUGAACCUGUUUUUAUGGCGGUAGCGAGCGGAAAGGACUUACCCGCUUUCUAUUAGUUGACUUCCCGCAAUAGCGCUGGGCCACUCUCUUUCCUGAAUUUCUUGAGACCUUCUUUCUUACUUGAGACCUUCUUUCUUACUUAAUGGAAAACCUGUACGGGGGAGUAUAGAGCUGUUAACUGUAGUAGUGAGUUUACUUACCGGUCCUCUACGAAACUAAGGAAGAGAGUUGUAGAAGAGAGUUUACUCAUUAAAGAAGAUAGUUCCCCUCCACGCCUAGGUCUUAUAGAAACAGGUAACCACCCGCUCCAAUAAAAUAGUAAGUUAGUACAACUCAUGGUAUAAGCUUUACUUCAACAAGCAGUGAGGCCAUGCGAGGGCAGUCAGUCUGGUAUUCGAUCUCUAGCUAGAGUUGGUCAAGAAGGAACUUUGCGCCUCAACGCUAGGCCCUGUACUUGAUUCUUCCCUUUCACAACACAGCUAACUCAGUACUCUCUUCCGCCCCUACCCUAACUCGACUUCACCUCUGAUUCCACUGGAAACAGGAUAUUCUCCACGACAACUAAGGUAAAGAACAGAACUUAACGCUGCCAUUGAUGGUUACCUUGACCACCCACGCCUAUGUCCUUAAUGUAAGAGCUGCCUAUCAUCGGUAUUCUGAUACAUUUUCUUAGAAGCUGCGUACUUAAUAAUAGGGCUAAAGGAGAGAAGGGAAGCUGUGUAUUUCAAAGCAUAUAGAAGCCCGGAACCGACCUAUACACUUACGAGGUAUUGGUAUUAAGAGAAGAGAUUUGAUAGCAAAUAGAUAAUAUCUCCUCUGAUCUGAUCUCUACGACCUAACUCACCCUACGGAUGCUGAUUCUCUAUACGACCUAACUCACUUAUAAUUACUUGACACCUGAACCACUUGUUUCGGACCUCAAUCUCUUGCCAGUUCAUUCUAACCUUACUCAGGUGCCUGAUUUGAUAUAAGAAAUAUAGUUGCCCGAUCUAGCGCAUUUGGUGGGAGACAUUAAGGCUUAACCGAAGAGGUAGGCUAAAAGGACUUCUUUCCAGAGGUGGGCAAGGGCACCCUAUUUUCCUUGGUCAACCAAUACAGCUUUUCUUUCUAUUUCCACUCCCGGGUUGGCAAGAAGGAGCCCAUGGGUUGGUGACUGUCCAAUAAAUCCAUUCUCUUUCCUCAACAACCCCAAGUCUAUAAGGAAAGGAUAGAUAAGGAUCUACAGAAGAAGAUACUCAGCGGACUUGACUUAGAGGCACUGCUGAUGUUCCAGCUCCAUACGAGUAGGUAUAUGAGCCUCAUUAAGAAGACGAACACUAGCGGCAGGCAAGGGGGACAAUAAGGCUUUUCAAUAGUAUACGAGUUCGGGUCGGCAAAGCUAAAGGGAUGCUUGUGCCAUAGUUGUCUAGGUUUCUUGCGAGUAAGAGUCAGUUUCUCCUCUAUAUAUAAAGAAAAGAAGUAUUUGUUUCCUCGGCGCGUAAGGGAGCUCGUUAAGUCUAGGAAUUCAAAAAGAUCUUCAUCAGCAGUGAGAGUUAAGUAUACCAACCAGAGAGAGAGAAUAAGUUAUGCAAGUAGAAUUCAUUGGUCAACCAUUACUAAUAAGCGGUCUUCUACCCUAAGUUCAUGAGUUUGCUACGAGCGGUGCGAGGGUUCAUUAGAGGUCGGGGCAGACUAUCGGGAAUAAAGAUCUGACUUUGUUUCAAGAGAAGAUGGAUGCCGAAGAGUGCGAGUAACGUCUAGUGAUUCUGCUGAUCUACCUGUUGUUUCCGCUGUUCCCUUAAGACCUAGGCUAAGAUGAAACAGCCAAUCUAUCUCCUCUUGCAACUUCAACUCUCGGGAUUACACUCGGGAUUCCACAACUCCUGAUGGAUAGCUGGUCUAGUCUACUCGAUCAGAGGCAAGAGAGGUUGGGGCAUAGUAAAGUACAAGCGAGGAAUCAUAAAGUAUCGGCUUUGAAGCUUGAAGGAAUGUAGACCUUUAGUUCGGGUCGGGUGCAAGUGUUGAAGAGAGAUAUUAUCCACUGCUUUUAGGUGAUUCUGUUCCGCCAAGCGUAUACUUCUCUAUUGACUACUUGCUGAACACAUGGGUUAUACUGGAGUCAAGAGGGAGUUAACUGUUAUUAAUGUAUUAAGUAGCUAGCUUCCCUACCGCCAUUAACGAACAAAGUUGAAGCGCCUGCCGCUUGAACACUUUACUUGGUUAUUUAUGACUCCUAUACUAUUGGCUAUCAAAAAACACGGGAACUAGGCUGUAAGUUAGUUAAGAUGUACAAAUAGGGGUAAGUGAGUGAAACUAGCUCUUCCAACUCUGAAAGUAGAACUACGCUUGCUGGGUCCCUUGCUAGUUAGAAAGCCUUUGCUUGUUACAGUGUAGCUCCAUUAGCUAGUUCUGGUAGAGAAACUAAGUUAAUACGAAGCCUUGCACUCUAUUCUUCCCGGCCCCGAACCCUUUUUCUGUUUCAUUGUAUAAGUAAGCCGAAUCCACUAUUUAAGGUAUUUGCUGUCAGUGAAUCAAUCUCGUCUCUCUCUUUGGCAAGUCAGCAGCAAACGGUAUAGUUCGGCAAAAGAAUAAGUGGGUGCAAUUCCAUUCUGUUGGACUAGAAUCCUAUAUCUAUAUUAAUAUCCAUAUCAACUGCCCACGUAGCUUGGCAAAAGUAAGGUUAGCAGAGCAGCAAUUCAAGUAAACCAGUCUCGUGAGUGUGUGUUGGCAACGAGAAAAUGAGUUGGAUUAGCAGCAGUCUAUUUACUUCAAUCUAUACUUUUCAGAAAGAGUACCUAUGAGGGUUGUCAAGAAAUGGAACUCGCUUUAGGGUUGGCAAGGAAGAGGACUAGGGUCGGGCAAUAAGAUCGGAAUUCUCACUUCUAUGGUGAAGUCUUUUUAGGCACCUAUGGUAUGUGAGCUACUAGACCAAAGUAUGAGUUAUGUGUUUGAUUCUUUCCAGUAAUAGCCUGGUUAGUCAAACAAGACUCAAAGGAGGGGUGGGUAUACUCAAUCUAUCAAGUCAGGAUCCCGGGCUAAGGCGAAGAAUAAUAAGUAACAUAAUUUCCGCUCACAGGAUAAGCUUAUGGGGUUAUGGGGCAUCUUUUCAUUGAAUACAACUAAUAUCGCCUCUAAUGCAUUUCCAGCCUAUAACACAGGUGUAUAAGAAUGGACCUAAAGAGAUUAAGUGUCAAGGGUGUGGGAAUAAUGGGAAAUAAUACAGAGUGAAACAGGCGAGUAACAGCUUCAAGUAAUAACCAAGCUAGUGAGCCAAAGGUAGUAAUCAAAAGAAUGGUCAGAACACGAUGGAGAAGAAUUUGACUCGCUGGACGCACCCUUGCUAAGAUAGGAUCCAACUACCGAUAACAAGAAAUUCAUUGAUAAGUAAUAGAAUGAAAACCCAGACAAGCUACCACUACUCAUAAGAAGUAAAACGACCUCUCUACCACUACUAAGAAGAAUAAGGGAUACGACUCCUACUAACUGGUCUUCAACUCAGAUAUUCCUACUUAGACUACUUGUUUGGGAUUCCACUUGCACAGAAAGAGACUCGUAGCCAACUAAUAUGUAUUCUGAUUAAAGGGAAAGUCGAGUCACAUUAUACGCUACUUGGGGGAACAGGCCUACUUUGAUCUCUAGGAACGUUACUUUCAGAGCCAACAACUCUCUCAAUCAGGUCUUCAAGCCAACUACUUAAUAGGUCAAACUCACCACUAAAGCACCGAACCAGCCUCUACUGGGCCAAGCAGGCAAAGGGAAAGCAAAGAACUGAGCUCUACGGGGAAAGCCAGGGUAAACUUCAGAACUAGUUUAGGAAAGAAUUCAUCAAUGUAUUUAGAGCACUGGAUUGAUUGUCUCUCUCUACUCUAAGCCAAGAGCGAGCACCAACACUGGCGAACUUCUUUAUUAACUAACUGAACUUCUUUAUUAACUAACCCCGGGCAUUCAUUCCAUUACAUUACUUGCAUUAUCGCUUAUAGGCUUUAGGCUGACUUUCUUUUGGCCUAACUUUCCUGGCUAUUAGUUCUUUGACUCCUUUCUACCGGCCUUACUGUCCACUCCCUAAAUCUGACUUCACUGUAUUAUAGGCUUUACUUGACCAUAUUAUAGUAUGCCUCUCCCUUAUUCUAUUCUUGAGAACCCCAUUGCAUAUUUGAUCUUACAAUAAGGAAUUGGACCACUACUAACAUACUAACAAGACAGAUAUCACUACUUAUUGGAUUGAGACCGCUACUUAUCGUAUUGAUGAAACCGGGAAUCAAACCCAUAAGUAAGUAUACCAAAACAAUAUACUAACAUAAGAAAGAAACUACCAAUACCAAGACCAAGUUAGUAGAUACAGAAAACAAAGAAGAAAGAAUUGAGUAACACAAAAGAAAGAAUGGAAUUAUUAUAUUCUAACGAUAAAAGAAAGAAGUAAGUUAGGAUAUCGGUCUCGAACUAGAAGCCCGUUGCUAUUAGGGCACUACCUUAUUUAUUAUCAUAUCAUAAUGAAAUGUCAGUAAACCAGCCAAACUAGAGAAUAUGUGCUUUCUAUUGAUAAUAUGUUUUCGUCUCUAUUUAGAAUAUGUUUGUCGUGUAAUAAGAUUGAUUAGUCAUUGGACUCCUAAGUAAUAGACCUAAGCUAAAGCAUCGGAAUGAAGCACAGAAGCUAGCCUUCCUUUCCUACCCUCGGAUCUGGCUUGACUUUAUAUGCCUAUGAGCCAACCCUUAUUACUUCAAUUAUUAUUUACCUUCUUAUUCUUACUGCCCGACAUCUACAUCUGUAUCUUGUCUGUUAGCCUGCCAUACCUUCAUCUAGAUCUCACUUUCCUUAUUACUAGACUGCAGUUCGACCCAGCUACUACUGCCUUAAAUGCCUAGUUUUGAGUUGCACUCUUCCGCCCCUAACUCGAAGUCGAAGUAACCAAGACUUGCUUUUGUGUCGGUUAUUGAUAUGACAUAACUUUCUCUACUUUCUCUUAGCUUCCAUGAGUCUAACACUACUGUGAUGGGGAAUCGAACAUUCCGGGGCACCAUAUUCGAUUUUGGAAUACUCCCGAAUAGGUUGAACAGUCAAGACACGCUGCAAGAGAGGCCUCUAUAAUAAGUUGAGGCAAGUAAGUAUACUACCUCCAAGUUCCGUAUUCUAAGGAAAAGGAUUAGAAGCUCUUAUUUCAUUAUUGAGAACAGUCUUGCUCGCCUCCAUUCCUGUUAGCCAGGUAGUAAUUCCAUAUUUCAAGAGAAAGUAUUUAAGUACACUAGCGCAUUCCCAGUUUCAAGUUUAGGAUAGGUCGGUUCCACUCUGUGUAUUGUCCCCUCUAACUCUUGGGUUACUGUUUGACUCCCUAAAGUCACUUACAGAAACGAAACUCUGAGAAACCAUACCCCAGCUAUGUAGAGUAAGUUGCCUAUUCUCCCUAUUUGCAGUUAAAGUAGUCAGAAGCACCGGCUGCAGUCUAUGAGGUACCAGUGAAAAGCCCUAGUUUCCAGUUCAAGGUUUCGGUCUUAUCGUACAGUAGUGAAGAAUGAUAUAAAGGGAAGGGCAGACUAAAGUGACCAAUAAAGUAAAUAGAACCAAACUAAGUAGUAGAGGUACGAUCUAGUGAUUAAGGUAUUGCACUCAUAGGUAUGGUCCAGCACACACAGAUUAAUCAAAAGUAGUAUAGCAUGGAAUCCAAGGAGUGUUAGUAGCCAAAAGUCUUCAAAGUGGAAUAUAUUCUAAUUAAUGUCGAGCAAUCAGAAUCAAAUAAGUAAGUCGUAGGUUGAAACCGAUGUUAACAAGACCUUGACCUUCACCUAGGAACCCGGGAUGGUUAUAUUAAGAAUAAGAGAUAGGCAAGGCAGCUUAGGUAGCAAGAAAGCAAGUAUAUAGUUUCAGAACGAAGGCAAGGCAGCUUAGGUAGCAAGAAAGCAAGUAUAUAGUUUCAGAACGAAGGCAAGGGGAGGUAGUUUGGGAGCCAGGAGAGAGGUAGUAUAGUGAAAGCUUGUGUUUCGAGUUGAGUUCACUGAGUUCCCAAACAGUAUAGUUUGGCCUGUUAGGCAUUGGGUUGAUUCUUGUCAACAGUAGUUCUUUCUUAUAUCUACUGCUCGGUGGCUUGGAGCUAUGCUUGGUAUCCAGUAUUCUGUAUGGAAUUCCUUUUACACUGGACCUUUUGGAAUUCUGAUAGUGGAUAGCUUUCUUCUUUUCUUGUUCUCCGGGGCGCCUAGAGUUAAUCUGCCUAGUAGUGAUUCCUUAUAUAGUAGUAUUGUAUUGGCUUCCGUUCAUGGUAGCUAUAAGCCUGAGUGCGUGUCCGCUCUAGGUUAGGUGUGUUUGUGUCUCCCUUGGUUAUGUGUAUGGUGUGUUUGUGUCUCGGGUUUGUUGGUUUUGUUUCAUAUGUGCCUAAUGGUCGAUGUAGUGUUACCGCUACGUGGAUGUCUGUAGUAACAUAGUCAUUGGUUGCAUAAGUAACAGCGGAGUUGUAAUUAAUAGAACACUUUUACUUGGUUCUAAAGCGUAGUAAUGGAAUUGGCAUUGUAUAAAGUCAGCUGCCCGCUACCUAAACUCAAAAGAGAGAAUAGAGCAGUGCCUUAACAGACAGACUAUAUCUUUUGGCGGUUCUCUGUAAUCCAACUAAUCACUACCAUAGUGGAGCUGGCGCUUCUCGUUCUUUAUCUAGUGAUAUGGAGCCCGCCUUUACUCUUUUUGUUUCCAAAGCUCAGUAAUAGCAUAAUGAAUUAAUAUAUCAUCAAAAUAGAAUAAUAAGUGCCAAGCAACGACUAUGGACGAUCCGCAGUCCAGCGCUCUCAACCAGUAACAAAUGGCAAAGAACUCAGUCUAAACCCAGUAGUCAAAAACCUUACCUUUACUACUCAACACCUUACUUGAGAACAGAGCAGGACUACAAUUACCGGGGGAGUAUCAUUCUUUACUUAUGGUUUCAUUCUUACAGUUGCUUGGCCCCUUGUUUAAAAUGCACUAUGUGCUCGGGGAGCAAGAGAAGAUAAGAGGGAUAUGGGGAAUACCAGAGUCUGGUGCUAGUCUAGAAGUGACUUCCAACUUUGGAAAACAGCUUAAGUCAAAAGAGAAACCAUAGCGGAGACUGCCCUUUACUAUUCCCUACGACUACAGAAUGUCAGGCAGGAGCCAGAGCCUAGUAGUUAAAGGCUUUAGUGGUAGGCUACCUCUCCUAGUGUGCUUGGUCAGACUUGAGGGCGGGGCAAUAAGGGUUGAAGCUAACGACUAAAACUCGUUCCUUUCAUUCUUCAUUAGUUGACUUAGCUACCAUAUGAUUUAUUCCCAACUGACAACCCUCGCACCGAGUAGUAUAUUAUAGUUGACUUUCUUCGUAUAGUAGAGUCAAGUUCCUAGAGUCAUUAGUUUAGUUACCCCAAUGACUUAAGGGCACAGGCAUGCUUUAACGACUUCACUAUAACCACUCCUGUUUUCGGCGGUAGUGAGUUGCGGCUUUACCUUAUCUUAGCUUUUCUCCCCUGUCUCUCGUUUUUCAACUCCAAAUUCCAAUCCUUCGACUUCUUCCUGGAAGGAGAGUAUUAGUAUCCAGCGACUUUCUCGCCUUAUGUAUUUAUUGUUUCGUACAACUAGAAGAAGCAUCCUGCUAACUAAGAAUUGAGCUAGCGAUAACAAGACUAUAGCUAGCAACGGCGAAUUCUACUGGAAAGUAUAAGAAUCAACUAAUAAGUAUGAAUGAAACAGUGCAAGGAAAGCCGACAAGAUAAGAUACUGUGCCAGGAAAGCUGUCAGCAGUGUUGUUUACUUGCUUCUAUUUCUAUUAGUGUAGAUGUGGUGGAUGUGCCUAUUCGCGCAGUAAGCAGUUUUAUGAGGUUACUAGUUUCUGACUUAUAUUAUUUGAGUGAGAUUCAUUUCCAUUGAAUUCUUUAGAUACAGUUUUGAAGCAAUACAGGGCAAUACAGAAUUGGGUUCAAGAGUUCGGGUUUUACAGCAGGGAGAGAUAGACUUCCAACAAUGAGUGGAAGAAUAAGAGCGUUUACGGGAAGUCCGCCUCUGGGUAAGGAGUUGUAGUUUGAAAGUCAGAUUGAGGCGCAACCACAAAUAGGGCUUGGGCAGCUGGGGCAUAAAGUAAGGCUUUUGGUUUGGCAGUCUCGAUAGGCUGAUAGACGCGGCAUUGAGAACGAAAACAAAGGGGCAAAGACAUAGUCAGUAGGGGCAAGAUCCGGAUCGUAAGUUACAGAAAGAAAGUCAGUAGCUAAAGACUUAAGGUGGUAAGCCUAGAGUUCCCGCACUCAUACUUUGAUUAGAUAAUAGUCGAUUCUCUCUACCAGUGAUGUCAGUCUCAUCAGCUGUAGCUCGAUUCCCUAUCUCUUGAUUACAACCUGGCACUGCUUACUUUGAUUACUAUGUUCCUCUUUGACUCUGACUAUUUAGAUAUAACAUCUGUAUUUGCUUACUACGCCGGCUAUUAGCCUUCCCUUACUAAACUCAUUCCUGUAGUCCACCUGCUUGUAUUAAUAGAGAAACAACCAUACUAUCUUUAGCACCAAUUCGAUUCUUCCUUUUCUCAUUUAAGUUAACUAACUACCUGGUUGCAUUAAAUAAAAGAUAUAGUUUGCAUUAUCAUUAUACUAAUUCUUCCUUUUCUCAUUGAUUAUGAAAUCUUAUAGAAGCUUGCCCACACAGGGGUUUCUUUCAGUCUAUAAUAAGCUUGAACGAUCUCUCCUCCCUUUUGAAACUAAACUCACUAUUCUCUUAGCGCCCCGACCUAUAUCUUCAUUAUGUUUGUAAGAAAUCCAGCUGCACCACCCAUUCAUAGAGUGUCAUCGCUUAUUCAUAGAGUAGUCUCGCUCAUUCAUAGAGAGUAGCUUCGAGUGUAAUCGCACCCAAACAAACAGUCUGUCUCAAAUACAAAUGCAAAAAGAAAGCUGCUUUGCGCUACUAAAAUAGAAAAGAAAAUACCUUUUUUAGCCCAAAUAACCUUAUCUAAAUAACCAUCAAUACAGAAUGCGAGAGUGAACUAGAAGACUCAACCCCAAUGGCGAAUGCAGCUGGCGGGGGGCAUACAAAUAUCCAGUAAAGGCGGAGAACAAGGUAUGAGUUACAGGCCAAUAGACAGUCAAGGGUUAUCUAAAGGAGUUGGAUCGAAAAGCCCUUUCUUUACUAUAACUAUACUAUGAAUUUGAUGAUUCAUUUGACAUAUUUUGGAUAUUCCUCUGCAGGUGAAGAUUCGGCGUCGGCCUAGGCUUCUUUAUACCUUGGAUUUGGUACGAGAGCCUAUGCUUUAGGAACAGGCUCAGGCUCCAUAGCUUCAAGUGUAAAGGAUCCUAUCACACAGACAGACGAGAAAUGGGAAAACUAAUCACUGGAAAACGAAUCACUAGAAUUGAUGUUACCUAACCACUUCAUAUCUUUCUCUUUCUUUGAAAACUCCCCGGGUAUUCUUAUGGUAGGGACUAGGAGCUCGGAGUUCUAGAGUAUAGUAGGUGGGAAGAAAUCACUCGUAUGAGUUGUUGUGACGGUUACGGUAUGCAGUGCUCAACCGAUAGGAACGAUAGGUUAGGAGGAACGGAGUAGCUCCAAAGAUAUAGGAUGUUUUGGACUCUACCGAUAUUAGCUGGUCCUUUAGGGAACGAGCUACAUAAAAGCGGGUGGUAGGCCGAAGCAGGUUCUUGAGCUCGACGGAAAGGAAUAUUUCUUACUGACUUACGAGCUACAUACUUUCAGUGAGAAGGAUAUGGGUACGUUGCCUUGCGCACUAGUGGUUUUCAGAUUCCCAGAGUACAGCGCAACGUCCGACCUUAAUGGACGAUAGGGGCUCUUUCUUAUUCUCGAAUCCCUUUUUUCAGUACAAAGAAUCAAGUUCUAUGCUUUAGACGUCAGCCGCAUCUGCUACUACCUAUUCUAGCAAGAAAGCAAACCACCAACGGAUCCUUCCACUUCUAUCACAGAGUCUAAGGGUUCCGCGAACCGAGAAACCUUUUUGUUUAAAGGCCUCGCACUUGUGUCUCCCGUCAUGACGACAGCCGGCCGAGAUGAUAGAUUGACGUCAGCCGCACAAUAGCCUGUUUGAAUCGAAUCAUAAACUGUUCGUCGUGGGGAGUGCUAAUCGAGGGCUUCACUUCUUAUUUCGCUAUUUCACUUCCCUGCUCUGGUUCAAAACUAGCUAGGCAUCUUCGUAAGUCUCGUUAACACGCCGGCAUUUAUCUUGGAAUGGAGGACGGAACACCAAAUCUUUAUGUCAUUAAUUAGACCGGCAUUUAUCUUGGAAUGGAGGACGGAACACCAAACCUUUAUGUCAUUCUAAAGAAAGGGGUGAACCGGUCGCUUACCCUUAUCUUAUAAGCCUUGUUAGAUGAUUCAUAAAACCUUGCUUCUCUUUCUGAUGAGAAAGCUUUAUUGUAGUUUCUGCCUCUUAUGAGCACCUUCUAAACCAUGCCCCACUAGACUUUGUUAUGAGCCAGCUUAACCCUUUAGUUAUGUUACUUCUAAAACUCACUCUAUUCUAUUAGCUGCAGUUGUCCAAAUCAAGUUCACAAUCCUACAAUUUCUUACUAUAACCUCCAUCGAGAGCAAGAGAAAGAGAAAAAGCUCCCCGGGAAGGAAGGAUAACUCAAUUCGAUCACUGAUUAGAAACUCGCUUAAUCACCGUAGAGGUUUACAGGUAAAUCGAGGUCUCUAGCAUAUCCCUUUUUAGGGCUUACAGUUCAAUGUCACUGAUGGGGAAUCCAUAGAUUGUAGUAGUUCCCAAGAAGAACGUAAAGAAACGAGUCUGUAUCGCCACUUUACGAAUCUAAAUGGCAGCUUGCCCCAUAAAGAAAAGACAGCUAUCCCCUAAAAUGGACCCGAAGGUGGAUGCGAUUCUAAAGAAUGAGCUUCCUGGAGCCUCCUCCGGCUAAAACCAGAUCCUAAUGCAAGUGGCGGAUCAAAUCCAUACUUUUAUACAAAUUCUCGCAAAGCCUUACCAGUCAGGGAGGCUAACGAAAUGGGCGAUCGAACUCAGCAUCUACUACAUACCUUCUAGGGCCAGAGUGGCCGGGCAUCGUCGAAAUCAACUCCUUCCUUCGAGGCGGGAGCAGACUCAACUCAAAGCCAAAGACCGAGAAUGAAAGCGUACUGUAAAAAAAGAGUGGAGCUAGCAGGCAGGAAGUAUUUUCCAACUGUCGACCGGAGCCAAUGAAUUAGCCAAAGCAGCCUCCGCAGCGAGCAACGAAUCUUAUUCCAAUUCAACAACCCGGUUAGUCAUAGUUAUCGACUCAAACAGUACGGAACCCAUAUAACUUAGCUCUUAUUGCGACAUUCCUUGCUUGAUAUGUAACUCAUUUCCAUGAAAGCAAACUAGAACUUGAGCUGCAACCCAACUAACAACUGUGAUAUCGAAAGCUGUCUCUCGAAGAGGCAGUAGACACAGAAAGAUCUUUAGAAGGGCCUUCCUACCGGACAGAAACAUUAUUUCCUAGACCAAUACGGAGACACGAGACCAGGCGAAAGCCAAUCGAAGGGCGCCCAAUGUGCAUUUUGAAAUCUAUUACAAGGGUUCGGUACAACUAAAAGUGUUGGUUCUAAUCUUCGUCGAAAGGCUGAGCCCCCCUUGACCCAUGUGAUUUGACUCCCUCGGAAGCGGUAACGGAGCACCUCGGGUGAGUUUGUCUUCUAAUACCGCAUGGUACUAUUUCACUCGGGCUAAUUUGAUUAUUGGUUUAGUAAGUAGCUUCUCGCAUGUGUUACUCUUCUGCUUUAGUGGGUACAAAGUUCGGAUUGAAGGAAAGGAUGAACGCUGGCAAAAGAUGCUGCCUUCUCCGCUUAUAUGCUUGUUAACUUAGUCGAUUCCUAGAGCUACUUCCGGUCGAAUAGCAUCUGAGAAAGAACGUUGUGUAAACAUCUGUAAUAAGAAAGACUUCUGAUUCGUUAUCGUACCCCUUUACCAUCGGCAGAUCCCUUUCCUUACUCGCUUUAUUUGGUAUUCUGUCGAGUACCUUCUUUCGUUCCUCUGAUAGCUUCUUAUUGGGCUCUCGAUUUUCUUUACACUCUUUUACGUGCCAUGUCUAUAGUGACUCUUUAAAAGAGAAUCUAAGUAUAGUGACUCUUUAUAUACGAGCGAGGUAAAAGCACAAGGAGCCCGGUAAUAGCAUAGGUGCUCUUGCUCCCCUCAGUAGGUUCGAUUGAGCCUAACCCUCGAAAUAAGUAAUUCAAGCGAGCUACCGUGUCCUUACCCACUAUGUACUCCAAAAAGGAAGCCAUCCACGUAUCUAAGAUGGUUUUUCUUAAUUUGCAUCUCAUCUAAACUUCAUGGUUUAGUCACUUUUAUGGAAAGCCCGAUUGAAGCCGAAAAGUAGAUAACAUAGGAGCGGGGUAGAAACCCUGUUUGGAAGAAUUCCCUCUUCAGACACGUUGGACUCUUAUCUUACUAUAAUGAAUAACUGUUCAGUGAGCGAACCUUCCCAUAGUGUAUCGACGGAGUCAAGCUACUGACUUUACCAUGUUCUUGGACUGAUGACUCACGGCUUAGGGUGAACCAAAAUUGAUUGAUGAAUCGAAGCUCUACCCGACUCGCAGCGCAUGCCACACCCACGACUUAUGUACCUCCCUUAGAAGUCCUAAUCUGCCUAUGAGACAGACAACUUACCUUAGACUUCGGGGACCGGCCAAAGCAAAAGGGGAGUGGAACCGUCAGUCCAGACGAAUCCAGAAAUGCAUUUGAUAGCGACAGUCUUUAAAGGCUCAUUUAUAGGGUUCCGGAGUCUUCAUUCUAUUACAGGAGUAGGUUUUGGAAGCCGUCACCAGUAUAGAAUCAGGUGUAUAGAGCCUCGGAAAGUAUGAUGUUGGUUAGGGAUAUGUGCCUACUUAAGAAGAUUUNNNNNNNNNNNNNNNNNNNNNNNNNNNNNNNNNNNNNNNNNNNNNNNNNNNNNNNNNNNNNNNNNNNNNNNNNNNNNNNNNNNNNNNNNNNNNNNNNNNNNNNNNNNNNNNNNNNNNNNNNNNNNNNNNNNNNNNNNNNNNNNNNNNNNNNNNNNNNNNNNNNNNNNNNNNNNNNNNNNNNNNNNNNNNNNNNNNNNNNNNNNNNNNNNNNNNNNNNNNNNNNNNNNNNNNNNNNNNNNNNNNNNNNNNNNNNNNNNNNNNNNNNNNNNNNNNNNNNNNNNNNNNNNNNNNNNNNNNNNNNNNNNNNNNNNNNNNNNNNNNNNNNNNNNNNNNNNNNNNNNNNNNNNNNNNNNNNNNNNNNNNNNNNNNNNNNNNNNNNNNNNNNNNNNNNNNNNNNNNNNNNNNNNNNNNNNNNNNNNNNNNNNNNNNNNNNNNNNNNNNNNNNNNNNNNNNNNNNNNNNNNNNNNNNNNNNNNNNNNNNNNNNNNNNNNNNNNNNNNNNNNNNNNNNNNNNNNNNNNNNNNNNNNNNNNNNNNNNNNNNNNNNNNNNNNNNNNNNNNNNNNNNNNNNNNNNNNNNNNNNNNNNNNNNNNNNNNNNNNNNNNNNNNNNNNNNNNNNNNNNNNNNNNNNNNNNNNNNNNNNNNNNNNNNNNNNNNNNNNNNNNNNNNNNNNNNNNNNNNNNNNNNNNNNNNNNNNNNNNNNNNNNNNNNNNNNNNNNNNNNNNNNNNNNNNNNNNNNNNNNNNNNNNNNNNNNNNNNNNNNNNNNNNNNNNNNNNNNNNNNNNNNNNNNNNNNCCCGAAGGCCUUAGUGGCGAGGAGAAAAAGUUCUUGUGCGAUAGGCCAGAUGAAGGUUCAAUCCCAAAAACGAGCUCAACCCGCUAUGGAAGAGACUGUUUCAGUCUAUUUUGGUACAGCAAAGUUCUGUCAAGGAAGUCAAACUGGAUUCCAUUCUAGUCUUUCUUACGAACGAUGAGAAGACGGAGUUAGUGGCCCUGCUUAAUGAGUUCAUCGAUGUUGUGUUGUUAGCAGGCGAAGUCUCUGUCCCUGGUUGUUAGCUGUCGAAGGGGCCGUGGAAGGGUAUUGAAAAGUUGGACAUCAAAAGCUCGCUUACUCAGAUAUUUCUUCUAAAAGCGGUCCUGUCCUAUUAUCUUGAUUAGAAAAGUGGGCAUAAAUCCUUUACUGAGUGCCAGCUUGUGCCGCCUCUUCUCAAAGGGGGGAUUUCGUCUAUAAAGAAAGUUUCUUAGCAUGCAAGCAACCUUGCCGAAGUUAGGUUAUGAAAGAAUGGGAUCUAUCUAGUAGCAAACCAGCAGCAAAGCGCUUCCUCGAAGCUUAGACGAGUAAGAAAAACUGUGACACCGAAGUGGACUGAUGUAGAGGACUUUAGGAACCUAAGUAUCUAACUUGAUAAAGCAAGAGUUGGAGGUCUUGGGAUGUUAUUACUACUGCGCCACUUAUCAUAAUAGAUCAGAAGGCUUUGAACAAGGUAUCCAGUAGAAAAGAAGGCUUUGAACGAGGUAUCCCGGAUCGGGUCAUAGACUAAUAGAGUUAAAGAACCGAACCAGUUAAUGUAUCCCUGUUCGCAUGGUUUAUACGGUAAACCCUCUGACGGUGUAAGUAGCGACUCUCUUGUCUUUUCAGCUAACCCGUCAACUUAUUACUAUCAGGUAUAGCUCUCAUGAAUACGCAGUUGAACAACCAAUACAGUUAUUGUUAUCAAGUCCGUAGUGAUCAAACAGCCAGAGACAGGGUUCUGACAGAAACUUGGGAAGUCUUGAAGUUUUAUUGAAAAGCUAUAUUAUCAAGCGAUGGAGGUGAGUCACUAGUAUGGCGACGUUUGUAAGACUCUCUAUUAUCCUUGCUAUUUGGUGAAUCUUAAUGGGGCCCGGCCCGCCCCCGGAUACAAUUGAGCUAGUAGAAGCGCUCGAUACAGAAGCAUCUUCCUCUACAAUAGCUUGGGAAACCUGAUUGAAAUGCUUUGGAUAACCAAGAGGCGGUAGAAGCACCCCGUGAUAGCGGAACCAAUACCACUUUUCCUGUGAGUGCUGCGCCCUUUCGUACUGACCGAGAUACGGAAGAAUGGCUAGGAAUUCCAUGCAUUUUCCUUUCAUAUGAGAAAAGAACAAAGGGGCUGGCUUCUAGGAUCGUGUCACCUAUGCAUUUAUGCUGCUAACCACUACUGAGUAAACGGCUGUACCAGUGAAAUCUCAUAUGACAGAAAACGCCUAUAAAGCACUGCGCUUUCCCUUGCCCAGAUGUUAGCCUUUCUAAGUCAAGUAAUGGUUACCCUUAGCCUCGUAACAUUUGACGACUACUUACAAGCGACGAGGGGACUACUUUGCCUCCACGGAAGAAGAGACGCUCUCUAGCCUUAGGAACCUGUUUAGAAUAUAACUCUGGUAGGGAACGUGUGACAUUGGAGGUGAACGAUCACCACUGGUCCUAAGCUAUGAUUCUUCGUGGAUUACUACUCUUUACUCAAAAGAAUCAAAUAUACAUCCUCUAACAUUAUGUAACCCAACAUCACUCCUAACUUAUCAAGCAACAACUGUAGGGCCUGGCCUGUGCUCAGUACGGGUCUUCAUUGUUAAUACUUAAGUCGCUUAAUAUAGAAUUCCGUAACAACCAACACUAAGUCACUUAAUAUAGAAAGAGUAUAACCCUAAAAACGGACUGCUGACUAAAAAGAAAGAGUCACCCUAAAAACGGACUGCUGACUUACUUAACUCACAAUUAAGGGCUUCAGUUACUCUUCUGCUGGGCCUAAGGAAAGAAUGUAGUAGAUAACUGUAAGCAAGUAACCUGAGAAGUGCACAUGUUCUAUAAGCAAGUAACCUGACAGCAUUGCUUCGUUUAAUAACUCUUAUCGGCGUACUCCAACUCAGUUGUGCUAACGUGAGUUUCGGAGUUUGUUUCUCACCAGUGAUAAAAGAAUGUAAGUGAGUCAUAGGUUAUCAAGUGAUAAAAGAAUGUAAGUGAGUCAGUAAUAGUAUUUUAAAGCAGGGGAGGAAAUGGAAUCAGGGACUUAGUAUACGCUUGGCCCCUGCUAGAUGGCUCCGAGAGACAGAUCAAUUUAUGAAACCCCGGUAGUCCAGGUGAGAGUAGAAAGGGAGAGUUGUUUCAUGAAGUGACUAGGCUAGGAAGCCCACCGAUUCCCCGAACUGAUACUAUACCAAUACCUAAGGCAGCUAACAGACAGAAUAAAACAGGUGAGUAACAGCCCUGAAAGCAGUACCAACAAGACUUGUUGAAGACCUUAGCUACUGAGUUGAAGCCUUAGUACCAUUAGCUGCAGUCUGAGAAGCGCUGGUUUGAGUCUCUCCGUCGGGGGUUUCAGUCUGAUUGGAUCGAGUUUCAGGCACCAAGCAACUACGUCAGACCAAGACACUCGGGCAAGGGAUAUCCUCAGUUACUUUCUUGAUUUCUUGAUUUCUUUCACUUAUGCUAGUCUCUUCUUUCUUUCUUUCACUUAUGCUAGUCUCUUUGAACUCACCCCUCGUAGUAGUUUAUACUUGUAUGUUUGUCGUCUUGGCUUGGCGCUUCCAGUCCUUUCUUAUCAUUUCUUCUCUCCACUUAUAUAAGCUACAGGUCAACAACUCUACCUUAAUCAAUUUCCCAUCUUGCCUCCCAAGAGUAUAGUUUCCUUUCCUAGCACCGACACAAUCACUUCUUUCUAAGACAAUAAAAAGGUCAAAAGCCAAGCACUACAAGUGGCUUCAGAACUCUAUCCUAUAAGAAGAAAGAGUAUUUUCUCGCCUGUUAACUCAUCCAAUGGCUAAUCCACUGUAUUAAGAUCCCAGUUAGUAGUUGUGCAAGUCCACCAAGCCACGUAUACUCGGGGAAUGUUUGAAACUGACCAAGCAUAUACUACAAAGGCAAAACGGGAGCCAAGUAACUGCUAUGUGUUUGUGAGCCAGAGGAUAGUUAGUGAGAGUUGCCAUUGCUAAUAAGAAUGACACUCAAUGAAAAACAGGCUACUAUCAGAAAGAAUGGAAUGAAUUGGGCCAUAAUACAUAACUCGCUAGCGCAUUACCCUUAAGUCAUAGUGAUAGGGAUGGAAUUGGGCCAUAUAAUACAUAAUUGCCAGCACAUUAACUACUUAUGCUUUCUUUUGAGGUCAACUAAGAGACUGGUUCGGUGCUUUACCAGAGGCAGCAGAGGCAGAGGCACGGGUGAGUUAGCCGGGGAAGGAAGAAUGGAAUUUGAAGACAUUCAGAUGGGAGCAAUAGAUAUUAUAUAUGAUGGUUGCCAUAAGAGGAGAAGAGCUGUCCUACCGCCCGAACAAAGGACUUGUCGAGACUUUCCUUGACACUCUAGUUUAUGUUCGUUGAUUCUACUGCUUUGAUACGAGGUGUCCAGAAACUUCAUCAUUAGCCAGGCAGAGGGAGUGGAAGAAGAUCAAUCUAGUACUGGCUUUAGAAUCGAAUUGGAAGACAUAGGCGAUGAACUCAGGAACAUAGCUAACCUGCCCUCUUGCCUUGACCAAGUUGGAAAUAAGCCUGAUUGCCCUUGCCCAACCAGUAUAGUAGUGAAGUCAGAGCCUAAUUCUGGUAUCAAACGUAAGAUCUCAAGUCUUAAGUAGUGGUCUGGUCCUGUUUCAUCUUUCAUCUGUAUGAGUUUACAGAGAAGAAUGAAGCGGGAUAGAUCUAGCCAAUUAAGUAAUAAAUAAAGAAUACAGUGUCGAGGGGAGAGAUGAGUUCAACUAAUAAGGGUUAAUCCAUUUAUUCAAUACAAUUACCAAGUCCUGUACCCGGGUACCCAGAGUUAUGAGCAAGUCCUUUUUAGUGUUCGCCUGUACCUAGGAGUAUAGAGUUGUACUAGAGUAGAGCUGUCCGAUUCUAUUCCCGCUGCAGUACAAUGAGCAGCAUGCCAAGAUCCUAAUGUUUCCGAAUAAAGGAAAACCUGCGGGAGACAAAAGGGAAAAGGAUAUCAUAGGUCUCCUGGGUAAGCUAGAGUAAAUACUGCAGACUGGAGACAGAGGUAUCCUAACAACAGAGGCUGGUCACACCAUGAUACUUUGACUAUCUAAGAAGGAGCCUGCCUCCCCACACGCUUAUGAUGAGUAUAUCUCCUGUAAUGCCCAAAUGCCUAUUUCAUAGUUGCUUACAAAGAGAACUGUGGAGGGUAGCGAUCAGAUAAAGGUGGGUUAGGUGCUCUCCCUCCUGGAAUUUGCUUGUGUCCCCCUGCCUCCUCAAACGAAAACCCUCAUAGAACGAGUCAGUGACGUGCAGGUGCGAUGGGAGCAGUUCAAUACCUUUUAUAAACAAUAUCGUCCUUUUACCCUCGGUGUUCUUCAGGAGAAAGACAGUGAGCCCCACCAUCACUGGGACCAUAUGGGCCAAUCCACCCAUGUUUGCCAAAGUUGCUGGAUUCCGAGUUUGCCUAUUUUGCCUCCUGGCCGCUCCAAGUUUACAUUAGUGGUUUCCGCGUGUCUAACAGCCUUAGUGUUUCAUAUACGCAAGAGUUUGAGAGAGCUAGCCGAAGAAAGGAGUUACUGUUCUGCCGGGCUGUGGAAUUAUGCCCUCUGCUUAACUUCAUUAGGCUAAUCUAACUCUGGGAUUCCACUCGAACAUCAUCACUUGCAGCUGAACGGAUAAUUAAUACUUCCUUAGCUUUCCAUUAACGAUUCUACUCUCACAUCAAUUGUGGAACGAGACCUUUGGUCGCUAACAAACAUGGAUUUCAGUCGAACUGCACUUUCGUACACUAACCUUGCAACUUUACUCGUACACUAACCUUGCAACUUUACUUGCUCUUGCAGCUUACAAUCCCACCUCUGAUUCUCUAAUUGACUUUCCUCUGACUUCAUAGCUCAAUCCUCUUCUUAUCCCUUAUGAUUAUUCUUCUCCCUUCUUCUUAGUUUCGGAGUAGAAGAACCGUUCCCUUUGUAUUAUUCUUAACCUCUCUACUAGGCUAUUCUUAUUACUUUAACAUCAUUUCCGGAUCCUACUGUUGAUCCUGAUUGAGAGUCCUUUCCGAGAUACUUUCCUCGAACCCCCCUUUCAGAACCGCUAGUAUACUUUCUGGAUCCCGAUCAACCUCUUCUUGACGCGCCAACCUCCACUGGUCCUAGAACUAUUACUGGUCAUUCUUCUUAUGCUUGAGCCUCAGAUCCUGCUUAUAAUCAGACAAGCCGACAAGUGACUACUCCAGUUUUCGUCAGGGCGUCAGCGAGUUUUAUUAUCUCGCGGUAUUAUCUAGUUUCUUCCGAUUCUGUUUCGAACAGCUUCCUAAUCACAAGUGACAGAACAAGUAUACUUUGCACAUAAGCCUUAGAGCACCGCCAGCUUACUUUCGUACUGCUUGUGAUCUCGUAUACUUGACUUUGGUUUGGCCAAUAACCUCUUUCAAGUAUCAAGUGGAGUAUCAAGAAAAGAAAGAAGUCGAAGAAGGAUCAUCUGCUGGAGAAGAAACAGUGCUGCAUCCAGGUGUUGGUGGUUCUUAACUUCCAGUAUAGGCAGGCCGGGCGCUAAGCGAGACUACUAAAUGCAUCAGCCAGCGAGGGGAAGGGGUGUAAUAUAAGAAGUAACUAACCAGCCCCAGGGCUCUCUCCCUCAAUUCCCAACCCUAGUUCUCUUUCCUUUCUGAAUUGACUAAAACAGGACUUGCUUCUCACUCAUACUAACAACAACUAUGGCUAACGCUCUGAUAACUCAACAAACAACCAACUAGACUACUGCUAAGGUAUAUGUUAUUAGGCUCAAAUUCAUUGUCUCCUGACUCCUUUCCUUACUCAGAGGCAGAGACCCCGUUGUGCUAAUGCGAGUUCUUUGAAUAGAAGUGAGGCACCGCACCGAAAUAAUGGUUUCUACUUGCUCUAGUUUCGUUAGCGCAACGUCCCGUCCCGACAAACACCUAAUGCCAAUGAAGACAGGAACUCUUAUAACUCUGUAAGCGCUAAACUGCUUGGCUUGUUGACUUGUUGAAGAGAAAUUCCGUAUACCCGUCAUUGAAAGAAGUCACCAAACCUAACAACAAUUACUUACUCAACCCUUUGUGACUCUAAGGAAUAGUUGUAAGAUAGUGCACCCGCAAUCGGCACUGACUUGACAUCGAGCAGCGCAUAAAAAGAGGUGGAAUUGACUUUCGACUUCUCAAGCAUUAACCGAACACGCAACUAACCGGUACCCUCCCAUCUACAAGCAAGAGGAAGAGCGCCAAAGGGAAUAAGUCCAGUCAAGUACCAUAGUCUAGCCUUCAAUGUGCCAAUCGACAUUCUGAAAGUCAAUAAGCACGGACGCUAAUAAGUUUUGAAACAAAAGAGAAGCCGUCAAGUCAUAAUAAAUAAGCCAUAGGAAAGCUGUCAAGUUAAGUCAUAAUAAAGAAGCAAUAGGGAAGAGCUUUUGUGUGUUAGUGAGUUACAACAGUAAGGUUACACUUUCUUACAUAAGUUGUCGUGCAUGUGCAUAUUCUAUGGAAUUGAUCUUUCUUGAGAGUGGAAUUUCACAGUGUUGUUACUUUGACUCUUUCUUACUUAUAUAAUAUGAAUAGGAGAGUAUAUGCACGCACCAUCUUAUAGCUAUCAUACCUGGCGAAAGCAACAACCUUAGGAACAGGCAACUAGAACAAGCAACAUUAGGAGUUCAAUCAGGUUACUUGUUAGCGCGUUAGGCUUAUUGUGCUUGCUCAGGUGCUUACUUUGCCCUCACGCCCAGAGACCGACCUUCGUUUUUGGACCGCGCUUCAACGCCCUAUCAUACUUAGGCUUCCUUGAGAUUUCUUCCUUCCCACUUCUACUGAGCUUCCUUGAGAUUUCUUCCUUCCCGCUUGCUUUCUUUAGACUUCUUUCUUUCUCGCUUAUCUUAUACAGAUUGAUUUCCCGCUUAUACUGAGCUUCCUUCCCGCUUCUAUCAAUUCCUUCAAACAAGCCCUUUUAGAAAGCGCUAUCACGUUUAGAGUUACUCGCCUAAAAGUGGUUGGGGACUCGAAAUAGGUUAUAAGUCAGGUCGCGGGAGAGUGGAAGACCAGGGACUCUAAGUAUAUUCUAUAUAAAGAGUUUGCCGAACGGCCUAGUCUAACUCUUUGAUGAGGUGGUUUUCGUAUCACGGAUCUUGGUGAACGUUGUAGUAGUUCAAAUGGAGGGUUCCCAACCCUCGGAUCGAAUUUCUUUCUCUGUUUUUGGUACCGGCAUGUCGAUAAUUGCUUUCUUUAGCGCAGGUCGACUUCUAUUUCUCUUCUGCGGACAAUGAACCCGAGUAGCUUACCUAACGAAGCACCAAACCAACCUGGCUUUAUAUGCUUUUUGAGGAUGAAGACGAAGACCUUAUUUCCGUAAUAUGUCAAACACUCUCUGGAAAUUCACGGUAUUCUUAAGCCCAUGACGAUCAUGUCAUCGACAUAGACCUCCAUUUCCUCAUGCAUCAUAUCAUGAAACAGCGCAGUCAUGGCUCGCAUCGCCCCGGCAUUCUUUAGACCAAACGGCAUUACCUUGUAACAGAACAUGCCCCCCUAUAAGAUAUGGUUAUCAAGUUCUCUCUCGCUGAUAUGGUUAUCAAGUUCUCUCUCGGUCUUGUCUUCCUCGGCCAUCUUGAUCUGGUUAUAUCAAGAGAAAAAAGCAUCUAUAAAGGACUGCAUCCCAUGUCCAGCGGUGUUGUCCACCAUAACAUCAAUUUUCGGAACGGAAGAUCAAAGAGGAUUUUGGGCUUGCCUUGUUUAGGCGACUCAGAGAACCCGCUUUCCAAUUUAGGGAAAAACUGUUCUCGAAGAAGCGUGACCAUCCAAUCCAGUAGAAUCUCGUUACUAUCCCGUGUGGUUAUGGGGGCGGGCCUACUGUCCACUUUGUGACUCGGGCGGCAAGCAAGUGAAUGUGAUCCCACCCUCCAUCCGCCGGUGUGUGUGUGAGCUUCGCUCCUUAUAGCUCUACUUCGCUGCCGGCCACUUUCGCUCCUCUACCAUAUGUCAUUGAUUCAUUCUGUGGAAGUUAGGCACGUUACUCGAUAGCGCGGGCACAAUACCUUUGAAUGCAAACAAACAAAGAAUAGCGAGACCACAUAUCAAAAGGUUGGUUUUGAACCCCCCAUCCAUUGUUUAGAAGUCCCUGAGGGAGGGGGACACGGGUAUUUACUAAAGAAUAGAUAUAUAAGGGAAACUUUCCUAUCUACUAUAUCUAUAUUUCUUCAUCGAAGAAGGUGCCUUCCGAGUGGUUUGGUCGGAAAUAAAUGUUUGCCUCUUUACAUUUCCGUUUCUUUCGAUGAAAUCGACCCCACCCCCUGUUCUUAGACGGGAGUAGAAAGCUCGAAAGCUAGUCUCCGGGAGUAGAAAGCGCGAAAGCUAGUCUCAGCCUAUGUAUCUGGACAGCCUUUUCUCAUCUCGGUAAGCCUUGCCCCUUCGAAAUUCUAGAGGUAAUGAGAACAGUUGACGAGUGAGGCGAGGGGUUUCUUCCUCUCAAUCGACGAGGGCUUGAGUCCACUACGGCAAGUACAAUGCGCUAGCAGUAUAUUCUAUAACGCUGGCUUCUUCUAUAAAGAAAGCAGUCCUUGGGUUUGGGACUCCGUCUUGUCUUUAGGGACUAUAUUCAUUGUCAUUAAGCAAUCGUUUCUUGCGUUAUCUGUUUUUUGCGUAUAAGAAUCGCGGAACGUAUGUGGUACCGCUUAUGGUACUGCUUGUGGUAAAGACUGCUCUUCCUGUAUACUUACCUCUCCUUCGAAUCCUCUCUCUUUCUUCCAUCAUUGUUCUGUAUGCAGUUUUCUUUGGCCACUCGUAAGUAUGCUUCAUUUGGGGAGGGUAAGCUUCGAGUGUUGAUACCUCGAUUCUUAUAGGCUAUAGAUUGGCGGCAACAUCUUCCAUAGUUAUCUAAGCAUUCCUGAAGAGCCUUAAGGUGGGUUUCAAAAGAAGGUUUCUCUGGGGUAGUUAGGGAGGAUUUGGUGGAUUAGAUCUGAGACUGGGCUUUUCAUAAAGCAAGGACCUAAAGAAGGAGCGGGGUUACUUUCGAAGGGGACGGAAAAUGAGUCUCUUGAGCCAUGAUUUUCAAAUAAGAAGCAUCUAGAGAAAGGAGAGUGAAAGAGGUUGAGCACAAGAAAAGAGAUUGGAAGAGAAUUAGGAAGUAAGACCAGACCGGUAAAGGAAUGAGAGAUCCUCUGAAUUCUUUGUGAGGCUUCCCCAUUUUAGUGAAAGUUACCCCAUAAAGUCCAUCUACGGUCAAUCAGUUUCCUUCCGACUGCAUUGCAAACUCUUUCAUGCCUCACUCCACUAUAAUAAGGGAAUUCCAAUAGUUGUUUAUUAGCUUAUGUAUUCUAAAGUCAUUGAGAAAUUCGUCAUUAAGAUUAACUGGAUCUAUUCGGCUAUUUCUCUUAACAUUCGCAUAGUGUCCACAUUUCGGGUAGAGGAGACCUUCCUUUCCAGGAAAUGGGAUGAGUAUUCUUCACCUAAGGAUACCGAAACCACUAGUAGUGAGAAAGGGCUUUCGCUGCUCUUCUCCUAAACCUCUUCAAUUAGAGCUAGCUAUAGAGCGAACUUUUGCUAUGCUUUAUCACUUUUGCUAUGCUUUAUCUAUAGAGGCGGGGUUCCCCCUCCACAACCUGACCCUACCUACCAACAUACUUUAGUACAACUUACUCGGUCCUUCUUCAGCCACUUCUUCGAACGAUUAUGAAAGAGUAGCAAGGCCUUCUCAUAGCCUUUGAAUCGGAAGCCCUGCCCUAGACCAGACCCAACUCGCUUCAGACUCACUUUCAAGCUCACAAUUUCCAAAGUGUUCAACUUCAAAAGAAAGGUAGGAGAAAGACUCUAUACAAGCUAAAAGCGGCUAGGAGUACUCCAGCACUACCACCAGUUAGUGAUUCAACCACGGCGAAAAUGGACUGCGGUUAUACGCUUACACCAAUCCUAUUGCUAAAAGAGCUGAUUCAAUAGCAAAUUGCUAAAAGAGCUGAUUCAAUUGCCAAGGUGCUGAAAGCCUUCCCUUAUACUGCCAACUAUGCUAACUCUUCUAUUCUCGACAGAUGGUUUAUUCAGGGGAGCUGUAGAAAGACCCGAAAUCAGGCAUAUUCUUAAAGCAUCCUUUACGCCACACAUACUUCUAAUGCCAGGAGAGCUUAUAAUAAGUCCCUGUUAACUCAUGUCUACUUCUCUUUCAGUAAGAACCAAUUUAGUAACAAUAACAUUGGACUAAAUGCAAUUUUCCUUCCUAGAGGCCAGUGGUAGAAAGCUCAAUCGAGUUUGAGUUCCUCUUUCUUGGGGUCAAAAUAGGCUAUAAGUAGGCCGUUUGCUAUUGCUUGCUAUACGAGCAGUUUACCUUUAUACGGCUUGCUUGGCUUUCCUAUCGCUCAAUUGUGUGGUGGUCGACCUUAACGCCAGAAGAAAGCAAGAUGAGGUCCAAACUUCGUAGACGUAGAGGGAUACUCUAUUCUCCCUGGUACUAUAUUCUCCCUGGUACUAUAUUCUCCCGGAACUCUACUGGAAUCUGUCAUUCUAGUAAAGGUUGGGCGAGAAAGACGAAAACUAGAGUCUAAUUCUUAAUGUGCUAGAUCAUACCUGAUAGUUCUAAUUGCAGAAUUUCAUCACCUUUGCUAUUUCAUUUUCCUAUAAAUCAAAGGUGUAUUGUUUUAGUGCUUAAUGCUUCCCUAUUAUACAAGAAAAGAAUCAUCUUCCCGAUUCUACCGAGGCAGUUUAGAUGAGCAUUGGGCUUCUUUAUACGAUGAACUACAGCCAACUUGAAACCUUACUCGUGGACUACACUCGAACUAUCAAGCUUAUUCUUGACUUACCGCUUCAAAGCCAUUCCCUAAAACAGAAGAGAAACCAGCGUUAGGAGUUUACAGCACUUCACCAGUUGACUCUUCCUUUCUAGUUCUGUUUGUUUCCUUGCUUCUUUCUAGAACUUGCCUUAGCACAACAGCUUGUUCGUAGUUGGCAGGCGUGGGGAAGGUCAAUUAGAUUCUUCUCCAAGAGAUGGAAUGGGAAUGCUACUUGGUGAGCGGGUGCAUUAGAGAGUUCCGGACUGUAACAAAGGACUGGUCUUCGACAACAAAAGAAGCCGAAGAUGAGGCACCGAAGAUAUUCUAUAAUAGGAGAGCACUCGUUCAUGAAGCUGCCUAACACUAUCAAGCAGGAACGAAACUCAACCCGUACUAACACCGAUGAAGACAGCACUUGCGCCUUAGCGAGCUCACAGUUCCAUUAAUCUUUCCGUUUUCACAAGACAAGCAAUGACGUCAGGAGUUCCAGAUGCGCUUGAUGGUUUCGUUGUGCUUACGGGAGGGAGUUGAGUUAAAACAAGGUCAAUUCGAUUCUUCAGUAUAGCUGGAACAGGUUAGGAAGUUCGUUUGUGUUCCUCUCAGUAAGUUCACUAUCUUCCUUCUAUACACACUAGGAACGCAACCUUUCUUUAGAGCCAGCAGUCCACUAUGUUGUUACUCUCUUACAUAGUAGGUACACCGCAUUCAAUUCCAUAAGUUCAGUAAGGAAGCAAGAAGCAGUUGAGUAAACAGUGAGUUUCGAGUUAGGAGUUUUCACACGCUAAAAGAUAGGAAGCUUAGCAGUUACUAUAUUAUUCCAUAUGUGGUGGAAGAAAGAUUUCCUUUUCCACUUCUUGUUCCAUUGCGCGCGUGGUUUAGUUUAGGAAUGUUGUAGAGCGUGAGCUUUAGAGAAUAAGGAUUGACUGUUUUGAAGCAACGAGCAAACUAACUCUACUUCAGUAGACCAUGCUGAAGGCCUCUUUAUCGUCUAAGAACAGAGGUUAUACGUAGCUAAUGGCAAUUCAAGAGUUUCGGGGCUACCUAUCUUGCUUGUUCUUCUUGUUCAUUAUUAUAGAAUUGGAAAUAUAGGAUGGAAAUUGGGCUGAGUGGACUAAGGCGGCGCUACUAAUCCGUUGGACGAGUUUCGUACCGAGGGAGGGUUUUUGCACCGAUCUCUACGCUCGCUCUGAAUACUGGAGCGAAUUGAAGGAAUCUCUAUUCUUUUCUGUAUUUAUAGGUAAGGUGAAUCUAAGGCAUAUAGCAAAGAAGAAUAACCAAUUAGCAAACAUCAAUCCUGUUAUUCCUCACGUCCUGGAUCAUUAGAUUAGAUAAGAAUCCUCAGAUGAAGAAAGAAACUAGGAAUGUUACUACAGUGUAUAAACAAAGAGUUCGAGAGUGACUUGACUCAACGAACUAAUGCUUAUGUGCUAGCCCCUCGAUAGUCUGCUCAACGAACAAAUCUCCGGCUUUUCAUUCCUUUCUAGUGACGGGUAAGAGAAGAUAGCUCGACCGUGGUAGCCCCGUAGAGGAUCACUUGUACCACCUUAGGAAAGUGCUCACUCGGUUAAGGGAGUACAAGCUAGAAACAAAUGAAUCUCGUAGAAGCGGGAAGGGAGUUAAUGAGUUAAGGUAUUAAAUAGGGGUAAGUUAGUAGUUAAAGGGCCAAGUAACCACUAAUGUCGAUUCCGCAAGUCAAGUGGAGUUCACCUUAUUGCUUUAAUCAGUGAAUCUAGAUAAGAAAGAGCUUUGUAACGUGUAGAACUCAGUAAUAGGGGAGUCAACUCCUUCGCCACCCAGAGACAAAGUCAGCUAACACAUUAUCCCAAAGCCCGGCCUUAUAGUCAUUUGCACCUCAUACUGAACUGUCAACAAAUCCACUCGCAUUUAGGCUUAUUGCUCGGAGUUAGCGCCCCAAGAGAAGAGAGCCAGCAGUCAACAGGAAGUCGGCAGUAAACUAGAAGUCCGCAGUAAACAGGGAGUCAGCAGAAGAAUAAGCUUCAGGCAGGGGCAAUUGCACUUUCUCCUAACACGCUUUACCCCAAUAAGUAAGCUGACGCACGACAAUCAUCUACUGUUCUUUCGAGCCUCCUUCCUCACUAAGGUGCAACAUGAUACUAAGCUUGUUUCGACUCAAACUCCCUAUCGCCGAAAAUAGGACUGGAAGCUAUAAGUACAGAAGUAAAGUCUCAAGGAACCGGAACCAUAGGAUUUGCCAUUAGCUACCUUUACCCUCUGUUCAACGACUCGAAAUCAAGGCUAAGGUCGGGUCUCUUGUGCACCCAAAGAGACUAAAGUCGAAGAUACCGCUCCGUUAAAGCUAGAACGUUUAGUUAAAGCUAGAACUAUAAGAUACAGCUCGUAGUCUUUUAAGUGAGUUUAGAGAAAGAUGCAAGUCCUGUAGCCAAAUCCAACACCCUGCCUUCCCGCUUCAAGUAAACGAUUUGAUACCCGCACCUGCGCUACCAAUAGAGAUGACAUCCUGUCCUGUGCUACCAAUCAAUCCAUUUUCUCUUCUUAUAUGGCUUGGCGCUCUCUACUCCACUCUUAAGUUAGAGACAAGCUACUACUGACUCGUACAAACUCUUUACUUGCCUUGCUCUAACAAUUACUCAUUGAUACUCGGGGCAAGCGUAUACUACAGUAGCGACCAAGCUUAGGGACAAACAACGCGAAGACAACUAUCAUAAGAAGAAACUUACAUAUAGUAUAUUGAUGAGUGGUUAUUACUAAACCUGUGCCCUGCCGCCAAGUCCUGUAUCUGAGAGUCUGUAGAGUUAUGAGUAAGUCCUGUGUUCGGGAACUCAAUCCUACUCAUUUCAUUCUGACUUAAGAGUUGUUGUUUGUUAGGCACUAGUGUCAGGGUUAAAGCAAGUUGCGUAAUACUAAAGCUAACAAGCAAGAUAGAGGCCCGGCAGAGAGCGAAGAAAAGGAAGUCAAGCAAUACAGAUAUGCUGUCAAGUCAGAAUAAGGUUUAGGCAGGACAGGUUCCUAGGCAGUAAAGCAAGGAUCAAUGCCUGUGGUCUUAUAUUAUAAUCAAAGUGAGGAUAGUCAGCCUAGUUAGUGGGUUCUAUUCUGAUAUUUCAUAGUUAAAGAAAGAAACCCCCACACAAGAAAGGAAGAUUGAAAGACCCACAGCACAGCAGGGAAGCAUGACACUUUUCAUGAGCUGGGGCAAAAAGAAAGAAGAAGUUAUGAACAUUCACUGUUCUUUAAGGCUUCUUUGACUGUGCAAAUGCUGCUGUUCAGGCUGGAUCGAAAGUUGUAUCCAUUUUACAGGAAAGGAAGAUACCAUCGCUGAUCGUUAUUUGCAAACCCGGGCACUGAGAAGGCGAGGCUAAAGUGGGCAGUGCAGGCAAAAACAUAGCAAGUAAUCACUCGUUAGAAACUUGUUAUUCCGGGAACUAGCGGCCCUGCCGCCAUGAAAGCCGGACUCCGGGCCAAGCAACUAAGUAAGACGGCCAAGACACGGAUAGACAAGCAACGAAGCAGGAAGGUAAGAGUGAGAGUUAGUUCGGGCAAGAGAACUGGUAUAGAUAGGUUGGUUUGGUGCCUGAAAGCAGUGCAAGCAAUCCUUCCACUAGUGCAUCUCAGCCUGUAGCAAGUAGGCCUGUUCCUGUGUUCGGGUGCUGAAAGCCAGCAAGCGAUUCUGAAAGUGUAGUUUCGAGUUUAAGCAGAAGCUGGGGCAGAAUCUAGUACAUGCGCAAGUUGGGUCUGCAGCGGAAUUGCCUGUUGGAGUUUUCUCGUAUUUCACUUUGAUCUUGGAAAGAAGAAUUGAAGACUGAAUUUGCAACAUCAACUGCUUCUACGGAUAGAAGACCAAGAAAAGAAAGCGCUGACCACUGCAGUAGAAAGCUGGGUACCAAUAUUCGAUUCUUCAGCUGUUAAGGUUUAAUUGGACUAAGAUCUCUGGGAGUGAGGGCGAGACUAUGCUUUAAGCAUCAGCAUCAGCGUCAGGGAGCUGCAAGUUCUCAGGUUUAUGGCGUUAAUUUCGUUCUGUUCCUGUCUUCCGCGUUAGUGGUUAAAGUGAAGUUAAGUUCUGAUAAAGAAUCCUGUAUUGGUGGAGCACAGGGAAGGGCAGACUCAGACAAGUAACUACAACUACAUAAAUAAACGAACAACGUCUUGUUGCCGUUGCUUUUUGCAUUUGAGAUAGCUAUCAUCUACCAAGUGGAAAAAUCUGCUUGUUUCAUUUGAGAUAGUUAUCAUCUACUAAAAGUGGAAUAAUCUGAGAGAAAAAGCCUCCACGGGUAAAUAAUAUGAAACUCAAACUGCUGGGGCGACUCCAUCCGGUCCAGAGGACUAGCUAACCGGUGAAUAAAGUUAGUCACUCAAUUGAAGUAGGGAAUUAUGAAAAGAAGAGCGGAACAAUCUCCUUAAGAGAAGAAUCCAUGCAAUCUAACUCAAUCAAUAAAGUCAAAAAGCUUCCCAUACUAAAGUCAGUAGUCACGAGAGACUAUACUAUGAUGAAAUCCAGAGAUGAAAAGGUUCCAAUGAAUUGUAAUUCGACGCUCCUCCUCCAUUUAUUAAGACUGUAGGCCUGUUUAAGUAAUUGGAGGCUAGACCCAUAAAUCAAGCAAUUCCAUCGAAGGUAAUCAAUAAAGUUGUAGGACCGGUCGGUUAAACGGACUAGGGUAGGGCCAUGGGAGAUCGAUGGGAUUACGCGGAGCCAAGUGCUAGACUUCUCCGAUGCACCUCUGACAAAGCAUUGAAAGAAGAAGACAACGCUAGUACAAUACAAUAGAAUAGAAUAGUAAUAGUAGACUCCCUAUAAUACAAUAGAAUAGUAAUAGUAGACUCCCUUUAUGUACUAAACUCAUCGCUAGUACAAUACAAUACAUAGUAGACUUACUCCUAGUCUUGUCUUUCUUUAUGUACUAAACUAAUACUGUGCAAGGAAAUGUCCUAAACUAAUACUGUGCAAGGAAAGACCCACAAAAAAGGGGAAGCAAGGACCCGAAUAGUCAGAGGCCAAAGAUUCAAAGGAGAAGGAAGCACGGGUAAAGAUUUCUAGUAAAGAAUUCCAAGAGAGCAGACGUAGGCAAGUGAAGACAGAUGAGGAUGGCUAAACUAAGCAAUGCUGCGAAAGCAGACCACUCCCACGAACGCAAUCCGGGAUCGCUUUAUUCCGUAAGUUCCAAGUCUACUAAAUCAGUAGACGACAAGCUGUAACGAAUGAAGACGACCCGAGAGCCAUUCUUUCGAAAGCAGCAGCUGCGGAUACAGGCGAUGCCCCGUAAGCAAGUACUCUCAUUAUGCACUGCACAGUCAAUCACGCACUGAUCCUUCCUAUAAACCUCAAUUAGUGAAAUGGAAUCUCUUCGUCAGAAUCAUCCUUCUCUUUCAUGAGAUUAGCAUUUUGCUCUCUCUUCAUUGCAUUCGGCAUGAUCAGGGGGUUGGUUGGUUUACCCCUUCCUUCUUUGGUGGGCCUUCCUGCCAGACAUAAUGUUUCUGCCUUGUCUGUAAAACUUCCUUAAUAGUGUAUUUGAAAAUCAUAUGUUUGAUACAGACUUAUUAAGAAGGAUUGUGCUCCUGGGCCUGGAGAUUCUGGUCUUUGUACUGAUGGUAUCUAUUCUCAAAUAACGGAAAUUAGCUCUAUCGCGCAGCUAACGGCUGUUUUCAUUCACAAUCCCUGCGGUUGAAGAAGGUCCAAUGUACAGGUAAGUGAAACUGCCCUGGAAAAGCUUGAGAUAGGUGCUUCCAGCUUAAGUACAUGGGGAAUAGAGGUCCUAUAGUUUAUUGGCUCUUAGGUGGACUGUCCCUGUAGCUAAAGUCAAGCCGAGUUCGCCUUCGCAUUUUCUCUUUUUUGAGACAGGGGGAGACCUAACAAACUCUCUAUGUUUGUCCUUGCAGCUAACAAGUUGGAAGUCUUCCCGGAGUACCUGUUAGCUGUUCUAGUUCAGAACUGUAUGGGACCUCUUGCUUAGGGCGGUGUAAGCAACCCGGCAGAAGUGGAUCGGAAGUGUCCUCUUUCACAAAGGUAGUCUUAGCAGCCUAAGUAAUAGUAAGCUAAGCCUAAGUAAUAGUAAGCUAAGCCUAAGUAAUAGUAAGCUAAGCCUAAGUAACAGUAAGCUAAUAAGUCAAGAAAGAAGGUGUAGCGAGAGAGCUCAUUUGUUUACGAUUCUAUUCAUUGAAGUCGCCUAAGUCAAUUUCCAUUAAAGUAGGACGAGAAGGGAGAUGAGAAGCCCUCUGGAAUAAGAAAGACCCCAAGUGAGCCCAAGCAGCCUUAAGAAAGUCAAGGAGGUGCGCUGCACUCAUAAGGUUGAUUGAGAAGCCCGUUCGUGAGUCCGUUAAGCAUUUAAUAAAGAGAGACUCGCUCAUAAAGUAGGUUGAGCGGUGAAUUCUAUGAAUCGAGCCCAGCCCCGUCUUAGUAAUUAACUAAGAGAUAUUCGUUCAUCUUCUCAACAAACGUUCAUCUUCUCCACUAAUAAUUCGAAAAUCCAGAAUCGGCUCAAAUCUCUGAAUCGGCUAAUUGUUCUCUGAUAGCGCCUGCUCCAGUAUAGAUUUCUCGAUUUCUAAAUGUAUCUAAGCCUUGGAAAAAGGGUAGUAUGCUGUAUUUCCGAGAUUGGAUUUCAUAUUCGAAUAAACCUCGUAAUCGUAAGCAAAGUCAAGUAGGCUUUUGAGCUAUGGGCCUAGCAUAAUCCAAAUCGAUAUAGGUUCCUGUAGGAUUGGAAUUCCCCCCUUUUGGAAAAUCAGACGUGAAGGGUUCCUUUCAUCCGGCUCAAGUCCGUAGGCGCGUAGGAAUUCUAGUGAUUUGUUCAAAUCCAAGACAUAAACAGAGAAAAGUCAAAUGCUUCUUCAAAAGAACCAGAUAAAGAAUGGACACAAAUAAAGGAUAUCUUGGAAUAGAAACAAAUAAAGGAUAUCUUGGAAUAGAAGAUAUUUCCUUAUCAUUCCUUUCCAUAGAUUUCUUAUUCAUAUAUUUGGAUUAGAAUUGAUGAAAAAAAGCGUGACUAUACCAAGAAUGGGUUAACGUAGGAAUAGGCGUAUAGGUUAACGUAGGAAUGGGCGUAGAAUCCAAAAAGGAAUUCUGCAUUUAUAGCAAGUUGAAACAAGACCUUUGUAACUGUUACAGAUGUACGAGGUGUCGGGGGGUUUUGAUUGGGCCUAGCUGGUACUUCUGGAUUCAAAGGAGCAGCCCUAAGCUGCUCAAGCUGCGGCAUUUCAUGCUAUUCGUACUGUUGUUUAGAAGGGUAUGCAACGAGCAGAAGUUAUGAGAAAAAAGGGUCCAGGUCUCCAGAAGAGAUGCUGCAUUACGAGCCAUUCGUAGAAGUGGUAUACUAUGAAUGAAGGUUUCGUACGUGAUGUAACACCUAUGCCACAUAAUGGAGACCCCCUUCCAAAGAUGUGUGUAGAAAUAAUAAUAAGAAAACUCCUGGAAAGAAAGAGAAAUAAAUGAUUCAAUGAUCUGAGAAAAGAAUAGUAGAAGUAUAGUAUGGUUCGAGAGGAAGUCGCAGGAUCUACUCGAACACUACAGUUACGGUGUGUUGAAUCAAGAGUGGACAGUCAGCGUCUUUCUUAUGGUCGGUUUUGUUCCCACGCCUUAUGAAAGGUCAAGCCGAUACCAAUUGUAUUGCCGUGCAAAGGGCUUUACUAGGAGAAAUAGAAGGAAGAUGUAUCACACGUGCUAAAUAAGAGAAAGUGCCGCAUUAAUAUUCAUAGAUCUAUGGUAUUGAAGAAUCGGUACAUGAAAUUGGACGAAAUUGGAAAGAAUAAGUAUAUAUAAGUCAUAUAUCCAUAAGAAGUAUUGAUAAGUCAUAUGAAUAUUCUAGAUAGAUAAUAGAUAUAUAUAUUGUGAUAGACGCAUCCAUUUGCAUCAGGGGCCCCGCCAUACAUACAACACCGCUCAUGAUAUCAUCUCACCAACUUCCGUGGAAAUAGUUGACACAACACAACAUCUAUAUAUAGCUAACCUGACGGAACCAAUAUCUUUGUGUAUUGGAUUACAAAUCCGGAGGGAUCGUAGAUAUCGUACGAAACCAACCACUCACUCUCCAAAUAGAAGUUAUCCUCGAGAUGCUGUAUCUAUGCCUGUUCGAAGCAUGCUGUAUCUAUGCCUGUUCGAAGCAUAAUAUAUAUCUAGUAUUCUUUCUUAUGGGCCAAGAGACACUUUUUCUAGAAAUAUGGACGAAAGGAAGUUUCACUCACUCCUAAGAAGAGAAGGAAAGGAAGGAAGCACUUAUUAAGCUUCUCUAUAUUCUAUAUCCAUAUGUCUUUAUGAAGCUUCGCGUCAUUUUAUAUAAAUAAGUAUUCCUUUUUCUACAUGCGGAGGAAGAGGACAUGAAUUUCCAAUAAAAUCAAAGUACGGCCCCGAUUAACUAAUCUCCGGAUUAACUAAUCUCAAUCAAAACUCUAUCUCAAUUCCAUUUCCAUGUAUUUUGAUUGACCAAGAAGAAUGACCUGACCCAUAAUUGUAUCAAAGGGAAGGGUAUUUUACACUGUUAGCUAGUUCGUUGCAAGUUGAAACUAAAUAGAGGGCUCUCCACGCCUACGAUUUUAGGAAAGAGCAGAGUUUAGGGGCCAGAUCUGUUGAGCUCAGGAAAGUGCUUUAGUCAUGUAAGGGAAGUGAGCAAAUCCUUCUCGCUUUUGAUCUUGUCGAUUCCCCUUGGCUUGGCUUUGGCAAAGAAAGCUGUCUACUAAAUAAACCCGGAGCAAUUUCAUAGCUACCUUCGAAGAUUAUAGUGUUACUCCAUUUUGGGUGUGAUCUAGUUCUUUGUAGGGCGCCCCUCUUACUCUGAGUAGGCAUAGAGAGAAAUAGCCCCUUACUGCUUUACUGCUCUCCGCUGCGCACCGUCGGCUUGGCGAAUCCAUCUGCCUAACAAUCAAUCUCAUAGAUAACAGGAAGUAGAUCAAUUUCGGUCUACACCUUACAGGAGGAAGAGGUCGGAUUGCCUAAACUAACCAAUACAACUCUCAAAAGAGCCCACUAACGCUAUAUUAGGUGGUAAAGACAUAAAGAAAGAAGCGUCGCAAUAUAGAUAGGUGGUAAAGACAUAAAGAAAGAUCGUGUCCGUGAAUGAUCGGGUUUCAACGGCAUCCCAACAUGGGGAUAUAGGACGCGUGUAUAGUUCUCAUUGGAAAGAAAGAAGCCACAUAUUCCAUAUCUUUCCCGCCUGACACAGUUUGACACGCAGUGAUACGGCUCAAAAUCAUUAGUCUACGAAGGAAUCUAAAGAGAACAAGCACGCGGGAAAAAGCAAGUGUCUGAUCAGAUCAAUCAAGAGAUAGGGCUUCGGCCAAACAUCUUUUUCCUAAGCUAAGACGGACGAGAGUGAGACUAUUGCAAAAUCUCUUUAAGGAGAGAGUGAAGCAUUCCGCUGGGCCAGAGGCAAGUUAAAGACUAGUAGAAAGAAGUAUUUGAAAGACAAGUAGAAGCCAGUUCAAAGACGAGUACGCUUACGACAAGUAGAAGCCAGUUCAAAGACGAGUACUAAUAAGAUAAGCCUUGAGUUAACCUGUGUUUGGAUUCCUAAGGUGGUAAGUCAACUCUGGAUUUGUUUGUAAUAAGAGCGGUUUUUGACUAUACCCACCUCGACCCCGAACCUUGCUUCACCAUCUUUGAUUCCGAAACUAUUGUAUCUCCGCCUAUCUUUCAUGUCUCUAAAACGGAAACGCUUAACCUAACAUCCGUAUUUUCCCCAGGAUUAAGAUAUGAAGCGGACUUGGAAGUCAGAGAAGGUAUUAGUUUUAUUGAACUGUAUUUCUCACUGCUCACUGGGAUGGAUUUCAUGACUGGGCGUAAAGGGCACGUCGUCAGCCAGCUUUGAUUCUAUCUAAGGUGCUUCUAUGACUAAAGUGUGUCUUAGAAAGGGGAUUGGAAACAAUGGUGAAACUAAGAGGCCUGCUUCGUCUUGCUCUCCUAUAUACUAAACGGACUUGCCAUCUCUUCUUGAUUCUUUACGGAUGGCCGCCUUCUUGAUUCUUGACAGAUGGUAUAUCUCACCUACUUGCCUGAUUCUUGACAGAUGGUAUAUCUCACCUACUUGCCUGAUUCUUGACAGAUGGUAUAUCUCUCUCUUGCUUAACACUGGCUAUAAACAAUGAAUGAAGGAAACCGCUUAUAAGGCCAUAAAGCUAUUGUUGCAACUUGAGUGAGUUUGGAAGGAUAACACUCAAACCGAUAUAGGCCGGCCUGCCUGCCUUUUAGAACGUUUUAGACUUGGAGAAAUAUUGAUUGCUGCCUGUGUGGCUAACCGAACUCCUGCGCGCAACGUUAGUAGUUGCUUGCUGCGCAUUUCUUUCUAUCCCUUCCCUAUCUGGUGACGCUGGACUAGCCGAGCCUUUCUACUCUUGCUGGACUACCUUUCUACCUAUAACUUUCCCCAACCUUCCAAACUGUCAAAGAUUAGCUCGUGCCUCUCCCGGUAUGGAAGCCAAGAUGCCAAUUAGAGCUCCAAUUGGUUAUUGAGAUUGCGUUUCUAUUCAUUUUUGGACUAGUUUGAUUGUACUUUCUUUCCACUGAAACUAUUCCCGUAACUAUUUCUUUCCACUGAAACUAUUCCCGUAACUAUGGGAGGCACUCCUCUGAUACGGAUACUGAUGCACUGCUUGUUAGCGGUAAAUAAGAAAUCCCCUAUGUUGAAACGCGCAUGAAUGAAAGGGUUCUCCCCACGAAAUAAUCCCCUAUUCCUGCUAUUAUCCUAUUGAUUGAAAUUGAACUAUCUCUUUCCUCUUAAUAUGGUAUCGCGAGAUGAAAAACCGGACGUUAAUCAAAGCGAAAAUAGGUUUGGGUAUACUACUUUAUAAGAUAUAUAAUAUAAGAGAAAUAAAGGAAUCCAGAAAGAAUAAGCUAAAGAGCAAAUAAUAGAAGAAAGAAUCAGAGGUGCUAAGAGCCUUGCCAUCCGGGCUUAUGGGUCCUAUUCUUGUGAACCCGGAGGCUUAUAUAGUAGUAAGAUCGAUGCUGUAAAUACUUCACGCUAAUUCUAACAGUAAUAAGUAAGGGAAGACAAGAACCGAUUCCACCUCAAUCAGCUCGACCUUUUAUGCAAUUAUGAACGGACCACUAUCUCGAUUCCAAUGCAACUUCUCUUUUUUGAGCUGACGUAACAAACGUAGUGAGCCUCCCGAUGAAGCCAACAGAAAUCCUAUCCGAAUAUGAAAAAGAAAAGGCAAUUGAAUUAUGGUGGUAUACCAGCCGCCAGUUCUUCCACUUCCAGUUCCAAUCGGAGCAUAUAGAUCCGUAAAUAGAUUAGUAUGUAUAGCCACUUCCGUGGUGCUGGUCGUUUUUCGAAUGGACAAAAAGUAUCUUUUUUCUGGGAACAUGGUCAACCAUAAAUUCUGAUGUGAGUGAUUCUUCAUCCACCGAUGCAGAAAAUGCUCUAGUUUUCCAUGAUCAUAUGAGGCAUGGAAGUUUCUGGGCAAGAGGUCGGCGCGAAGUGAUUCAUCAUGCUCUAACAUUAACCGAUCGCUCGUUGGGGACGGUUUAUAAAUAAUCAAAUUACCACAAAUAGAAUGAGAAGUGGGUCCGUGUAAAUGAUCGAGACCUCGCAAACUACAACGUUCCUUCCCCAUAUGGAGUUCGGGACCCAAAGGCAAGAGUUGAGUAAACUGUAUCUUAUUCGUAUUAGUUGACCUAAGCCGCACCAUUCUAGCUGGGAUGGGGCUCGGUCUCUGAACCGUACGUGGGACGAGUUUGAGCCUCAUACAGCUCGGGCCGAAGACCGGGGGAAGUUUAGGAGAGAUGGGGGAGAACCAGCUGCUGCCGGUCGAGACGGACAGGAAAGGUUACGGGGCAAAGUUCAGAAGCUAUUCUCCUAACCCCAAAAACAUCCCCUAUAGCGCUUCGCGUUCUUUCUAUUCUAUACCAGUCCAUUCUAGCUAUCAUCUUCAUCUAAUUAGUGCAGUAGUAGUCGUCUGCCUCUAAAGAAGGAAGGAAUUGGCUUGGCGGCAAUGGCUAUUAUAGUAGGGGAGCACUUGACCGCCCGCGCAUUCUCUCUCGCCCUAAAUGGAAUGGCUCUCUUAGCUGCGCCCUGACUCGAGUCCCCACGUCUGCUUUUAUCCGCCCACAACCCUUGGAUUUGCCAACACGACUUAAGGGCCCUACCUGGAAUUCUAUGCUUACCCGGUCCGGGACUGGCUUAUUGGGAAGCCCGUUCCCACAGCGCUCACGACCCGGCUGGCCUGCCUGCGGUAGUGGGAAUUCUCCCGUUCCCUGGUAAAAGCGUUGGUUGGAUGCGGGAUCUACUCCACGAGGAGCGGUACGGACGUAGAUUAUAUCAUCACGACCUCUCUUUGCGUACCUUUAGGGAUGCUUAACGCCACUUCGCCAACUGGCAUUACCCUAGCUUUCGUCUCUCUCAGUGUGGUCAGCACUGGGUGUUUCCGAGCUGCGAGGCUUACACCCAUUCGCAUUAGUUCAUCCAAAGUUCCCUACCCUUAUGCACCAAUUUAGGAAUAAGCCAUCUUCCUAUCAAGGUUAAGGAGUCAACUGAGCAUCUCAGCGGCGGGAUUGAAUACCCGGAUCGAAUCAGAGUUCACGCCGCCCACCCGGAACAAAUAAAUAGGAGGCGUGGGCCACAGGUCGCACAUAAGCCACCGGGUCGCACGACAGAAAAACACCCAAAAGAAAGAUGCAGACUCCUCCAUGUGAGAUAGGAAGAUUCAUCUGCACUUUUUGGUAGUAGUCGUGACCAACAGUCAUCAGCAGUCGGCUCGUUGGUAAGGCGAGAGCUUCAAGCCUGGCCAAGUAACGGAUAGACAAGACACUAGGCAAGUCGACAAACAACGUCUUACUUAGUUGUUCGUCAGUUGUUACCGGACAAGCAGACAAGCAGGCAAGUAACUUAGUGUAGCGGCAGGGAGCUUCUUGUUGUGCUAAAGGAGUUGCUAGGCUGUUAAUAGUUGUCCGCUGACGCGGCAGCGCCCGCUCACGCUUCGCAGACUUAUCACGUGGUAUAGAGAAGAGAGAUAGAAAGAAUUGACAACUGAGCAGACCGCAGAAAGAUGAGAAAUAUGACAAGUCCCCUAUGGAUUCGAUAAGAAGGAAAUGCAGAACGGGAACGAUACGAAAUACAGCAUUUCUUGCGGAUGAGCUUCUCCCAAUUAU